RNAcentral lists this long non-coding RNA (131481 nucleotides) under Citrus maxima (pomelo). RNAcentral describes it as "long non-coding RNA (CMAX_LNC000956)". The stretch from base 84672 to 84778 matches the Rfam family "Plant small nucleolar RNA R71". Lineage: Eukaryota; Viridiplantae; Streptophyta; Magnoliopsida; Sapindales; Rutaceae. The record is from RNAcentral.
ACAAUUUCUGCACCUGACGAUAGAUAAAUCCCUUAAGUUGGUUAACGACAUGAACCAAUUUAUGGGGACAACAUUCCUCCUCCCUCUGUAUUGAUAUAUCUCUAACCUCUUUAAAUUAGGAGGUGAUCCCAAGGCUUCAAGAAGCCGUUCAUCUUCAUCCUCUUCAUUCUCCCUCCUCCAAACUUGUUCUUCAUCUCCAUCUCGUUCUUCAUCUCCAUCUCUUAAAUGAUCAAAAUCAAGUUCCAAAUCAAAGAGAUUUUUCUUUUUCUCAAGUUCAGCCCUCGCAGCCUCACCCGCAUCUGACACACCACCCAGCCCACGUAUACCACAUUGUUGAAGGAAGUUAAGCUUUUUAAGAGACCCAAGGCUACAUGCUCUGUCAUACCCUCCACCCACAACAAACUCUCUCACCCUCCGAAGCCUGAUUAAUUCCCCAAUCCCUGCCGGCAAGUAUCUUAAAGAAUCAGUCCCCACAUUGUCUAAAUACAUCAGCUUUCUUAACUUCCCAAUCCCUCGAGGUAAUUCUCUAAGAUUUUCACAAUCAUCAACGUUUAAACGUUCUAAAUUAUAUAACUCACACAACGUCUCGGGUAAUUUUUCUAUCUUCUUUUGACCUUUCAAAUUAAGGUAUUUCAAAUGUAACAAUUUUUCUAUAUUUGUUGGAAUUUCCUUGAUGUCAUUCACACUUGACAACCUAUCACACACCUUUAAUUUUAAUGCCCUUAAACAAGUUAAUUUAUCAAAUAAUUGAGGUAGGACUUCACUAGACCAUGAAUAUUCAUCACUUUUAACUAAGAGGCUACGCAAUCCUCGCAAUCCUUUAACAUUACCCCAAAUGGAGAUCGGAACCGAAGCCCCCGUACGUAGAGUUAAUAGUAAAUGAAGGAUUUUUUUCUCCCCAAAAGAGCUAAUAGCUAACUCUUCACCACUAUGAAUUUCUACUGUUAAACAUUCAUUCCUACAUAAAUAUUGGGCAAAGUCGUGGACGAUAUCGUGCAUUUUGCACUUAUAGAUUUCACCAUCAUCAUCUUUUUUAAAAUCCUGAAAGAAUGAACGGGUAGCUAAGAUGUUGAAAUACUCUUUACCAAUAUCCUCCAUCUCUUUGGCCCCUUUCUCACUAAGAUAACCUUGUGCCAUCCAUAGUUCAAUUAACUUAUGCUUCCGUAUUUCAUAGUCUUUCGGAAAGAUGGCACAAUAUGAGAAACAACGCUUUACCUUGGAGGGUAAUUCUUUGUAACUCAACAAUAGAGGGGCUAAAAGGCCUUUCUCAAUUGCUUCUAGUUCCCAUAUCUCACUCUCUAAGAUAUUUUGCCAUUCUUUUUCAGUGUUUUUAGACCGCAAGAGACUAGCAAUUGUCUUUGCAGCUAAAGGUAAGCCCUUGCACUUUUUUACAAUUUCUCUACCAAUUUUUUCUAAAUUUUCACGUUUUCCUAUGGUCUUACCAGAAAUUGCCAACGACUGAAACACCGACCAGCAUUCCAUUUCAGACAAUACAUUGACAGAGAUAACAUGAGUUGAUCCCAUAAUACGGGCAACUGUUUCUUUACGUGUGGUAAUUAAAAUUUUACUUCCAUGGAAACCACUCUUUAAACAGUUGUAGAAUGGUUCCCAUUUAGAGUAAUCUUCGUUCCACACGUCGUCUAAGACAAGAAGAACUUUCUUCCCGGCAACAUGUUUUCCAACAUUUUGCAUGAGAGAUUGAAACUCACCAACAUUAGGGGCAGAAUCUGUUAGAGCCUCAAUGAUUGCUCUAGCGAUUCUAAACUCAUCAAAAGGAUCUGACACACAGACCCAUAUUCUUUUUUCAAAAUUCUUUUCAACAUCACCGUUGUUGUAGGCAAAUUGAGCAAGAGUAGUUUUGCCUAUUCCCCCCAUCCCAACAAGUGAGAUGAUAGAGGGGCCUUUCUGUUCUUUACUACUUUCACAUAACAACCUAUUAACGAGUUCCUUCUUCUCUUUUUGUCUACCAAAUAUCUCGGACUCAUCAAUUGAGGAGAUACUUGGCACUCGUUGAUCGGCUCUCUCCGUUCUCUUAAUAACAUUCACAGCAAAACCAAACAUGUCUUUCUGUUUGGCAAUAUCAUCAAGAGUUUCAUUGAUUUCUUUUAUCUUCAGAGCAAUGUCACGACGUAAGACAAGUGGUUUGCAGGCAAAGCAAGAGGCAGCAGGAAAGAAGGAACAUACCUUCUUCUUAGGAACGAGAGCAUCAUUCUCGUGAUCAUCGACUCCAUCGAUUUGCAGUUUGAGCCUUGCAGUGUUCCACUCACCCAACACAUCUUCCAUGUCGUAACAUGCGUCUCUGAGUUGAUCGAGCCAGAGUCUGACAGUUUCCUCCUUUAUUUGCCUUUUCUCAGCAUCAUUGAGCACAGCUUGAAUGACGCGGAGAUUGCUGGUCAGCUUCUUCACUUCCUUUCCGACACCCGUUACUAGCCUCACUUGUUCCUUCGCCUCUUCAACAGCCAUUGAAGUCAGCUGCUCCAAGAUAGGGGAAAGGAUCGCAUCAACCAUGGUGAAAAAUAAAAAGAGAGAGAGAAGAAAUUGAUGGUGAAUUGUUGCAAAAGUAAGUAAUGAUGAAAGAAAUGAAGGAGCUGAUAAUGUGGUGAAGAUGUUGCCGUAUUCUUUCAAUUCUUAUAGUACUGCAAGCAAAAUUCUAAUUUAGAAAUAUUUUAUUUCAUUUCAGCCCCUUGUGAAAGAACCUACUGUUAUUAUUAUUACUUUUUUUUUUUUGAAAGAAAAAAGCCUUCAUUUCACAGAAGAGUGAAAAUGACGUAAAGUUGUGGACAGGAAACAAUAUAUUGUUAGGUCCCACAUCGGCGAUUCACGCGGUAUAUGAAACUGACAAAGUUUUCUGUGAUCUCUUUUUAAAUAAUUGAACAAGUUGUUAGAUAAAUAUAUAUGAUCGUGUCGUCAUAUUGAGAUUUGGAAGCAUUUGCUUUACAAUCACCCAUGAACUUGAUAAUUUUUAGAUUGUUUGAUCUGAAUUAUACGUAUGUUAUUAGCUUAAAAAUACCUUGACCAUCUCUUUCUUAUUUUUUUCUUUUUUUUUUCAAAAUUUGACUUGUUUGCAUAAUUAGUUGAAAGGAAAGAAUGAACAUACUAAUAAACUAUGAAAACGCUGCCACAUAAUAUUUUAAGAUUCAUAUCGAACCACUUUAUUUAGAUUUUGUCAUUUUGGCAGAUGUCUGAUUGUGGGAGUUUAGAGUUUAAUCUCUAACUUUGCUUGUGAAGUGUGAAAAAUCAAAUAAUCUUUUCAACUUGUUUUUCAACAAAAAUAGAUAACAAUUCAUCAUCAGUUAUUUCUCAUUAUGUAUAAAAUGAUCAGUCUAGAGCUGGAUAUUCACAUAUUUUUCUAUUUCUAAUCAUUUCAAAAUAUAAUAUGAACUUUUAAAAAAAAUCAAAUUGUAAUAAAGUGACAUAAAUGUUAAAAAAUGAAAAUAAAAAGUUAAAAAUGUAAUGCGGAAAAAAAAAAAACCUUUUGUUUGCUCUAUUCAUGGCAUCUAAAUAUGAGAACAUUGUCAUUGUGAACUACCAUAUAAUUGCAAGUGAAUACUAUCAAAGACAUAAUAAUUCAUGGGCCCAUACAUCCUCUGUAUUUCUAAUUAUUCCGCGUAGAAGGCUAAAGUUUAAUUAAGCUAAACAAUUUGAUUAUUAACUCUCUAGUCUCUCUUGCAACAUUCCACUAGUCCUCGGAUCGAUCACACAAUCUAAUGCAUAAUCUAUUCAUUUAAUUAAUCAAUUUGGAUAUAUAUUUAUUAAAGUCAAAUUUUUAGUAAUUUUAUUUGCUUUCCAGAGUAUGAUAUUUUUAGCGCGCGGCUUUGGACAUAGCUGUUAUAAAUUUGGUUAGUUUAACAAAUAUAAUGUAACCUAUGAUAUUAUAUAAAUAUUCAAUUAUUCUCUUGGAGAGACGUAAAUUCACUGAAAUUUAAAAAGAGUCGGUAAAGAUAAAAAUAUUUUAUAUUUUAUUACGUAAUAAUAUUAGAAUCUUAAGACGUGUUUGGUAUUAUAAAUGAUAGAAGAAAGAGGGGUUGAACGUGUGAACACUUCAUUGCAUGAAGAUUCCUGGAAGUAGCCGGCAGUUCAAAUUAAUAUUUUUCUUUUGGACAAAACCAACAAUAAUUUUAUUAUUAUUGUCGUUGUCAUUGUUAUCAAUUUAUUAAUUAUAACCAUUAUUUAUUUAUUCAUUAAUUAUUUAAUUAUCAUCAUCAUCAUCAUCAAAUGACAAUAAUUAUCAAAGGGUAUUUUGAUAAAUUAUUAAUGAUAUUACUUUUAAUAAUAUUAUUAUUAAUCAUUUUUAUUAUAAUAAUAAUAGUCAUUAUUAUAAUUAACUAAGGGCAUUUUAGUAAAUUAAAACAAUUCAGCUUAUUCUGAUUCCUCGAUUCUAAGAUAAAAUAAACAAAUCAAUGGGAUUUCAACCCAUUCCUAUUCCAAUUCUUGUAGUUCAAGUAAAUAAUUUAUUAUAAUUCUCAUUCUUUAUUCUCAUUCAACCCAUAAAUAUUUUAUAAUUCAUAUACAACAUAUAUAAUACGGUAUAUGAACUUGACAAAAGUUGUUGUAUAGGUAUAAUAUAUUAUCUCUCUUUUCAACAAUUGAACAAGUUGUUACAUAAUAUAUAUUAUCGUGUCAGAAGAUAAUAACAUUCACGCGGUUUAUGAAACUGAUUUGUUGGGUUUUUAGACUCGAAAAAUAAUAUUGUUUUAAAAAUUCUCAAUAACUAAAAGCCCAACGAACCAGUUUCACAUGACAGAUUUAAAAAAAAAGAGGAUAGAGCAACAAAGUAAUUUUUGUGAUGACGACUUUCUUGAAAUUGAAACAUUAUUCGGAAAUUAUUAGCAAUGAGAAAGCGCAAUUAGACUAAACAAUUUGAUCAUUAACUUUCUAUGCAUAAUCGAUUCAUUUAAUUAAUCAUUUUGAAUAUAUAUAUUUGUUAGUGUCGAAUUUUUAGCAAUUUUAUUUGCUUUCCAAAGUAUGAUAUCUGUUAGAAGACAGUAUGCAACAUUGAUCUCUGUGACAUACUCUGAGUGCCACGUUGGCGGUCGUCUUUCACGAGUUGACCGACGAACUUCUGGAGCCUCAGACUCGACUGGUUCUUGUUCCUCGUGCUCUGGUGCUGCUUCAGAAGAAUCUGAAUCUUCUGGAUUAUUUUCCACAUAUACCGGUAUAGUCUCUGACUUUUCUUUUACACUGCUAUCAUCCUCAUAUCUCAUUUGCAGUUGAUCUUCUAUAAAGAUAACAUCUCUGCUGAUGACGAUCUUGUGGGCAGUGGGGUCCCACAGACGAUACCCCUUUACUCCAUUAGCAUACCCCAAGAAGAUACAUCUUCUAGAUUUUGAAUCCAGUUUUGUUCUUUCUUGGGCAUUGUACAUCACGUACACAGGAUAUUCAAAUGCAUGUAGGUAGGAAUAAUCAGCUGGCUUUCCAGUCCACAUCUCCAUCGCUGUCUUCAGCCCAAUAGCUGUAGAUGGCGAUCGAUUUACUAUAUAACAAGCAGUUUUGGCUGCUUCUGCCCAGAAUGAAUUAGGUAGACCAGCAGUCCUCAACAUAGCUCUUAUUCUUUCUGUAAGAGUUCUGUUCAUCCGCUCUGCCACUCCAUUUUGUUGAGGAGUGUAUGCUACCGUGAACUGCCUCUGAAUACCUUCUUGCUUACAGAAUUCAAGAAACUCUCCGUCUGUAUAUUCUCCACCAUUAUCCGUCCUCAAGCACUUGAUCUUUUUACCAGAUUCAAGUUCCACCCGCGCUUUGUAUUCUUUAAACACUAGAAAUACAUCUGACUUUUUCUUAAUUGGAUACACCCAACAUCUUCUGGAAUAAUCAUCAAUGAAAGUCACCAUGUACUUUGCACCUCCCAUGGAUAUAUCCGGUGAUUCCCAAACAUCAGAAUGAAUCAAGUCUAGAAUGAAUUUACUUCUAGCAAUAGAUCUACUGAAUUUUAAUCUAUGCUGCUUACUUGUAACACAAUGCUCGCAAAAUGGUAAACUUACCAAUUUGAGCCCUGGAAGCAAUUUUUGCUCAGAGAGAAUCUUCAAACCUUGUUCUGACAUGUGGCCAAGUUUGAGAUGCCACAUCAUCAUUGACUCUUCUCCAUUUGACGCGACACACGCAUCAGCCUCCUGUAGUGUUUCUCCUUUAAGCAUGAAUAGAUUAGCACCGAUCUUUUCUGCCUUCAUCAAUACAAACGCUCCUUUAACAAUCUUCAUAAUUCCAUUCUCCACAUGAGUUUUGUACCCAUGACUAUCCAUUUGUCCCAAAGACAAUAGAUUUUUAUUCAGGCCGUUGACAUGUCGUACCUCCCCAAUUGUGCGAAUUAUACCAUCAAACAUUUUUAUUUUGAUAGUACCAAUACCAGCGAUCUCCAAGGCAUGAUCAUUACCCAUAUAUACAGAUCCUCCUGAGAUAGGUUCAUAUGUGUGAAACCAUUCUCUCCUAGAGGUCAUGUGCCAGGUAGCUCCUGAGUCUAUAAGCCAGACAUCAUAUAGUCGUUUUCUGCCUUCUGAAACAGUUGUUGCCUCGCUGUAGAGUAUUUCGCCAUCAUCUGAGGUACUUGCUACACACCCCUGAGCAUUUGAUGACUCAGGUUCUUUACCUUCUCUUCUCUUCUGGUUACUCCAACACUCUUUCUUGACGUGCCCUUUCUUGUCACAGUUGUAGCAUUUAAUAUUCUUCUUACUUUUGGAUUUUGAUCUACCAUGAUUGUGACUCCCACUAGGGCCACGUUCUGUUGAUCUCCCUCUCGUCACCGAUAGCACCUCCGCUUGCUGUGAACUUGCUUGUCUGUUUUCCUUAUUUUUCCGUCUGCUCUCCUCAUUUAAUACGGAGGCGGCAACAUCGUCGAAAACUAGACUGUCCACUGGAUUGUUGUUCGUCAGGUUGAUGAUGAGUUGAUCAUACGAAUCUGGUAGACUUUGAAGUAGAAGCUCUGCACGUUCAUUUUCCUCUAUAUUAUGACCCAACGUUGUGAGUUGUGAAAAUAGAGUCUUCAAGGUGUUGAUGUGGUCAAUCACCAUUGUAGAUUCCGCCAUUCGAAGAGUAUAGAGUUUUCUUUUCAAGAAGAUUUUGUUGUGUAGUGACUUGGCCUCGUACAAUUUUGUGAGAGUAUCCCAUAUUUCCUUCGCUGUGUUUUUCUCUGCCACACUAGAUAAUACUCCAUCUGCAAGUGCCAAGUGUAGAUCAGAAAUGGCGUUGCCGUCUACCUCGUUCCACUUGUCAUCAGUUAUCUCCAUGGGCCUUUCUCCAAUUGCUGCUAAGCAAUUAUUUUUCCUCAAUACAGCUUUCAUCUUCAUUUUCCACAACGAAAAAUUAUUUCCGUUAAAUUUCUUAAUUUCAUACUUUGCCCCCAUUUUGUUGAUAAUACUGCACACAAGCUAGUAUACCACCUUGAAUAGUUGUGAGUAUGUGUGAGAAUGCACACCAGGAAAGUUCCCAGGAAAGACUGGAGGGGUCACAAUGGUCCCACUUAAAACCCAGACUCCUUAAGCUCUUAUCGCCUUUGUGACAGAACUUUCCUAGACAUGUACAAAACCACACAGUUGCUUUACUCACACCACUAUUCCCUGUUUUGCACCGCAAAAUUCUUGGAUCGCUUACACCGUUUCACGUGAAUAGUACCGUAUACGUGAACAGUACCAUAUAUGUUGAUUGUUUUUCAAUCUAAUCUCCAAGUGGGAGAAAUGUCAAAGUCGGUGGUGGCCUAGCCAAAUCUUCCUAGUUUUGGCAGCCGCCCAAAGAAAUAAACGUGGGUUUGGCAGCUGCCCAAGGAAAGAAACAAAAGAGAAAGAAGAAAAAGAAGAAAGAGAGAAGACAAAGAGAUGUCGGGCCGAAGAAGGAAAAGAAAAGAAAAAUUAAUAAAAUAAUAAUAAUAAUUAAAUAUUAAAUAUUAAAUGAACAUUAGCUAAUUUUGGCUAUAAAAACGUUGUCUCCCUUCAUUUGUAAAUCAUCGAGUUCUGCAGUUCUUUUCUUUAUUUAGAGAGUGUUUUUAAGAGUUAUAGUGAUUUGAGAGUUUGGGUGUAUUGAGAUUUUGGGAAGUGAGCUAAAAUACUACAAUACUUGUAACUCCUUUUCACUAGUAAAAUAUUUUCUUCUGUCUUCGCCCGUGGAUGUAGGCUAAAAGCCGAACCACGUAAUUUCUGGUGUCCUCUAGUGUGCUUGUUCUUUAUUUUCUUCUAAUUUUAUUUUAGCUGCGUGUCUGCUUCACCCACCAAUUUCCUAACAAUAUCUUUAGCGCGUGGCUUUGGACAUAGCUGCUAUAAACUCGGUCAGUUUAACAAAUAUAACGUAAACUAUGAUAUUAUUUUAAAUAUUCAACUAUUCUGUUGGAGAGAAGUAAAUUCACUAAAAUUAAAAAAAAAAGUUUGUGAAUGUAAACAUAUUUUAUAUUUUAUUACGUAAUAAUAUUAGAAUCUUAACGCGCCUUUGGUAUAGCUUUUGUUUGGUGGUUUUUUUGUUCUUUAAUAAUGAAGCAAUCUUAACGAGCCUUUCUUUCUUUUUUUCUUUUUUUAAUUUUUAAUUUUUUUUUACCAGUGUGAACUGCAAAUACUGUCAUGUCCUCAAUCCGCGAUUCACGCGGUAUACGAACUCGACAAAGCUGUUAUAUAAUAUAUGGGAGCCCCUAACUUACAGCCGGCUGUAAGUUACAGCACACACAAAAAUUAUACCAUUUAUUACUGUUCAUGCAUAUUUUUAUGUGUGCUGUAACUUACAGCAGCUGUAAGUUAGCAUUUGCAAUAAUAUAAGGAUCCUUUGCUAUAAUAUAAGGAUCCGCCUAACUUAUGAAUAACAGUUCAUUACGUAAACUGUUUUCAAUAAAGGUCUGGAUAUAUUGGAAGCACUAUAAGGUAGAGCAUUUUUUUUAUAAUUAUACAAUUAAAAUUAUAAUUAAUUUUUUAUUAUUUAUCACUUAGCGUGUGUGGUUGAAAUUCAUACUCCAUUAUAAAUCCACUCCUACAUAAUCAUAAUCUUCCAAGAAUUGAACAAGUUGUUGUAUAAUAAUAUACGGUAACAACUUGUCUCUUUUCAACAAUUGAACAAGUUGUUAUACAAUAUACGGGUAACAGUUCAUGACGUGACAAAUAAUUUAUUAGGAGCGUGCCAUGCCAUGUGUAAAAAUUUGAUAACUAUCUCGUUGGAUCCAAUUUGGUAACAAGAUUCUUUUCAACCGUCAUUAACUGGUUGCAGAUGACAUACUGAAAUAAAAACUUAUCAUUAAUUACUUCUUAUUAUGUAUAAAUUGAUACUGAAAUUACAAUUGCAUUAAACAACUUUUGACUGUGAAGUGUGAAAAAUCAAAUAAUCUUUAUUAUUAGUUUUGUAACAAUAAUAAAUAAAAAAUUAUUAUUAAUUAUUUCUUACUAUGUAUAAAUUGAUCCAUCUAUUUCUAAUCAUUUCGAAAUUUAAUAUAAAUUUUUUUAAAAAAUCAAGUUGUAAUAAAAGUGUUAUAAAUAUAAAAAAAUGAAAAUGGAGAGUCAAAAUUGUAAUACCCAAAAAAGACAAAAACUUUUAUUUUCUUUUUUUCCUCGGCAUAUAAAUAUAUUGUUACAGGUAAUGGAAUUCAUAGCCCCAAAGGGAAGAUUCUUCCAUAAAUGAUAGGAGAACGACGGGUUGAACAUGUGAACACUUUUAUUGCGAAAUUACCUUACAAUUGCAACAUUUGAACACUUUAUUUUCUUUUUGACAAAGCACAAUAAUAAGUUACAGGUACUGCAAUAUUGCAUGAAGAUUCCUGGGGGUAAGCCUUCAGUUCAAAUUAAUAUUUUUCUUUUGGACAAAACCAACCAACAAUAAUUUUCGAACCUGAAAGAUACUCAUUAAAAGAUAGAUCUUCGUAGUUUUCUUAGAAGAUACUUAGAACUGCCAAUAUCUUCUAAUUAUUGUUUUAAAAAUCUCAGCUGCCCAUUUAACAAAUCAGUAGUUUUUGUUCGACAUAUUUAAAACAUAAAAAAAAAGCACACAUUGGUUUGAUGACUUUGUAAUUGAUACAUCAGGAAAUGAAGAGAAAAAGGAACACACUAAUGACCAUCAUUGUAGAUGAUAUAAUAGAUGUACGUAUUUAGUUGCAAUUAAUUAACUAAUAGUCUUAUGGAGUAAUUGUUUUAGACUCGAAUUAAGAAGCUCUGCACUGCCCUUAGGUAAUUCCCCCGCUUAAAAAAUAUUGUUUUAAAAAUCUCAAUAACUACAAGCCUAUGCCCAGCAAAUCAGUUUGACACGCCAUAUUUUCUUUUUUUUUUAAAAAAAAAAAAAAGGAUCGACCCGCACAGUAAUUUUGGUAUAAUGACUUUGAUGUAAUUGAACAUUAUUAGACAAUUAAUAAAGUGUAGAGAGCAACAAUAUCGAGUAUCGAAACUUCGGAAGAGUGGAAUGUAUGGAAGGCAAACUUUGCUCAACAGAUUUAUAAUUAGUGGAGAACAAGAUAGAUGACAUGGAAAAUGGAUGUAAUACUUAUUUUUAUUUUUCUGAAAUUUUGUUGUAUUUUAGUAUCUAUUGAGACUUUUGAAACUAUAUUGACAAUAUUAUUUUGAAUGUGACAAGUAGGAUUUAUUUUAUUACCACCUGUAAUUUAAUCUGAGUUUAAUUUGUCUGAUAUUGGUGCAAUUUUUAUGUAUAUGCAUUGAGUUUUAUAUGUCUAUGCAAGUGCAUAAGUUGGUUACUUAAUGCUCUGGUUGUGCAAAUUAAAAAUUUUGUUUGAUGUUGCUUUACACCUAAUUGACUAUAUUUUUACUGUUUAGUUUUUGUUUUAAUAGGUAAAUGGCAUCACAGCCUCCAAAAUCAAGAUUUUGGACCUUAGAAGAAGAUAUUAAGCUCGUGGAGUCUCUUUUAGACUUGUAUCAUGAUGGGAAAUUUUGUGCGGACAAUAACUUUAAAAGUGACUACUUAAGGGCUCUUGAGACUACUUCGAAAGCAAAACUACUUGGAUGUGGUAUACAAGCAAAACCACACAUUGAAUCCGUAUAAAAGACUUUAAAAUUGCAAUUCUGAACUAUACAUGAGAUGUUAACUGGACUGGAUUGCAGUGGCUUUGGUUGGGAUCCAAAAAAGAAAAUUAUAACUGCAAAGAAAGUUGUGUGGGAUGCUUAUGUUCUGGUAUGUGAGAUGUUAUUGUUUUAUUUGCUAUUUUUUUUUUCUAUUGUUGUUAUAGAUCAUUGAUAUUUUCAGCCAUUGUUUCACUCGCUAUUUUGCUAUUAUACUUGUUGGUUGCUGUCGUUUUACUUUCUGUUGUUGCUGUUAUAUUUGUUGGUUACUAUAUUUUUUACUAUUUUUGCUAUUUUGCUUGUCGUUUUACUUGCUAUUUGCCACUAUUAUACUUGCUGCUUACUAUUCUUUUUGCUGUUAUACUUGCUUGUUACUACUUUUUUUGUUGUUUUUUCUGUUUCAUUUGUUGUUUUUGCUGUUUCAUUUGUUGUUUUUGCUAUUUCAUUUGUUGUUUUUACUGUUAUACUUGCUGGUUACUACCUUUUUGUUGUUUUACUUUCUGUCUUUACAGUUAUACUUGCUGGUUAGUACUUUUUUUUGCCUUUUUUACUAUUUUAUUUGCUGUUUUUGCUUUUUUUGCUGUUUCAGCCAUUGUUUCACUUGCCAUUUGCAUUAUUUUUGUAUAAAGCUGCAGGAAUUAGAUAUUUAAUCAGUACUCGAGAUAUUACAAAUUAAAAAGUUGCAUACUCCUGACAUUAACAUAACAUAAAAUUUGAUCCACAAUUUACUCAAUUUCUGAGUAAGCUCACCAAAAGCACCGUAGCAGAAAUAACCAGACCUACCCAGGUCCUGAUAUGGAGCCACUCGGCGUGGUUCUCUUUGGAGUUAAUUAAGGUAAAAGCUUGAUCCUCUGUUAACCAAAAUGGUCGAACAAAGAUUAAACCAAAAUGUUGAAAUCUUUUCCUUUUGUAAUUCUAGCUCUAAACAUUAAAAAUCCAUCAUUAGGAAAUAGAGAGUUAAAUAGAGUUCCCAGUAAAGCGGACCAGUGUCUGUCACUGUCACCACAUAAAUAUAUCAGACUAGCUAUCCAAUGCAAUAUAUACAUUUUUUGUCCUUUUUUUUUUUAACCCUUUUUUCAUUCAACACGUCCAGAAAUCAAUAACAAAGCUUAGGCUCCUACGAUGCUUAGGCCUCAUCAUGAUCUAGUACUUGUACAGUAGCAACAUUCAAUGCAUAAACUUGUACUUGUGGCCUGCUAAACAAAUAUUAGUUUUUUCGAUUUCUCAAUUGGAUUAAAAAUAUAUAACAACAAAGUAAAAGGGGGCAGGAUGAAUAAAUUACCACAGUGUUGAUGCAGGGAGAGUGGGAGUGUGGCAUAUUUUGGGCCAGUUCUCUCCUGUCUCCUUUCUUUAACAUUCUUCUAGAAGAGAAAAGUCGCUAAUAUUCAAAAUUUGCACAGUGUUUGUCUUCUGAACAAAGGUGAGGGGGCAGUGCUUUUAAGAGAUAUAUACCUUGUCCACAUUUCACUAAUAUGUGGCAUGAUUUCUCCCUUUGCUGCAGUCUCGUAAUCCCACUCUUCCAGUACAUUGCAAAUAUGAGCUCUUUCAAUUUGGGAAAGGUUGAGGAGCCAAUGGAAUCAUCCGCAUCACUCUCUCUGUUCCCAAACAUUCAUUGUCCACCCUUUUCGCACUUUCCAGUCUGUAAAUAUAGAGAUAUUCAAGGGAUGGCAAUUUUUGCAAAGACUCAAAAAGAAUUUGAAAGAUAAAAAAGAACAAAACAAAAAACGAAUACAGAUUAAAAUUCACAAAUAUAUGUACAUAUAAAUAAUUGAACAUGCAUCGGCAAAUAAAUGAAGAGUAGAGAGCAAAUGAGAGGGAAAGCAUAUAGAAUUACUAACCAGAGUUAAUUCGAUCCUUAUUUGCACCACUAUUAUAUUUUAAUUCCUGCUGUAUCCUCUCCUCUGCACAGUGUUGGAUUUGUUUCAUCUCAGUCUCACGUCUGUCUGUUUUGGAUCCGCUCUUAAUUGAUUUUUCUCAUUAUUGUUGUUGAUCAAUUGGCUGAAAAGGGAAAGUCUCUUUAAUUUCAGUGCAGAAAGCAGAGGAAUUGACGACAUACUUAUAAUAAUUAAUUUCCAAAAUGGAUAAAAAAAAAUAACAACCAAUUAAUUUUUAAGUAAAAUAGAUUGAGCGUGCUGCAGGAGAUCUAGAAAGAAAUUACCGGUCGCGCUGGACGUGGGUGAUUGUAAUUUGAAAUUGCAGCCGCGCGCUUUGGGAAUUCCUCACUCAAUCUCGAUGUCGAGAAUGUGGCGUAUCUUAGGCCAGUCCUCUCCUGUCCCCUUUCUGCAACGUUCUUCUAAAAUAGGACAUCCAUAAAUCUCUAAUCUCUGGAGCGUUGUCUUCUGAAGAAGGUGAUCGGGCAGUGCUUUUAAUUUAGGGCAAUCAUCAAUUGACAAGAAAGAAAGACGUGGCAUGAUUAUGAUUCCUCCCUUUAUUGCAGUCCCGAAAUCGCACUCUUCCAGUUUUUCCAUAAAACGAAAUGUCAGCUCUUUCAAUUUGGGAAAGACAGUAACUGAGGAGCCAUCCGUAUCACUUUCUACUCCCAGAAAUUCGUUACCCACUCUUUUCACACUUUCCAUUCCUAAAAUAUGAAGAUCUUCAAGGGAUGGCAAUUUUCCCAAAGGAGGCAAAUGCUCGCAAUUUCUGCAGUAGGAGAGAUAUAAAACCCUUAAAUUGGUUAACGACAUGACCCAAUUUUUUAGAACAACAUUCCUCCUGCCUCUGUAUUCAUGUAUAUGUAAUUCCUUUAAAUCGGGAGGUGGUCCCAAGGCUUCAAGAAGCAGUUCAUCUUCAUCCUCCUCAUGCUCCCUCCUCCCAGCUUGUUCUUCAUCUCCAUCUCUUAAAUGAUCGAAAUCAAGAAGUAAAAAAACCAGAUUUUUCUUUUUCUCAAGUUCAGCCCUUCGAGCCUCACCCGCAUUUGACACAUCACCCAGCCCACAUAUCCUGCAGUCUCGAAGGAGGUUAAGCUUUUUAAGAGACCCAAGGCUACAUGCUCUGCCAUAUCCUCCACCCACAACAAGCUUUGUCACUUCCGAAGACCGAUUAAUUCCCCAAUCCCGACCGGCAAGAAUCUGAAAGAAUUAGUCCCCUCAUUGUCUAAAUACAUCAGCUUUCUUAGCUUCCCAAUCCCUUGAAGUAAUUCUCUAAGAUUUACGCAAAAACGAACGUCUAAACGUUCUAAAUUGUAUAACUCACACAACACCUCAGGUAAUCUUUUUAUCUCGCUUUGACCGAACAAACUAAGGUAUUUCAAAUGUAACAACUUUUUUAUAUUUGUUGGAAUUUCUUUGAUUGGAUUAUAAUCCCAGCCAUACGUCUCUAAUGUUAAUGCCCUUAAACAAGUUAGUUUAUCAAAUAAUUGAGGUAAAACUUUGCUAGACCAUGAAUAUUCACCACCUUCAACCGAGAAGCUACACAAUCGUCUCAUUCUCUUAACAUUAUUCCAAAUGGAGAUUGGAACUGAAGUUUUUUCUGCUCAAAGGAACUCAUAAUUGACUCUUCACCACCAGGAAUUUUCACUGUUAAACAUUCAUUCCUCCAUAUAAAUUGGGCAAGGUCGUGCACUAAAUCGUGCAUUUUGCACAUAUAGACUUCACCAUCACCAUCUGCAUUGAACUCUUGAAAGAAUGAACUACUAGCUAAAAUGUUGAAAUACUCUUCACCUAUGUCCUCCAUCUCUUUGUUUCCUUUCUCAUUAAGGUAACCUUGAGCCAUCCAUAGUUCAAUUAACUCAUACUUCCGUAUUUCAAGGUCUUUUUGGAAAAUUGCCAUUCCAUAUUUCAUAUUUCACUAAUAUGUGGCAUGAUUUCUCCCUUUACUACGGUCUCGUAAUCCCACUUAUCCAGUACAUUGCAAAUAUGAGCUCUUUCAAUUUGGGAAAUGCUGAGGAGCCAAUGGAGUCAUCCGUAUCACUUUCUCUGUUACCAAACAUUCAUUGUCCAAAGACUCAAAAAGAAUUUAAAAAAAAAAAAAAAAAAAAAAAAUCAAGGGAUGGCAAUUUUUCCAAAGACUAAAAAAAAAUCUAAAAAAAAAAACAGAACAAAAUAAAAAAAGAAUACAGAUUAAAAUUCACAAUGCAUGCAGGCGCCUAUCCGAAUUCCUGCUUUGCAACGCCAUUUACGUAAUUCCUUUUUGGCUGGAAAUAUUGCUUUUUUAAAAAUUCCGGUAACAUGCCCAACAAAUUAAUCAGUUAGACGAAUAUAAUUAUAACGGCUUGAUGACUUUAGAUGUAUGUAUAAAUAAUUAAAAAUGCAUUAUCAAAUUAAUGAACAGAAGAGAGCAAAUGAGAAGGAAAGCAUAUGUAAUUACUAACCAGAGUUAAUUUGAUUCCUUAUUGGCACCCCUAUUAUAUAUUAACUUGUGCUGAAUCCUCUCCUGUGUUCACUGUUGGAUUAAGCGUUUCAUCUCAUGCAUUCUCACAUCUGUACGUUUUCGAUCUGCUCUUAAUUAAUUUCGUCUCAUUUUUAUGUAAAUUUUAUAGCCCCACUGAUUCACCAUUGUUAUGUUAUGACCAUUGUAGGUUUGUUAUUUUCAAAUUAUGUCCCCAGGUAAAACCAAAAUUAUAAUUUGACCAUCUUUUAUAGAGUUUAGUUAUAAUAAUCAAAUAAUACAAUGAACACACAAGAUAAAAAAAUUUACAUGGUUAGACAUAUUAAUUAAUAUGCCUUCAUCCGUGGGUGGUGAUACUAAUAAUCCACUAUAAAGCAUACACACAAUAAGCUCCCAGAUGCAAAUAAAACGAAAAGAAACACCAAUCUCAACACUCAAAAUCAAUCAACCCCCCAGCAGUUUGGCCUCACAAGAGCCCAUUCUGUGUUGUGCUUUCCCUCAUUCAUUCUCUUCACAAAUACAAGGCUUACAAAAAACAAAACAAACAAAUUACUGAAAACAUAUACAACAGAUUGAAAAAGCAUGCGGCUAUAUAUCCCAAUUCCUGCUCUGCUACGCCAUUUACGUAAUUCCUUUUUGGCCGAAAAACAUUGCUUUCCCCAACAAAACAAAUCAAUCAGUUAGACAAUUAUAUCUAAUUAUAAUGGUUUGUGACAUAAUUAUAUAUAUAUAUAUAUAAAACUAAUUGGGCAUGCAUCAGCAAAUUAAUGAAGAAGAGUAGAGAGCAAACGAGAAGGAAAGCAUAUACAAAUUAUAAUUACUAACCAGAGUCAAUUUGACUCGUUUCCUUGUUGGCUCAGUUCACUGUUGGACUAGACGUUUCAUCUCAUACACUCUCGUCUCUGUCUGUUUUGGAUCCGCUCUUAAUUAAUUUGUUGUUAAUCAAUUGGCUGAAAAUGAAAAGUUUCUUUAAUUUCAGUACGCAGAAAGCAGAGCAAUUGACGACACUUAUAAUAAUUAAUUUCUGAAUUGGAUCGAAAAAAUAACAACUAAUUAAUUAAUUUUUAAGUAAUAUAGGAGAUCUGGAAAGAAGUUACCCGUGGCCGUGGGUGAUUGUAAUUGACUAAUUGCAGCCGCGCGGUUUGAGAAUUCUUCACUCAAUCUCGAUGUUGGGAAUGUGGCGUAUCUUAGGCCAGUCCUCUCCUGUCUCCUCUCUGUAACGUUCUCGAAAAAUAGGACAUCCCCCCCAAAUGUGCAAUUUCUGGAGCGUUGUCUUCUGAAGAAGGAGAUCGGGCAGUGCUUUUAAUUUAAAGCAUCCAAAAAUGAUCAAGCAAGAAAGACGUGGCAUGAUUAUGAUUUCUCCCUUUGUUGCAGUCCCAAAAUCCCACUCUUCCAGUUCUUCCAUGUAACUAAAUUUAAGCUCUCUCAAUUUCGGAAAGGCAAUAACUGAGGAGCCAUUCGUAUCACUUUCUAUUCCCAGAAAUUCAUUACCCACUCUUUUCACACCAUGCAUUCCUCCAAUUUGAAGAUAUUCAAGGGAUUGCAAUUUUCCCAAAGGAAGCAAUUGCUCACAAUUUUUGAACAAGCUGAGAGAUAAAUACCUUAAAUUGGUUAAUGACAUGAUCCAAUUUUUGGGGACAACAUUGCCUCUGUAUUUAGAUAUCCAUAAUUUCUUUAAAUUAGGUGGGGGCUGUAAGGCUUCAAGAAGCUGUUCAUCCUCCUCAUCGUCCCUCCUUUCUUGUUCUUCAUUAAUUGUACGAUCAAAACGAAGUUCCAAAUCAAAGAGAUUUUUCUUUUUCUCAAGUUCAGCCCUCCUAGCCUCACCCACAUCUGACACAUCACCCAGCCCAUGUAUCCUACAUUCUCGAAGGAGGAUAAGCCUUUUAAGAGACUCAAGGCUACAUGCUCUGUCAUACCCUCCACCCACAACAAAUUUUCUCACUCUCCGAAGCCUGAUUAAUUCCCCAAUCCCAACCGGCAAGUAUCUCAAAGAAUUAGUGUAAUCAUUGUCUAAAUACAUCAGCUUUCUUAACUUCCCAAUCCCUUGAGGUAAUUGUCUAAGAUUUGUGCAAAAACUAAUGGCUAAACACUCUAGAUUAUAUAAUUCACACAAUGUCUCGGGUAAUCUUUUUAUCUUUUUUUGAGAGGACAAAUUAAGAUAUUUCAAAUGUAUUAAUUUUUCCAUAUUUGUUGGAAUUUCUUUGAUGUAAUUAUCACACCUCCAUCCGCGACACUUUAUUAAUUUUAAUGCCCUUAAAUUAGUUAAUUUAUCAAAUAAUUGAGGUAGGACUUCGCUAGACCAUGAAUAUUCAGCACUUUCAAUUAAGAGGCUACGCAGUCCUCGCAAUUCUUUAGCAUUAUCCCAAAUGGAGAUCGGAACCCAAGCCCCCGUCUCUAUAGUUAAACUUAAAUGAAGGAUUUUGUUCUCCCAAAAAGAGCUCGUAACUGACUCUUCGCCACAAAGAAUUUCCACCAUAAGACAUUCUUUCCUACACAAAAAUUGGGCAAAGUCGUGCACUAUAUCGUGCACUUUGCACUGAUAGAUUUUGCCAUCAUAUCCUCUUUCAAAAUCCUGAAAGAAUGAACGGCUAGCUAAGAUAUUAAAAUACUCUUCACCAAUUUCCUCCAUCUCUUUGUUCUUUUUAUUGUUAAGGAAACCUUGAGCCAUCCAUAGUUCAAUUAACUUAUCUUUCCAUAUUUUAGAGUUUUUUGGAAAGAUGGCACAAUAAGUGAAACAUUGUUUUACCUUGGAGGGUAAUUCAUUAUAACUCAACAAUAGAGGGGCUAAAAGGUUUUUCUCAACCUCUUCUAUCUCCCAUAUCUCACUCUCUAAGAUAUUUUGCCAUUCUUUUUCAGUGUUUUUAGACCGCAAGAGACUAGCAAUUGUCUUAGCAGCUAAAGGUAAGCCCUUGCACUUUCUUAUAAUUUCUCGACCAAUUUUUUCUAAAUUUUCACGUUCCUCCAUGGACUUACCAGAAAAUCCUAACGACUCAAACACCAACCAGCAUUCUAUUUCAGACAAUACAUUCACAGAGAUAAUGUCAGCUGAUCCCAUAAUACGGGCAACUGUUUCUUUACGUGUGGUAAUUAAAAUUUUGCUUCCAUGGAGACAAGUCUUUAAACAGUUGUAGAAUUGUUCCCAUUUAUAGAAAUCUUCAUUCCACACGUCGUCUAAGACAAGAAGAAGUUUCUUUCCUGCAACAUGUUUUUGAAUAUGUUGCAUGAGAGAUUGAAACUCAACAAAAUUAGAGGAAGAAUCUGUGAGAGCUUCAAUGAUUGCCCUAGCGAUUCUGAACACAUCAAAUGGCUCUGACACACAAACCCAUAUUCUUUUUUCAAAAUUCUUUUCAACAUCACCGUUGUUGUAGGCAAAUUGAGCAAGAGUAGUUUUGCCUAUGCCCCCCAUCCCAACAAGUGAGAUAACACAGGGGCCUUUCUGUUCUUCACUACUUUCACAUAACAACCUAUUAACGAGUUCGCUCUUCUCUUUUUCUCUACCAAAUAUCUCGGACUCAUCAAUUGAGGAGAUACUUGGUACUCGCUCAUCCGCUCUCUCAUUACUCUUAAUAACAUUCACAGCAAAACCAAACUGGUCUUUUUGUUUGGCAAUAUCAUCAAGAGUUUCAUUGAUUUCUCUGAUCUUGAGAGCAAUGUCCCGACGUAGAACAAGUGGUUUGCAACCAAAGCAAGGGGCAGCAGGAAAGAAGGAACAUACCUUCUUCUUAUGAACGAGAGCAUCAACUCCAUCGAUUUGCAGUUUGAGCCUUGCAGUGCUCCACUCAUCCAACACGUCUUCCAUGUUGUAAGAUGCGUCUCUGAGUUGAUCGAGCCAGAGUCUGACAGUUUCCUCCUUCACUUGCCUUUUCUCUGCAUCAUGGAGCACAGCUUGAAUGGCCCGGAGAUUGCUGGUCAGCUUCUUCACUUCCUUUCCGACACCCGUUACUAGCCUCACUUGUUCCUUCGCCUCUUCAACAGCCAUUGAAGUCAGCUGCUCCAAGAUAGGGGAAAUGAUCGCAUCAACCAUGGUGAAAAAGAAAAAAGAGAGAGAGAAGAAAUUGAUGGCUAGUUGUUGCAAAAGUAAGUAAUGCUGACAGAAAUGAAGGAGCUGAUAAUGUGGUGAAAAUGUUGCCGUAUUCUUUCAAUUCUUAUAGUGCUGCAAGCAAAAUUCCAAUUGUCUUUUUCUUUUUUUUUAAUAAUUUUUUUACCAGUGUGGACUGGAAAUAUUGUCACGUCCUCCGUCCGCGAUUCACGCGGUAUAUGAACUUGACAAAGUUGUUAUAUAUAUUUUUUUGGCUUAAGCACGGGUAUCUUGGGGAGAGCCCAACUGUGGGAGGCACCUUUAAACCCGUACCACAACUCAGAUUAGAAGUUCCCGCUCGAGCCGGGAGGCACAGGUUCUCCCAACAAAGGCGACUUCCCUGCGACUCGAACUGAGGAGCAAACACAGUCAAGCCUCUUAAGGGGACUCCAUUAUCAGUAGAGCCAACACUUUGUUGGACAAAGUUGUUAUAUAAUAGAUUAUCUCUUUUCAAUAAUUGAACAAGUUGUUAUAUAAUUUACGGGUCUUACUAUGUUACAGUUAUGUAUGUAACAGCCCAUGACGUGAUAAAUAAUUUAUUAAGAGUGUACAAUGUCUAAAAAUUUAAUGAUUUGGUAACUGCCCCCGGCUCCAAUUUAGUAACAAAAUUCUUUUCACCUGUUAUUAACCGGUUCCAGAUGACUUACUCAAAUUACAAUUACGUUUGUUAAGAUAUUUGAAUUGAUUAAUUACGUUUAGCUUUCUGUUUUAGCUAGUUAAGUGAGUUUGUUACUAGUGCUGAUGUGGCAGCUGAGUCAGCUAAAUCUGUUAUGAUCGUUAGUUUAAACAAACACAUCACUCGCAUGCAGAGUGUAGAAUAUUCCAUACAGCCGUAUGUAUAAAUACUUGUAAUCCUGCUCAUUUGGGCAUGUGAUCAAUACAAUAUUCUCUCUCUGUUUUCUCAUUCAUUUUCUCUACAGCCAAACAACUCUCUUUUCUUUAACAACGUUAAACAGUGUUUGACUGUGAAGUGUGAAAAAUCGAAUAAUCUUUUUUAAAAAAUUAGUUUUGGAACAAUAAUAAACAAUAACUCAUCAUUAAUUAUUUCUUAUUAUGUAUAAAUUGAUCGAUCUAGAACUGAAUAUUUACAUAUUCUUCUAUUUCUAAUCAUUUCAAAAUUUAAUAUAACUUUUUUUUAAAAAAAGAAUCAAUUUGUAUAAAAUGAUGAGAAUAACGGGUUGAACAUGCGAACACUUUAUUUUCCUUUUGACAAGGCAUAAUAAUAACUUAUAGGUACUGCAAUAUCGCAUGAAGAUUCCUGGAAGUAGCCUGCAGCUCAAAUACUUUUCUUUUGGACAAAAAUCAACAAUAAUUUUCAAACUUAGAAGAUACUCCUUGAAAGAUGGAUAACCCACCCACCAAACACUUUUUUCAUUUAGUGUAACUUUGUCGUUUUCUCGGAAAAUACUUAGAACUGCCAAUAUCUUCUAUAAUUAUUGUUUUAAAAAUCUCAGUUGCAUGCCCAAUUAACAAAUCAGUAGUCUUUGUUCAACAUAUUUAAAACACAAAAAAAAAAAAAAAAUCACACAUUGGUUUGAUGACUUUGUAAUUGAUACAUCAGGAAAUGAAGAGAAAAAGGAACACACUUACGACCAUCAUUGCAGAUGAUAUAAUAGAUGUAAGUAUUUAGCUCUGCACUGCCCCUUGGUAAUUCCCCUGCUUAAAAAAUAUUGUUUUAAAAUCUCAAUAACCAGUAACCACAUGCCCAAGCCCAGCAAAUCAGUUUGACAAGCCAUAUUUUUUUUCAAAAAAAAAAAAAAAAGGAUCGACCAGCACACUAAUUUGGUAAAAUGACUUUGUUCUAAUUGAACAUCAUUAGAAAAAUAAUAAAGAUUAGAGACCAACGAGAAAGCGUAAUUAAACUAAACAAUCUGAUUAUUAAAUCUCUAGUCUCGAGCACCAUUCCAUUGAUCCUCUGAUCGAUCGCACAGGCCUGUCUUGUCGUGUUCCCUUCUACGCAUAAUCGAUUCAUUUACUACAUGAAAUUAAUAAAUUUGAAUAUAUAUUUAUUAAUGUUGAAUUUUUUAGUAAUUUUGUUGCUUUCCAGAGUAUGAUAUCUUUACCGCCUGGAUUUGGACAUAGUUGUUAUAAAAAAUUUGAUUAUUAACUCUCUAGUCUCUCUCGCACCAUUCCAGUAAUCCUCUGAUCGAUCACACAAUCUAUGCAUAAUCGAUUCAUUUACGAAAUGAAAUUAAUCAAUUUGAAUGUAUAUAUUUAUUAAUGUUGAUUUUUUAGUGAUUUUGUUGCUUUUCAGAGUAUGAUAUCUUUACCGCGUGGCUUUGGAUAUAGCUUGGUUAGUUUAACAAAUAUAACGUAACCUAUGAUAUUAUAUAAAUAUUCAAUUAUUCUCUUGGACAGAAGUAAAUUAACUAAAAUUUUAAAAAAAAUGUAAAGAUUAAAAUAUUUUAUAUUUUAUUACGUAAUAAUAUUAGAAUCUUAAACUGCGUUUGGUAUUGUUUUUGUUUUGGUGUUUCUUGUUUUUUUAAUAAUGAAGCAACCUAAAAUUGUUUGGAUAACUUGUUUUUUAAUAGUAUUUAAUUCUAAUAGAGACUGAUUUGUUCUAAUUUUCCAAUAGAAGAAAAGUGGAGAAUAGAAAAAUGAUGUUUUUUUAAUUUUUAUUCUUCAAAUGGAUCCCAUAAUGCUACUUGCACAAUAAUAAAAUAAAAAACCUAUUUACUUUAUAAUACAAUUUUUUAUUUGUUUAAUCUUUUGAAUUUUUUUCUAUGAUGGUAAUGUAUUAUUUUAGUAAUUUUUAAAGGACUUUGAUAUUCUCUAAAAAUAUAUAUAUAUUAUCUCAUGUUUAAAAAAUAAAAAACUGCAAUAACAAAAAAAAUAAAAUAUAUAAUGAUUAAGAAAAUUGAGUUUGUUAAAAAUUUUUCAUUAUGAUUUUUUUUUUCACUCUCAUUCAAUGUCUUCACUUAUUUAGACAAAAAAUUGACGACAUUUUUAUUUUUUUAUAUUUAAACACUAUUUUAGAAAUAAUCAACCAAACAUAUUUUUAUUUUCACUAAAAAUUAAUUAUUUCUAAUUUAUAAACAAAAAAUAAAAAUUUCAUGUAAAAAAUAAUUCUAAAUACAUUCUUAAUAUUUGAGGAGAUGUAUCUUAUUAUAUUAGUUGUAAGAUAGUAUUGGCCUAAAAAAUAUUGUGCGAGAUAGCACAUGCCAACCGGGGCCUUAUCCCUGGUAAAGCUUUAUCAUUGCCAUGUCUUUUCGCUAUUCAUAUGUUAGUGGCAGACAUCGGUGGCCAUUUAAGGGAUAAACACUGCUAUUCUUCUAAUUAAAUCUUGACAAGUGUGCUUUUUAUUUCUAAUUAAGCAAUUCCUAUCUUACAUGCAUGUAAGAUACAUCCCCUCACAUAAACAGUAUACCCACACAUGUAAGAUAAUGGGAUCCUUCUAAUUAUUCUACUGUCCUUAUUUUUUUCUUACACCAUUCAUAGUGGGAAACAGUCGUAAAACCCGAUAAAAGGAAUAAUCUUAUCCCAGCCCAUACGCAAGGAAUGUCGAAUGGCCUACAAGACGUAAAGGUAAUAGCCAUCUAAUAUGCUUUGCUGUCAGCCAUGUGUAUUUUAUUUAUGGAUUUGGCUACCUUACAUUUCAAGUAAGUUUUUAUAUAAUAUUUUAUCAUGUCGGCAGAUUCAUUGAGAUUUGGAGGCAUUUGCUACAAUCACCCGUGAACUUUAAAUAAUUGAACAAGUUUUUAUAUAAUAUGUUAUCAUGUCAGGAAAUUCAUUAAGAUUUGGAAGCAUUUGCUCACAAUCACCCAUGAACUUGAUACUUUUUAGAUUGUUAGAUCUGAAAUAUACAUGCAUUAUUAGCAUAGAAUACCUUGACUAUCUCUUUUUUUCCUUUUUUUUUUAAUGACUCGCUCGCAUAAUUAAUUGAAAAGAAUGAACAAGUUGGCACAAAAUAUUUUAAGAUUCGUCUCGAAUCACUUUGUUUAAAUCUUGUCAUAUUAGUAGACUUGUAAUAUUGGUAGUUUAGAGUUUAAUCUCUAACUUUAACUGUGAAGUGUGCAUUUCAUAUACUCGGCUAACAAAAGAAAAUCAUAUCUUAUUUAGUAAUUUAACGGGAUGAUAAUAUUGAAUGAAAAACUUAUAAUUAUUUUACUAUUUUUAUUAAAAUUAUUAUUUAAAAAUAAUGUUUAAUAUUAAACACUAAUCACAAUCUCUUUCACAAUUAUUAUAAUCUUAGGUGGCGUUUGUUUUUUAAUUUAAUGACUUAAAGUGACUUAACUUAAUUAAUUAAGUUAAUUAGAGAUAUUUAUUUUUAUAACUUAAUGAGACUUUUUAGAUAAUUUUGACUUAAUAAAAUAAGCCAAUUUUUUUUGCUUUUUACUUAAUGGAGAAAUCUCAAUUAAGUCAAUUACUUGCUAAUGUCAAAAAUAUCCCUGCUUUAUAAUUUAUUUUUCAUGUUUAUCCCAAAACUCACUCAUAGACAUUUACCCCACAUAAAAAUAUCCUUGUUUUUUUCUUUCUUAUAUUAUAUAAGAUAAAAUUUGAAAUUUAUGGUAUUUUAUAUAUUAAAAUUCCAAAAUAGUUAUGUAUUCACUUUAAUAUAGUUUUACUUAUAAAUGUUAAAAUAUUGUGGUAUUUAAUAUAUUAUUUAUUUGACAUUCAAAUUUAAUAAGGAUACAAAUGUAAAAGUACAUAUUUUCAGCUUUUUAAGUUGAAAAAAAAAAACAACUUAAUACUUAUUUUCCGAGAUUCAGACGAAAAAACAAACAUAUUAUUUAGAUUCAGACAUUCAGAUUUAUUGAGAAUUCAGACUAAUUCAAGUUUAUUCAGAUUUCAGACAAAAAAAAAAAAAAAACAAACACCACCUUAGUUUCAACCGAGGUAAAUAGCCGAACUCUUUUCUUUUUGAAGGAGCACAAUAACAACUUGAAGAUUCCUGGAAAUUGACUACAGCACAAAUAUUUUUCAUUUGAACAAAAACCAUCAAUAAUUUUCAAACUUAGAAGAUAUUUAUUUUUUUCCCCAUAACCCACCAAAAACUUUUUCAUUUAGUGUAACUUUGUAAUUUUCUUAGAUGAUACUUAAAACUGCUAAUAUCUUCUCAUUAUUGUUUUAAAAAUCCCAAUAAUUGCAUGUCCAAUUAACGGAUCAAUAGUCUCAGUUCGAUAUAUUUAUUAAAAAAAUAAGAAAUACACAGUUGUUUGAUGACUCUGGAAAUAAAGAGAAAAAAUAACACCCUUUAUGACGACCAUUGCGAAUGACAUAACAGAUGUCAGUAUUUAUUACCAAUUAAUUGACAUUCUUAUUAUCAAGUAAUUGUUUUAGACUCGAAUUCAAAAGCUCAGCCCUGCCCUUCGGUAAUUCCCCUGUUCAAACAAUAAUAUUGUUUUAAAUAUCUCAAUAACAACAUGUCCAACAAAUCAGUUUGACAUGACAUAAUUUUUGUCAUAACGACUUUGUUGUAACUGAAACAUUAUUGGGAAAUUAAUGAAGAGUAGAGAGCAAUGAGAAAGCUUAAUUAAUUAGCUAAACAAUUUUGAUUAUUAACUCUCUAGUCUCUCUUGCACCAUUCCAGUAAUCCUCUGAUCGAUCACACAAUCUAUGCAUAAUCUAUUCAUUUAAUUAAUCAAUUUAAAUAUAUAUAUAUAUAUUAGAGUGACGCUAUUGGCACCCCUCUAUAUCAAUUAAAGAAAUAUAUUUUAAAGGGAGCUCGUAAGUAAUUUACAACCCUUCAAACUUACGUGAACAGUAAUAGUAAUAGUAAGUGGUGGGAUGAUCUACUGCAUGAAUUUUAAAGGAACUAUAAAUUAUUUAACAAAAUCUUAUUUUAAAACGAUUGUGCGGGACACAGCACAUGCCAACCCGGGCUUUAUCCGAGUUGAAGCUUUUAUCAUUGCCAUGUCUUUUCACUAUUCAUAUAUGUAGUGGCAGACAUCGGUGGCCAAUUAAGGGAUGAACACAACCAACCACUCCACCAAGUAAAUCUUGACGCGUGUGCUUUUAUUUCCAAUUAUUCUACUGUCUUUUUCUAAUUACUUUUAUCGCAGAAGUAAUUAAUUCUGAAGGAAAUGAAGGAGCUAAUAAUGUCGUGAAAGUGCUGCCACAUUCUUCCAAUUCUUAUGCUGCAAGCAAACCUCCAAUUUACAAAUAUUUCAUUUCAAAAGAAGUUAUUGUUAUUAUUAUCUUUCUUUUUCUUUUUAAUUUUUUUGACCAGCGUGGACUGAAAAAUAUUGUCAGGUCCUACAUCCGCGAUUCACUCAGUAUAUGAACUUGACAAAGUUGUUAUAUAAUCCCAAUAAAAAGAGACCGUCUUUUUUUUUUUUUACAUUAUUCAUAGUGGGAGACAAUGGUGAGGGCCUAGGGAUGAAAGUAAAACUAAAAGUUUAAUAGUGUUUGGUUAACAUUAAUUGUUGUAACUUAAAAGAUAUAUUCAUAUAAUUUUUCAGCUGUAUAAUAAAAAAUUUAUUAUAUUUUUAAUAAUUUUAAUAAAAUUAUUAUUUAAAAUUUAUAUUCAUUAUAUUAUUAAGUUUUAUUUUAUAAUUACAGAUUAUGGGAUGUAAAGGAGUUUGGGAGCUGUAGCCUUUAGUUGGCUUAGGGAGAUGUUAAAGUUUUGAGAAAUGCUUAGAAAUUUAUUUUAUAAUUUGUUUUAAAGUUUAUUUUAUAAUUUAUUUAUAACGUAUAUAAUACGUUCUCAAUUUUAUUACUAUAAAGUUGAAUCUAUUUUAUUUACUUUAUAAUUUUUUUAUUCGGGUUCACUGACCGUGUACUACAGCUAGAUUCUAAAAACAAAAAAUGAAAAUAUAGUCUAGAGAAAUAACAUCGAACAGACUCUAACUUAUCAUCUUCACAUCAUCAUUUUGAAUUUCUUUAAUUAAUUCUUUUCAUUUUACUCUUCAAUAAUAAAUGUCACUUCAACUCGUGUGUGUACAUAAUAUAGGAUAGAAAAAUAAUGUCGAACAAACUCUAACAUAUCAUCUUCGAAUCAUCUUUUUGAAUUUCUUUAAUUAAUUCUUUUCAUUUUACUCUUCAUUAAUAAAUGUCACUUCAACUCGUGCGUUUGUAUAUUCAUACUGUAGAAAUUAAAAGUUUGAGUUUAACUAUUGUAGAUGAAGUUAUGUUUUAAUCAUUAUUACUAUUACUAUUAAUUAAUUUAUAUUAUUAUUAUUUAUUAAUUUUAUUAUCAUUAACUAUUACCUCUGAUUUAUUAUUGUAUUAUUAACCACAACAAAUAAAUAAUAAUAAUAAUAAUAAUAAUAAUAAUAAUAAUAAUAAUAAUAAUAAUUUAUUUGAGGACAAAAGUGAAAUUAUGAAAUUUAUAAGGUGGUAAAAUAGAGAGUUCAAGGAAUAGAAUCCUCUCAUAGAAAUCAAGUUUAUGUUCUUUAAUUCCCAAAAACACGAGCCCUAUAUGUUUCAUUCCCAUUUCUAUCUAUAUUUUAGUAAGUAAACAUCAUCAAUCAUUUUCGUUUUGAAUUAUGAUUUUUCAAUCCGAGCCAGUAAAAGAGAGAGUUAAACUUGACUCACCGGCUUUUCUAAUUGUUCUGAUUUGUUGUAUAAUUUAUUCUAAAGUUUAUUUUAUAAUUUAUUUAAAACGUAUAUAACACGUUCUCAAUUUUAUUACUAUAAACUUACGCUGUAUUGUCUAGUCUUAGUAAGUAACGACUCAAUUGGUUGUGGGAGGAUCCCUUCCGCUUUGACCAAAAAAACUGUUUCGAGGACAGUAUUCUAACUCAACUCAAGUGCGGAACAAAGAAAGAAACGCUAAGAACAUUAAUGAAAGUUAACAUACAGAGCAAACAAGUCAAGAGCACACACAAGAGGAGAAAUAAUUAACACUAUUAUUUUACAUGGUUGAGUUUCUCUAAGCCCACGUCCACGAAGACAGACACUUGCCCAAGGAAAUAAUUGACCAAGGAAUUUACAAGGAAACUCUCUUUUCCAGAAGUUACAAGAGCCCUGACACUAUUCCUCUCGAGGUCUAGUUCAAGUCGCACAGGCCUCUCGAGCUCCCUCAAGAACUCUGCUUUCUUGCUGUUCAAGAAAGCGCCUGAUUGGAAUCACAUGCUCCACGUGACAUCUGGCAUAACUAAAUCUGCUGCCGUACCCGGCCAGUUUAUGAUGCCACUUAUGAUACCCUGUCUCGUCAGCUUCCUUGCCCUGGGUCAUCAUAGGACCUUACAUCUUGGAACCUCCAUGAAAGCUGAAUCUCUAACAGCCCAUCAUAAAAGAUAUUAGUUUUAAAAUAGGGAAAUUACCAAAAAUACCCGCACAUUUUGAAAUUUGUCAAAAAAUGAAGAGUAGAAAGCAAUAGGAAAAUGUAAUUAACUAACCAAUUUGAUUCCUCUGAUUGCUUUCAUCUCAGGACUGUUUGUCUUCCCGUCCGUCUUCGAUUCCGCAAGACGAUCUUGGCUUGAAUUUAUACAUCAGAAGAAAAUAUCAGUAUGCCCAAAAUAAAAAGUUGCUUCCAGCGCAGAAAUAAGAGAAAUUGACACGCCUUUUUCCAUCACAGCGGAUGGUAUCAUAUGGAAGUAUUCUGUCGCAGACUUAACAUACUUAUCAAGUAAUUCAUAAUUCCUAGUUUAAAAAGUAGAGCAAUUGGAUAUCUAAUCCCCGUAAAUUCAAGAUAUAAUAACUCUUGACAAUUAUAUAUUCAUAUACAUGUUAGUAGCGUGAUGCUACCAAUAUUCGCACCUUUAGCAUUCAAACACUUGAUCAUUGAAAGAAUUUAAGAAAAAUGUUGUUUGGUUACUGAGAAAAUAUCUCAACAAAAUUUUCAGAGAACUUUCCAGAAUUCUUGCCUUUAUUUCACUUAAUGAAAAAUGUUACAAUUACAUUCAAUUUAUAUUCGAUGCUUUAGCAUUACUAAUCUAUAACUAACUCAGAACAUACUACACAUGCUUAACUACAGCUCAAUAUAUACAGAGUAAGUCAUAACAAACUUCUAACUACUUAUGCUGAGGUGGCAACUGAGCUGUUAUUCUGCUUAAUCAUCUGACGUCACCAACUUGCUGGUUUUCCUCAGCUUGAGCGUCUUCUUCCUUUCUGUACAAUGAGCUUCUUUAACAAUCAUUGAAGCAGCCUUUCUCUGUUUCUCGCCAACCUAGCUCCGACAUUAAUCUAUAGAGUUAUCAAGACUGACAUUCGAUGACGUAAUCAUAUAAAGUUGUGCUUAUGCCUACAAAAUGGCUGAAUAACUAACCAAUUCGAUUCCUUAUUGCACCAUUCCUGAAUCCUGUCCUCUGAUCGGUUUCAUCUCAGUACUGUAGGCCUCUUCCCGUCUUCCAUAUCGCAAGACACUUCACCUAGCCCAAAACAUACCGUUCUUGGCUUGAAAAUGGAAAGUCUCGUGCAGUGCAGAAAUCAGAGGAAUUAACCCACUUAUGACCAUCGUGUGUGUAUAUAGUAGACGAUGUCAUCGAUACUUAUUUUGUCACAAAAUUAGUUAACAUACACUCAUAUAUAAAGCUGAAGUAAUUAGAUUUCUAAUGAGUGUUUAAGAUAUUACAAAUUAAAAUGUUGCAUACUCUGGACAUUAACAUAACAUAAAAUUUGAUCCACAAUUUACUCAAUUUCUGAGUUGGCUUACCAAAAGUAUUGUGGCAGAAAUAACCUGCAGAUUCUGAUAAGCUGAUAACAGAAGCUUUACAGAACACUCCCCCAAAAAUCUUGGAUUAGAAUCAACAAGAUGCCUUACAAAGAUAACUAGAGAGCUAAUGAAUUAAUGUUCUAUUAACUAAGACCAAGAUUGUGUUUAGAAACAAACAAAGAAAUGAAUUGAAUACAAGAAAUCACAUAACACAGCUAGCUAACGUGGUUCAGUCAAUUUGCAUUGACUUACAUCCACGGGGGAACAAACUAAUCAGCUUUAUUUGAAUUAUCUCAAGUAUUGAUUACAGAGAUUACCAAGCACUUAACAAGAACAAGAAAACUCCUCUUUCUCAAGCUUUCUUUCUCUCGUUACAAUGCUCUCAGUCUCUCCACAACUCUUACUGUUUCCAGCUGCGUAUCACAGCUUAUAAAUCACCUCAGAGGCAUUUCCAGAAACACACGUGAGGACCAUGUGCAAUAACGGCUUCAUUAACAACCUUUUGUUUGCACGUGUUCUGCUCGUGUUUCAUUAACUCCAAAACGACAAGACUGUAUGUCGUUGUAACAAGCAAUUCAUUUACUUUAUUAAACGCAGUCUUUAUGCGUCGUUUUACUGAAGUUAUCAAGCAUCACAAAACGCAAGCCAACACUGUCGUUUCAUCCUCUUUGAUUUGAUUCACUGAAUACUCAACAAAACUCCACCUUGAAGCAAAUCAUCCCUGAUAACUUUCUCCCCAUUUUUGUGUGCAUUUCUCAGGAGCUGCACACGCCAGUCAAAUCCAAGCAGAGGUUGAAUUUGGCUGUAGGUACUACUUUUGUAAGCAUGUCAGCUGGGUUACUGUCAGUGUGAAUUUUAACCAUUUUGAUGACUCCUUUAGACACUUCAUUCCUAAUAAAGUGUAGCUUCACAUCAAUGUGUUUGGUUCUUUCAUGGUGUACUGGAUUCUUGCUCAGAUAGAUUGCACUCGAGCUGUCACAAUGGAUAUCAACAGACUGUUGCUUCUUGCCCAAUUCAGCUAACAUACCCUUAAGCCACAAAGCUUCUUUAACAGCCUCUGUAGCUGCAGUGUAUUCAGCUUCUGUAGUUGACAAAGCUACAAUGUGUUGAAGGCUUGCUUUCCAGUUGAUUAGACAACCAUUUAGCAUGAACAUAUAGCCUGUUAAAGACCUUCUUCUGUCAUUGUCCCCUGCAAAGUCUGAGUCUACAUAUCCACAUAGUCCAUUAUUUCUCCCCUCUGAUCUCCCAUAUUGCAGUCCAAGUCCCAAGGUACCCUUUAAGUAUCUCAGGAUCCAUUUCACUGCAUUCCAAUGCUCUUUUCCUGGUGUUGCCAUGUAUCUGCUCACAAGGCUUAAAGCAUAUGCAAGAUCUGGUCUGGUUAAUACCAUUGCAUACAUCAUGCAUCCAACAGCAUUUGCAUAUGGAAUUUUUAACAUUUCAGAUUUCUCUUCAUCAGUCUGAGGACAUUACUGAUUUGAAAGUCUGAAAUGUGAUGCUGGAGGUGUCAUGACAGGUUUACAGCUUUGCAUCCCAAAGGUGUCAAGUACCUUAGCUAGAUACUUCUCUUGAGUUAGAAAUAUCUUACCCUCCUUUCUGUUUCUCCUUAUUUCCAUGCCUAAGAUCUUCUUGGCAUGCCCUAAGUCUUUCAUGUCAAAUUCUGAGCUGAGCAGUAACUUCAAGGCAUCAAUCUCAUCUCUUUGUUUGCAGGCUAUUAACAUAUCAUCCACAUAUAAGAGUAAGUAUAUGUGGAGGUCUGCUUUUGUUGUUUUGUAGUAAACACAACAAUCAAAGCUGCAUUUAUUGAAUCCAUGAGAUGUUAUGAGCUCAUCAAAUCUGAGGUACCACUGUCUGGGUGAUUGUUUUAACCCAUACAGUGACUUCUUCAGCAAACACACAUGAUUUGGCUUCAUUUGGUCUGUAUACCCUUCUAGUUGUGUCAUAAAGAUUUCUUCUUGUAGGUUCCCAUGCAGGAAGGUUGUUUUGACAUCGAGUUGAUCAAGCUCCAUGUCAUAAACUGUUGUUAGAGCCAAUAAGACCCUUAUUGAUGCAUGUCUAACCACAGGUGAGAAUACUUCUUUGAAAUCAAUGCCCUCCUUCUGUGUGUAUCCUUUAGCUACCAGCCUAGCCUUAAACCUCCUAGGUUCUGAAGCUGACACCCCAUCUUUGAUUCUGUAUAUCCAUUUGCAUCCCACUAGCCUUCUGUUAUCAGGCUUUCUUACUAGCUCCCAUGUAUUGUUUUUAUAAAGAGAAGCUAUAUCUUCUUUCAUGGCUUUCUGCCAUUCAGCCUUGCUUGUACAGUUAACUGCUUCUUUGUAGCUCUUAGGUUCUGUUUCAUCAAUUUCAUGUGAAGUAGCAAGUGCAUAAGCUAUUAGAUCUGCAUAGCCAUAUCUCUUUGGAGGUCUGAUGGUUCUUCUUUCUCUGUCUUUUGCCAACUGAUACUCUUCAAGCUCAGUUUGAUUCUGGUGAUGUUGAUGUUCUGUAUUGUGAUCUUCAUUUUCAGAAUUAUCUUCAUCUGAUUCUGCAGCUUCAUUUGAAGAUUUCUGAAAUGAGUGCUCCACCUCAAACUGGAUACUAUUAGUACCUCUAUCUUGAGAUUCAGCAGCCUCAGCUGGGUUAUUAGAUGACAGCUCAGUCUCCUCAUUGAACACCACAUCCCUGCUUGUUAUGCAUCUGGGUGGAGUCAGUUCUGAACACCAUAACUUGUAACCCUUCACUCCAUCUAGAUAACCUAUAAACUGUCCCUUUAAGGCUCUAGGUUCUAAUUUUCCCUGGUUUGUGUGUACAUAUGUUGUACACCCAAAUACUUUGAGGUUGUUGUAGUUUCCAGGUUUACCAGACCAAAGUUCAUAAGGGGUCUUGAACUCAAUGGUUGUUGAAGGACUUAGGUUGACCAGAAGACAAGCUGUUAACAAGGUUUCUGUCCAGAGCCCUUUUGGCAGCUUUGACUGAAUCAUCAUGCACCUGACUUUAUUCAUUAAAGUUCUGUUCAUCCUUUCAGCAAGCCCAUUUUGUUGAGGAGUCAUUCUCACUGUUCUAUGUCUGCCAAUGCCCUCACUAGCACAGAAGUCAUCAAACAUCUUAUUACAAUAUUCAAGUCCAUUGUCUGUUCUUAGCUUUUUAACCUUCUUUCCUGUUUGGUUUUCAACUAAGGCUUUCCAAUCCUUAAACUUGCCAAACACUUGAUCCUUUGUUCUGAGAACAUACACCCAAACCCUUCUCGAAAAAUCAUCAAUUAUAGACAUGAAGAAUCUAUUCCCCCCCAUAGAUGGAACUUGAGAUGGCCCCCACAGAUCUGAGUGGAUGUAUUCCAGAAUGUCUCUAGUCUUAUGCUGGGAUUUCUUGAAACUAGCUCUUGUAGACUCCCUAGGACACAGUCUUCACAAAAAACUAAUUCCCCAAUCUUAUCACUCCCUAGAACACCCUGCUUAGCUAAUUCUUUAAUACCCUGAAUGCUCAUGUGCCCUAGCCUUAGAUGCCAUAACCUGGUUGCAUCCAUGUUAACCUUAGUGGAUACACUGGACUCUCCAGUUACCACUUCACCAUCUAAAACAUAUACACCAUUCUUUCUACUUCCUUUCAUAACCAGUGUAGCCUCAUUAAGGAUUUCAAUUUUUCCAUGUUCAAGCCUAACACUAUAACCAACUUGGUCAAGCAUCCCUAAGGAGAUUAAGUUUCUUUUAAGGUCUGGUACAUGUCUCACCUGCUUGACUUCUCUAAUGGUUCAAUUAUGUAGCUUAAGGCUUAUAUUUCCUAUCCCAAUGACUUUGCACACUGCAUUAUUUCCCAUCAUAACCUUUCCCCCAUCAAUCUUAUGAUAUUCAGAAAAGAAAUUUUGGCAAGGACUUAUAUGAAAUGUGCAUCCAGAGUCAAGGAUCCACUUACCCUUCUGCACUUCUUCUGUUGCCACACACACAUCAGCUGAUUCAUAUCCCUCUUCUUCAACAAUAGCUGCAUCACCAUUCUGUCCCUUCUUCUUGAAACUCUUCUCUGGGCAGUCUUUCUUGAAGUGCCCCUCCUUGUGACAUUGGAAACACUUCAGAUUUUUGUUCUUGUUCUUUGUCUUGCCUUGUUUCUUUUUCUUUCCAUCAGUCUUGUCAAUCUUUUCUUUCACAGUCAGCCCCUCUCCAUGUACUCUAUUUGCUUGUUUCUCUUGUAACCCUCUUGUAUUUAAAGCAGCUUUAACCUCAUCCAGGGAUAGGGAUUGUCUACCAUACAUGAGAGCAUCAACAAAGUUUGAGUAUGAAGGAGGUAGGGAGCUUAUCAAGAGUAGAACUUUGCCUUCAUCAUUCAGCCCUUCAUCAAUGGUUUCCAAGGUAUCACAAAUCUUAUUGAACUCAUCGAUGUGCUCAUCAAAAGAGGAUCCCUCAGCCAUCUUGAGUGAAAACAUUCUCUUCUUGAUGUACAAUCUGUUUGCCAGUGAUUUAGUCAUGUAUAAGCUCUCAAGUUUUGCCCAUAACUGUGCCACUGUCUUCUCCUUAGCAACUUCUCUGAUAACUGAGUCACUGAAACUCAAGAUUAUGGUGCUCUUGGCCUUCUUGUCAAUUUCAGCAAUUUGCUCAGGAGUGCAUGAUGAAGACCCCUCUUUACCUUCUUUCUUGGUUGCUGGUCCAAUGGCAUCACCCAGCCCCUGUGUGAUCAACAGUGCCUCCAUUUUCACUUUCCACAUGUUGAAAUCAUUCUUUCCAUUAAACUUUUCUAAAUCAAUCCUCGGAGCAGCCAUACUUGGAUUUAAUCUUUCAAUCUAGCUCUGAUACCAAUUGAAGAUUCUGAUAAGCUGAUAACAGAAGCUUUACAGAACACUCCCCCAAAAAUCUUGGAUUAUAAUCAACAAGAUGCCUUACAAAGAUAACUAGAGAGCUAAUGAAUUAAUGUUCUAUUAACUAAGACCAAGAUUGUGUUUAGAAACAAACAAAGAAAUGAAUUGAAUACAAGAAAUCACAUAACACAGCUAGCUAACGUGGUUCAGUGAAUUUGCAUUGACUUACAUCCACGGGGGAACAAACUAAUCAGCUUUAUUUGAAUUAUCUCAAGUAUUGAUUACAGAGAUUACCAAGCACUUAACAAGAACAAGAAAACUCCUCUUUCUCAAGCUUUCUUUCUCUCGUUACAAUGCUCUUAGUCUCUCCACGACUCUUACUGUUUCCAGCUGCGUAUCACAGCUUAUAAAUCACCUCAGAGGCAUUUCCAGAAACACACGUGAGGACCAUGUGCAAUAACGGCUUCAUUAACAACCUUUUGUUUGCACGUGUUCUGCUCGUGUUUCAUUAACUCCAAAACGGCAAGACUGUAUGUCAUUGUAACAAGCAAUUCAUUUACUUUAUUAAACGCAGUCUUUAUGCGUCGUUUUACUGAAAUUAUCAAGCAUCACAAAACGCAAGCCAACACUGUCGUUUCAUCCUCUUUGAUUUGAUUCACUGAAUACUCAACAUAACCAAAUCAACCCAGGUCCUUAUAUGGAGCCCCUGUGCGUCAAUUAAAGUAAAAGCUCGAUCCUCUGUUAUCCGAAAUGGUCAAACAAACAUUAAACCAAAAUGUUGAAGUCUCUUUCUUUUGCAAUUCUAGCUCUAACUGAUGAGAUUGAUCGAAAAGAAUAACCAACAUUAAGAUUAAUUUUUAUUUCCAUUACUAGGAAAUAGAUAAUUAAAUAGAAUUCUCAGUAAAGCUCACCAAUAUCUGUCUCCGUCAUCACAUAGAUAUAUCAGACUAGCUAUCUAAUCCUUUUAUUUUAUUUUUUUCCUUUUUCAUUCAACAGCUUCAGCAUAUAACAAGAAAGCUUGGGCUCCUACAAUGCUUAGGCCUCAUCACGAUUAAGUACUUGUACGGUAGCGCAAGUAGCAGGCCUGGCACCACUCUGGAUCUACUAGAGAAAUUUAUUUUACACACGUGCCCUGAAAAUCUGUUACAUAAAUUAUGUCCUAAUAAUCAGCAAUAAUUCAAAGAUGCGGAUAAAAAAAACACUAUAAUGUACAAACAUACACCUUGUUCAUAUUUUUUUGUAUCACAUGAGACAUAAAUAGGGAUGGCAAUGGGGAGGGUAGGGGAGGGGACCAAUCUCCCCGUACCCAUCCCCGAUGUUUUGCGUAUGUCCCCGUCCCCGUCAGAAUUACUUAAGAGAAUCCCCAUCCCCUCCCCGAAUAAUAAUAGGGGAUCCCCGAGGGUUCCCGAUCCCCGAAUAACUAAUACAUUUUUUUGUUUUCAAUUUGAAUUAAUCAUAUUAAAAUAAAAAAUUCAAAUAAAAGUAAAGUUCGAAAAAUAUCUUACAUUAAUAUCCAUUACAAUAGUCACAUACAUUAAAUUAGUAAGUAACGCAACAUGCAAGGGAUACAAACUUCUUUUACAAACUAUCAUGAACAAAUUAAUAGUCUAAUACAAAAUUGUUACAAAUAAAAUUGAAUUUAGAUUCAAAAUUAACUUUUUCAAUGGUGGCGUGGGCACUUUAUAAAUGUGGACUAUUCCCUUUACAGCACAAUAGUUAAGUCGGAGCAAAUCAAGAGCAAAUAUUAGAUUAGAUAUUAAAAUUGUGAUUUGUUGUGGGCAAUUAUAACAUCUAAAAAUAAAUAAAAAUUAGAUUUAAGUUUAAAAUAUUUAAUGAAUAUUAAAAUUAAAACAAAAUUUUUGGGCUAAUAGAAUCUAUCCGGUCUUUUUAAUGUCCUAAAUAAAAAUUUAGGACUUUAAUUAGUUAAUUAGGCCUAAAAGUUUAAUAAUAUAAAUAUUUUGAUAUUUGUUAUUUUUACCAAUUUUUAUAAUUUCAUAAUUCAAAUUUUAUUAUUUAUUUACUAGUAAUUUUAAAAAAUUAAAAAUUAAAAUUAAAAUGGGGAAAUGGGUAGGGGAUAGGGAUUCCACCUCAUCCCUGUCCCCUCUCCGAAUAAGAAAUUGGGUAAAAAAAUUUCCCCGUCCCUUCCCCGAAUAAGAAAUUGGGUAUGAAAUUAUCCUCAUACCCUCCCCGAAUGGGGAAAAUCCCCAAGGGUACCCGUCCCCGUGGGGAUUUUUGCCAUCCCUAGACAUAAACUCCUCAAGAGUCAAGUCCGACAUUUAAUUCAACCCAUAAACUUGUGCUUGUAGCCCGCAUAAAUGGUUAAACAAAUAUUAUAUUUUCGACUUGAAGAUUGGAUUACAAAUAUAUAAUAGGAAAGUAAAAUGGAGGAGGAGAAAGAAAUUACAUGUAGUAAUUGAGAAAUUACUGCCAAAAAUAAAAUUACCUGUAGGAAUUUUAUUUGGUUAGUAAUUGAGAAAGAAAUUACCUUAGGUGUUGGCUGAAAGGAAUUUAGAUCUAUCAAAAAUAGAUGUAAGCAAUUAAAAACUAAAAAUUAAUUACUUAAUUAAUUUUUUCAGAAGUACUGUUCACUGUUACUGUUUACGGUUCUGUUCACCACAACUGUUUACAGUUAUUGUUCAUCCGCAUAAAAAAUAUUAAUUUUCCAAAAACACAAUAAAAUGCAGAAAAUAAAUGACACAGAAAUUUUUACGUGGUUCGUAUUAAUCAAUCCUACAUCCACGAGGCCACGCCAAGAUGAAAAACAAUCACUAAGUUGAGAUGUUACAACUUAUGAAUUUACCAAACUUAAGACUCUCACUUACAGUUUAUCACCAUACAGUUUACUCAACCUUAGACUAAAUCUGCUUCUCUUAAAUAAUUGCUACCCCUCUUGAUCCACGAUCCUCAAGGCACUUCGCAAAGUGAUCAAUAGCAAUUCUUCAAUUUUUCAAUUCUUCAACGUCUAGUGAUCCAAGAUCGACAUAGAGUCUCAACAAAGAUGAAAAGAAGAUAAUAAAACAAAUCAACACAACAUGGUGCGCCAAAUUCGGAUUCUCUAGGGAGGAGGCCGAAUUUUGCUUCUCUGCUUUAUGCUUUGUGUUGUGCCUGUCUUCAAUUGUGAAAUACCUCUAUUUAUAUAGGCACUAGGGUUUCACCAAAAUAGCAAGUUUGAAAAGACUUAGAUACUUUCCAAAUAAGAGUUUCUUUCGUUUUAUAAUUCCUAUGAAUCUGAAUAGGAAUAAAUAUGAUCUUCUUGCAUUACUUGUCUCCUAAGAAAUAUCUAGAGCAUUUAAUGACUUAUUGUUUGAACCAACUUCUUGCUCUAAAUAGAUCUCAUGCGCUAAUAAUAGAAUCCCACCAUUAAUUGACUUGCUAAAAUAGACAUUUAAUUAAAUUAGGAAACAAAUAUUCCUAAUAAAUUGGAAUCUCACUAAAUUAGGAAAUUAAUAAAUUAAUCCCUAUUACAAGAUAUGCAAUAAAUAAACUUCCAAUUUAACUAGACUUGUCAUAAAAUGCCAACUCUAUAAACAAUGGACUUAACAAUGGCGAUGGUACUUGCGGUACUCGUUUUAAAAAUCCUCAAGGUUCGAAUUUGACAUAUUGGUGAUUGAUUAGGAUGCUGGGAAUGUGGCAUAUCUUGGGGCAGUCCUCUCCUGUUUCCUUUAUGUGAUGCUCUUCUAAAACAUAACACGAACUAAUACCUGAAUCCUGCAGUGUUGUUUGUUGUGCGCGGAAUGCGGAAUCAAGCGCAUCAAAUAAUCACAGAAAAAUAAAGGACACAAAAUUUAACUCAGAUACUAUCUAUGAAUAAUAUAACUCAGUACCUCACUUCAUGCAAGCUUUGAUAUAUUAUUCCUUCUAUCUAUUUAUCCACUGCUAAUUGUUUUAUAAAAAAUUUGGUGCACUGAAGUGAACCCAAUAACUCCUAGCUAGAAGCAACAAUGUCCAAUUAAGCCGCUGAUACAAUCAAUCAAACAAUAAGGAAAGGAUCAACAACACAAAAAGCACACGCAAGGCACAAAGAUUUACAUGAUAUAUCCACAGGUGGUGAUGCUGGUAUCCACUAUACGUGUGAUGAAAACAAGUGUAUAUAUAUAAAGAACACCAACUGUCUCCUCACAAUAACCCCCUAGAAUACAAGCGCAAAUAAAAAUGAGGCAAUUCCUGCUCUGCUCUGCCCUCAUGUACGUAACUCCUCUGCUAAGAAAUAUUGCCUUAAAAUAUCGGUAGCAUAUGCAUGCAUGACCAGCAAAUCAGUUAGACAUAUAAAAUUAUCAACCACACAGGAAAUCAGCAAAUCAGUGGUUUCAUGAAUUUGUAAUAUUUGAACAUCAGAAUAUGAAGAGUACAGGGCAAUGGGAAAAAGUAAUUAACCAACCAAAUAACUUUAAAUCCAAAUAAGAUAAGUAACGUAUGAAAGGAGGGUUGAAGCCCACCUUAGAAACUCCUGUCUAUGAAGGCCAAUAAAUCUCCUGUUAUCUGUUUGCUUAGAUCUUUAUGUAUUCCUAUACACUUUUUACUCUACUCUGUUGUUCAACCUUCCUUGGCUUUAUGCAUCUAUUUUAUGUGUAUUGAGAAGGCUAGUUACCAGGUGUCAACUCUUCUCUUUAAAAGAUAAAGUUUUGAGUAAAGGAAAGAAAGACACCCACGGCCAACUACCUUGUCAUAUUUUGCAUACCAAAAUUGGAUAUUAAUUAUGGUCACUGUCUUCAACCUGCUAACCAAAUUCAAAAAAAUUGGUCUUCCCGAUUGAGUAAGUGAGCCCUGAAAAGACAUUACCCAGCUUAAAAGCCAAAUGAAUGUAGACUUGUGAUUGGUGUAAUUGGUUUUAAAGAAAUUAGUAUGCAUCCCCACUGAAAGCCAGUAAAUAGAGUUGAAGAAGAUGCUAAUGUGCCACAGCUAACAUAAGCAUAAUUUGAUCAGCUCUAGAACAACUGCUGUGGUCCGAUGCUGCAGGCAAAAAAUUUGACCAACGAAGCAGCCUCACUCACCAACCUAGCCCCAAAUAAAUCUUUUGAAAUGCCUUGAAAACCUUAACAUUAUAUCCAAAUAAACAUAACUUGUGUUUGUGGCGUAAUGAGAUUGCAGUGCAUUCGUAGAGUGUACACUUAUCUGCCAUUUCGUCGGAACAAAUUUUUUUACUUCUCUUAAAAUUUGCAUAAUAAAUAGCAAUAUGGACAAGUACCUACUUAUGAAAGUGUUAAGAUAUUUUUACAUUUCUUCUUUUUUUUUUAAGGAGUAAAAGUGAUUAUUCAUUUUGUUGAUGCCCAUUUACUCUAUAAAUGCCACCAUGAUCACUGAGAUAUGUUCAUGAAUAAGCAUCUACCAUCAGAUCGAUUCGAAAACGGAAAGGAAUAGAGAAAUAAAAGGUGAAACAAAUGAAAUAAUUAAAAGGAGAGGAACGAGAUUCCAUUGUCUGGUUAUAACUGGAAAUCAAGCAUGAAAAAGGAAUUGAUUUUUCUUUUUUGGUUGACAGAAUACACUUUCAACUAGAAAAAAUAAUUUGAAUUUGAUAUUUAACAGAAAAUUCAAAUAAAAUCAAAUUCAUUUGUAAUUUAAGUUCAUUUCACUCUUAAAAUUUGACAUAUAGAAUAAAAUUUAUAACUGUUUCAAAUACAAAAACAUAUUACUAUUCAAAAUAAUAAAAAUUUUCAUGGCAAAAAGUUAAAAAAAUAAAAUAAAACUGUUUGAUGGAGAAUGAAAUUGAGCAGGGAAAGUUUGAUGGAAGAUGCACAAAUACGAAACUGGUCCUCAAAUUAUUGUGUAAUCCAUUUUGCAAGAAAUUUGAUAGCCUGAUUAUGUUAUCCACGUCUUGAACUUUUCAAGUUAUGACGUGUCAGGAUUUGUUGCUAAACCAUACAAUUAUGAAAUUUUGCUACUCAAUCUUGUAUUGUUGUAUUUCCUUGCUUUCAGUUUUCUUGAUCAGAACAAACAACAUAAAUAAUGAUGCUAUAUUAAAAAAAAUUAAAAGAAUUUCACUCGCCCUUCAUUUGUUAUCAGCAAUAUGAUUUGCCUGGGAUCUUUCGGCUUAAUCUUCCAGUGCCCAUUAGCCAGACUUGCAUUCUCAGCAAUUCUUCUCCAUUUCUUAAUCCUUUUAUCCAUAUGCUUUGUUAAUGCACAGUACUGUUGCAAUUUCUUAGGCAUUGCAUCAUAAACUUGCCACCAUUUCUUAUGAGCUGAAUCACUGGCAAAUACAUGGCGACUCACCAUGUCCCAAUUGCAAUCAUAGUCCUUGUAACACAUCCAUGGCUUUAACCCCAGAUAAUGAAUUGCAUAAAGACCAUCGCCCACUUGAUGUUCCUUAUCGUCUUGCUUUGAAAACACCUUCAAAUGGUUUAUUUUCUUAGGCAACCUAUGCCACCAUGUGAACACUUCGUUAAGAAAUCCCUGGUCACCUCCAUUGUAUGACGAAACCUUAAAGCUUUUGAGCAUCAUAUCUUCAAACUUGCACAAUGAUGGCUCAAUCACCAUCAACCCAGAAUUGAACAACACUUUGUCAUUUCCUGCUGCUGAUAAUUCAGGGUAAAAGAAGAAUUCAUCGAUGUUUUUGAGUACUAAAAGAUCAGAAUCAAUGAAGAUAAUUUUAUCAUAUUCAGUGAGUUGCCAUACUCUAAGCUUACUAUAAUUCCACUCAUUGUACGAAUCUUUCUUGGAAAAGGGGCUACGUAUGCGCGAAAUCCACUUGGUUUUCCAUCCGGCAGCUCUCAGGCCGCGGAGAGACUUGCCACUUAUUGAUUUAUCAUGAAGGAGAACGAGAUCUCUAGUCGAGUUUUUUUGGAUUAUGCUUUGCGCUAAAGCUAUUGCACCACAUACAUAAGCUUCUGAUGAAUGUAGGACGCUUACAUAAGCUUCUCUUUGAUGGUACGUUGUGUAGUUCAGUUUUGCUAGUCUUGCUUGUGACAUAAAAUAUCUCCAUAUUUCUUUGCCUGUAAAUCAAAAUAAAAGCACUCAAAUAUUAAUUUUAGGUUAAUUUUGCAAAAUUAAGAAAAAUGAAUUACACAUGAAGGUUUUGAAGAAGUCGUGGCGUCCGGAUUAGGUAAUACUUUCACGGAAAUUGAAAGUGCAAUUCUCUAAUGCCACGUAAGUCUUAAUUAGGAAAUUGAUUUAUGUUGGCUGAGUUACCAAAUUUUGAUACCUUGCCAAAUUUUCACACAAUCAGAAUCAUGACUGCUGCCUGUAUACAUUCUGUGUCUGUAGAUUAUUACAACUCUUUAAGGAUAUCAAAAUUAAAGAACCGGUCAAAUUUAAACCAAUUACACCUGUGCACGAGUUGUGCAUAUUUAAUUUGGUCGAAUAAUUUACUAAAACUUGAAACUAAAGAAAGCAGUAAAUUAAUGACCCACCAUGACCAGAUAAAUCACCCACUAACUUUUUUUUUUUUUUCCUUCGGAGCACCUCAAAUCAGUGGCGGAUUUAGAAAAAUAAUUUACCGAGGGCUAAAUUAAAUGACAACAAAAUAUAAAAAUUGAAAUUUGAAUAUAUAAAAUUUUUGAUAACACAGUUACAAUUGUUCUCUACGCAAUUUCAUAUUCUGAAAACGUUGUACAAUAGAUUCAUUAUCAAUAUUAUUAAAUACAUCUUUUCUAUAUAAACAAUUAAAUUAUUAUUUGUUCAUUCAUCUCCAAUCCGAUUCCGAAGUUCAUUCUUCACAAAUUUCAUUGCUGAAAAUGUUCUUUCUACUGUAGUUGUAGAAACCGGAAGAACUUGGAUUAUUUAAAAAUAUAACAGAGAUUAUUUAAAAAUUUAUUAAUUUUUCUUUUAAACAAAAAAAAAAAAUUCGGUGGGGGCUUGAGCCCCCACUAGUCCUACGCUACAUCCGCCUCUGCCUCAAAUUUCCGAAGAAAAAUUAAAUAAAAUCUCCUGCAUCCAUUUCUUGUGAACAUUUUAUAUUUUUUUAUAUGCAACAAGCUUUCAUUAAAAUUUAAGACUCUAUCCUCUAGAAUAUACUCCAAAACGUAGAUCGAUUAAAAUCAUAAUAUUUUCGUUCUCACUAUAGAUUCGCCUAUAUAAGCAACCAUUAAAGUAGGAAAAAAAAUAACAAUAAGAGCUUAAAUACUACUUCGUAAAUAAUCAAGAAAUAUGACAAGCAACAAGAACAACAACUACAGAUUCAUAAAGAUUUUUACGAAAUUUUAAGUCACAUUUUAAUGCACAUAACAUUGUAAAAUUCUUGGAACUGAGUACAAACAGUAAGUUAGCAUUUGGUUAGAAAAUUGUACAGGGGAUUUUCUUCUUCAAGUGAUGACCAAAUUUUCUUCAGUUUCCAAACUACUCGCUAUCUAAAACACAAACAAAAUGUUUUCGAGAAACCAGGGAAAAAAAGAAGAAGAAGAAGCAAAACUCACCAGUUUGAGCAUAAGCAGAAGCAAUUUGGCAUGACCCAACAGGCAUCAAUACUUUAUGUUUCAAUCUCCUCAAGUCAGGCUUAUAAACCCAAUAAUCCCCUGCAUGCUCCACAAGAUCAUCACACCUGAACAUCUCCACCAUGGCCCCACAAGAACCCACAAAGACAACGUACACCGCCCGAUCAACAUCAGGUUUCAACCACCCACUCUCCACCGCUAGAUUCGCCACCACGAGAUUCACUUGCAACCUAAACACAUCCCUCAUCCCACCACCUGCAUCUCCAUCUCCUCGGCAGGGAACCCUAACCACUAUCACGUCGAGGUACCGGUAAUCCUGCGCCGGCAUGGGUAUAUCCGGGCACGCCGGUGGGGCCCACUUGUGAUCUUCAUCAAUCCACUCCGGGAAAAAGUCUUCCCACUUUUUAUCCUCACCCACAUGGUCGAAACGUACGUGAACAGUUUCAACAUGCAUGUCACCACGUACGCUAUUAUAAUCAUCAUCGUCGUCGUCGUUUAUAUUUACUAAACCAACUUUAAUUUUGUGACCGUUGAUGUGUUUUUCGACAAUAUCGAGCCAUUUGGGUCUGUGUAUUAAGUGGUUAGUAUUAUAUUUAUUAUUUGGCUCGUAAGCCAAAUGGGGUUGUUGUUUAGGUUUGAAUGACAAAACAAAAAGGAAAAGCGAGAAGGAGAGGAGAAGAAGAGAGAUUAUGAAGAGCUUUUGACUGAAAUUUGUGGGUUUGUUAGAAGAAGAUGAUGAUGAAGCUGCAGCCAUUUGAUUGAAUUUUGCUUCACGUCUUUGUUGAAAGUUGAAAGAUUUGUUUUGAGUCGACAUUUUGUUUUAAGUUAUAUCCAACGCAUCGAAUUGGAAUGAAAAGAUUGCAUUGCAGCAUGUUGAGCUUUGUUAAAUUGUCUUCUUAUGUGUAGGUAUUUUAUUUUCACACGCAUUUGAUGCGCGUGGGUAGGUUUACUAAAUGUAUUUCCUUUUUUAUUAUUAUUAAGAUUAAAAUAUACUUCUAAGUUGUCAAAUUAGGCAACAAACAUAAUACACUUGUUACCCAUUUCCAACUCUCCCCAAAUUUUACUAUUUUUAUCUUAUAUUUCCGCUGCCAUUAGAUUUUUAUCAAACAAUUGUAUUUACUUAUAUUUGUUACCUUAUUUUGCAAGGUAACAAAACCCGUCAAAUUAUGAAUAAAAUCUUUUACGCUACACAAAAAAAUUAUUUAUUGCACGUAAGAGAAAAAUUAUUUGUAUAAGAUUAGGUAUACAUAACUUGAUUGAAAUGAAAUAAUAUAAUUGUAAAAAUUAACAAAGUAAAAUAAAUUAUACGCAACUAUCUAAGACUUAUAAAUUCUUAAAAAUUCUUUCUCUUUGUAUAUGGUAAGGUAAGAAAUUUGAGAUCCAUCUUCAGUUCGAAAAAAAAUUAUGUCCAAACUCAAAGUCUUUCCUUAGUGAAGCAAAGAAAUUCGUACCAACAAUAUGAUCAUAUAAGCAAAUUAUUCGUGACCAACAAUAAGAAAAUUAUGUAUCAUACAUAAGUCAAUAAUGAGAUUUUUUUUAAAAGUUAAUUAUAGUAUAAUUGAAUGGUAACUUAAUUUUCUCCUGCCCAUGUGAGCUAAGUGGUACAUAAGAAUGAGGUUUUUUGAAUAAUAACAAAAAGUGUAAUAAAAUAUACUUAUCUAAACUAAACACUACAUAAAAAGUUCCUUUUAUAUACUACUCUCUCUCUCUCCUCCCUACAAUCUAGGUAUUUUUUUUAAGUUCAUUUUUUAAAAGAUUCGAGAGUGGAUUAAAUCUAAAUCGAUUUUUUUUAGCCUUUACGUCCCUUAAAAUUCAAAAUAUAUUAGCUAGUUAAAUAAAAGUACUUAAAAAUUAUUUGACUAAAUCAUUGAGGGCAUAAUUUAGAUAUUGAUAAAUAGUUAAAAUUUUUCAAUUAAAUAUGAUCAUCUAUUGGCGUUCUUAAAGUUCCGUAAUCACAGCCAGUACAAUGGUUCUAUCAAAUGAAAUAUUUCUAUCCAAAAUCAAUUUCUUUUUUAUCAUAUGGAAUUAAUAGAUUUGGAAUUGUGGAUUUUUAAUAGAUAUAAUAAAUACCCCAAGUAUUUUGAUAAUAUUCUAAAAUUAUCGUUGAGUUAGUGUGUGGCUUCGGGAGUCACUGUCAUGAACUUGGUCAGUCUAACAAAUAUAAAGUAGCCCAUGGUAUCAUCAAAAUAUGUGCAACCCUGCUCAGUAGAAACCAAAUCAGAUUAGGGAAAUUAUCUCUGUUUUCUUGGUCAAUCUUUUGUGACUUCAUCAAUAGACAUAACAUGUAGCCACGCCACAAUUUUUAAUUUUAGUUGGAAUGCUUAGAAGUCUAUUAAAGAUUAUAAUGUCACCUAGUUAAGAAUAUUAUCAAUUAUUCUAUUUUAAUAUAAUAUUUAAUUAAAUCAUUGCCAUUAUUGUACUCAGUCAUGGCUCAUAUGUGGAUCCACUGAUUCUUUCCACUGUUGAUUGAUUGAGGGACGGUCAAGAUUUGAUUAAAUAUUGGAAUUGGUAUGCGAUCUCAUUAAAGUUGACUUCUAAAUUUGCAUUCUCAAUUAUUCAGAUUUAAAAAACAAGAAUGAUAAUAUGAUAGUUACGUUUGAAAUAUUAUGUUUCUUCUCAAAGCUGCAAAUCUCAUUUACAUUACCUGGUCAAAGACUUCUUGAAAUAAAUUAUUUAUGCUAUUAAUCAGUUAGUUAAGGAUAUACUUUAAAUGAUAUGACAUUUAAUCAAUGAACGAUACAACAUAUAUCGAUUUAAUAUUAAGAUAUCUAAACAUAAUGAGACGACAAGAUCAAUACUCAACAUACAAUUUAUUUUUAAUACAAUUUCUUUCAUAAAUAUUGAUACAAUAAUAUUGAAUCAAUGUCAUGUCACUUGGUUUACUUUAUUUACUUAUUACUUAACUCUUUUAGUACUCAUACGUCACUCAAAAUCUCGUAUAUUUAUUUUGUAUGUAUCGAAUUAUUGAGAUUAAAAUUCAUAGAGUUCAACUCUCGUGCACGAACUUAGGAUUUCUCUAUUAAGUUUACUUGAAUAUGAUUAUAUUUUUGUCCAGAAUAUUCCAACAUUAUGUAUUACGCUGAAGAUUAAGCCAAUCCCACUACUAGAAAACUGAAUUUCUUUGACAGAAUGCUUUUUCACAUGAUAGUGUAUGUGUCAAAUAUUUUGUGAUAGAUAUAUUCUUUUCCUAAUGCGGCAAACACCAUUGUUUCAAAAUUUUAGUGGCCUUGAAAUUUUGAUUAUUCUAUAAGAAAAUAGUUACAAAAUUCUGUCACUAAUAGUAAAUUAAGUGAUUCUUGAUAGAAUACUAUCAAAACACUUAAAUAAAAUCUCACAUUUUAAUAUUUUACAAAAAUGUGUUUUAAAGAUUUUAAUUUUUUUAACAUAAUUCUAUCGAUGAACUUUCUUUUUAAAUUUUUAAUUCCACUUAGGCAUUGAAAAUGACAUAGUUUUAAAAGAUUUCAAUGACUUAACUGAUGUGAAUAUAUCUUUGAUAAGUCAACGACAAAAUUCUAUCAAAUAAAAUUUACUAUUUUAUUUAUUUUAUGUUGCCACAUCAAUAAAUUCAUAUGCUCAAAAAAGAAAAACUUAUGUAGGCUGAAUUCAUCACCUUAUCAUAUAAAAAAAAGACCUGCUCAACCAAUAAGAAUUUGCCAUCUAAAAAGUUUAAUGGGUCUUUAAAAGGGUUUGGCUUGAGUUUGAGCUUGAGUGUUUCAAGUCUAAUCUAAUAAGCAAGUUUAUAAAUUAUAAAUUUAUGAAAUACAAUGAAAAAGGUUUAAAAAAAUUAAAGUAUAAAUCUAAGGUUUCACAAUUUAAAAUAUCAAAUAAUGGCAAAAUGGGCGUCCAAAAAGUGCGGCAAAUCAAAAUUAUUCAAAAUUCAUCUCUUCAAUCCUUUUUUUUUAAUUUUAGAGGGAAAAAACUUUUAUGUACGGCUGAAAUAAAAGUAACCCAAAAACAUUCUGUAAUUGAAAGCUUGGAACGAAUUUCACGCCUCUCGCCUUCUCUUUCACGCAUUUCGCAUUAACACAAUUUGGUUGGAAAAAUGGAAAGGAAUAGAGAAAUAAAAGGAGAAACAAAUGGAAUAAUUAGAGAGAGGGAUGAGAUUCCAUUUAUUGUUUGGUUAUAAGUACUGGAAAUGAAACACGAGAAAAUAAUUGAGUGUUUUUUUUUUGUUAACUAAAAAAAUACGUAUUUUUUGUAUUUGAUAUUUAAUAGAAAAUUCAAAGUAAAAUCAAAUCCAUUUGUAAUAUAAGUUCACUUCAUUCAUAAAAUUAAACAUAUAGAAUAAAAUUUAUAAACGUUACUUAUACAAAUACAUAUUACUAUUCAAAAUAAUAAAAAUUUCGCAUUGGAAACACCAAUAUUAUACAAAUACACAUUGCAAAUAAUAAUAAGCUCUCAGAUGAGCACAAAAAAGAAAAAAAAGAACACCAAUCUCAACACUCAACACUCAAAAUCAAUGAAUCCCCAGUAGUUUGGCCUCACAAGAGCUCUCUCUGUGUUGUGCUUUCCCUCAUUCAUAACAGAUUAAAAAAGCACGCGCCGCGCCCGUCCCCCAAUUCCUGCUUUGCGACGCUGAAAAAUAUCGCUUUCCCCAACAAAACAAAUGAAUCAGUUACACAAUUAUAUCUAAUUUUAAAUUAAUGAAGAAGAGUAGAGAGAGAGCAAACGAGAUGGAAAGCGUAUACAAAUUAUAAUUACUAACCAGAGUUAUUAGCACCAUUACAUAUAUAUAUCCCUGCUGAAUCCCCUCCUCUGUUCACCAUUCGUUUCUAAAAUGGAUUAAAAAAUAACAACUAAUUAUUUUUAAUUAAAAUAGAGUGAGCAUGCAAUGCAUGCAGGAGAUCUAGAAAGCAAUUACCCGUGGCGGUGGCCCUGGGUGAUUGUAUUUUGUAAUUGCAGCCGCGCACUUCACUUAAUGUCGAUGUUGGGAAUGUGGCGUAUCUUUGGCCAGUCCUCUCCUGUCUCCUUUCUGCAACGUUCUUCUAAAAUAUGACAUCCCCACAAAAUCUCCAAUUUCUGCAGCGUUGUCUUCUGAAGAAGGUGAUCGGGCAGUGCUUUUAAUUUAGGGCAUAGCCGAAUUGACAAGGAAGAAAGACGUGGCAUGAUUAUGAUUUCUCCCUUUAUUGCUGUCCCGAAAUCCCACUCUUCCAGUUUUUCCAUAUUACGAAAUGUCAGCUCUUUCAAUUUGGGAAAGGCAAUAACUGAGGAGCCAUCCGUAUCACUUUCUACUCCCAGAAAUUCAUUACCCACUCUUUUCACACUUUCCAUUCCAUCAAUAUUAAGAUCUUCAAGGGAUGGCAAUCUUCCCAAAGGAGGCAAAUGCUCACAAUUUCUGCAAUCGAAAAUACGUAAAACCCUUAAAUUGGUUAGUGACAUGAUCCAAUUUUUGGGAACAACAUUCCUCCUGCCUCCGUAAUCACCUAUCACUAAUUUCUUUAAAUUAGGAGAUGGUCCCAAGGCUUCAAGAAGCCGUUCAUCUUCAUCCUCCUCAUUCUCCCUCCUCCCAGCUUGUUCAAAAUCAAGGUCCAAAUCAAAUUGAAGUCCCAACUCAACGAGAUAUUUCUUUUUCUCAAGUUCAGCCCUUCUAGCCUCCCCCGCAUCUGAUACAUCACCCAGCCCACGUAUCCUGCAGUCUCGAAGGAGGUUAAGCUUUUUAAGAGACCCAAGGCUACAUGCUCUGUCAUACCCUCCACCCACAACAAAGUUUCCCACUAUCCGAAGCCUGAUUAAUUCCCCAAUCCCUGCCGGCAAGUAUCUUAAAGAAUCAGUCCUCACAUUGUGUAAAUACAUCAGCUUUCUUAACUUCCCAAUCCCUCGAGGUAAUUCUCGAAGAUUUUCACAAUCAUCAACGUUUAAACGUUCUAAAUUAUAUAACUCACACAACGUCUCGGGUAAUUUUUCUAUCUUGUUUUGACCUUUCAAAUUAAGGUACUUCAAAUGUAUCAAUUUUUCUAUAUUUGUUGGAAUUUCCUUGAUGAAAUUCACACUUGACCACCUAUCACCCACCUCUAAUUUUAAUGCCCUUAAACAAGUUAAUUUAUCGAAUAAUUGAGGUAGGACUUCACUAGACCAUGAAUAUUCAUCACUUUUAACUAAGAGGCUACGCAAUCCUUUAACAUUACCCCAAAUGGAGAUCGGAACCGAAGCCCCCCUAGAUAGAGUUAACAGUAAAUGAUGGAUUUUUUUCUCCCCGAAAGAGCUAAUAGCUAACUCUUCACCACUAUGAAUUUCUACUGUUAAACAUUCAUUACGACAUAAAUAUUGGGCAAAGUCGUGCACGAUAUCGUGCAUUUUGCAAUUAGAGAUUUCACCAUCAUCACCUUUGUCAAAAUCCUGAAAGAAUGAACGGUUAGCUAAGAUGUUGAAAUACUCUUCACCAAUAUCCUCCAUCUCUUUGCCUCCUUUCUCACUAAGAUAACCUUGUGCCAUCCAUAGUUCAAUUAACUUAUGCUUCCGUAUUUCAUAGUCUUUCGGAAAGACGGCACAAUAUGAGAAACAACGCUUUACCUUGGAGGGUAAUUCUUUGUAACUCAACAAUAGAGGGGCUAAAAGGCCUUUCUCAAUUGCUUCUAGUUCCCAUAUCUCACUCUCUAAGAUAUUUUGCCAUUCUUUUUCAGUGUUUUUAGACCGCAAGAGACUAGCAAUUGUCUUUGCAGCUAAAGGUGAGCCCUUGCACUUUUUUACAAUUUCUCUACCAAUUUUUUCUAAAUUUUCACGUUUUCCUAUGGUCUUACCAGAAAUUGCCAACGACUGAAACACCGACCAGCAUUCCAUUUCAGACAAUACAUUGACAGAGAUAACAUGAGUUGAUCCCAUAAUACGGGCAACUGUUUCUUUACGUGUGGUAAUUAAAAUUUUACUUCCAUGGAGACUAUUCUUUAAACAUUUGUAGAAUGGUUCCCACUUAUAGUAAUCUUCAUUCCACACGUCGUCUAAGACAAGAGGACAUUUCUUCCCGGCAACACAUUCUUGAAUAUGUUGCAUGAGAGAUUGAAACUCUACAAGGUCUUUGGCAGAACCUGGCUUCAGAGACUCAAUGAUUGCUCUGGCGAUCCUGAACUCAUCAAAUGGCUCUGACACACAGACCCAUGGUCUUUUCUCAAAAUUUCUUUCAACAUCACCGUUGUUGUAGGCAAAUUGAGCAAGAGUAGUUUUGCCUAUUCCCCCCAUCCCAACAAGUGAGAUGAUAGAGGGGCCUUUCUGUUCUUUACUACUCUCACAUAACAACCUAUUAACGAGUUCGUUCUUCUCUUUUUCUCUACCAAAUAUCUCGGACUCAUCAAUUGAGGAGAUACUUGGUACUCGUUGAUCCGCUUUCUCAUUAGUAACAUUCACAACAAAACCAAACAUGUCUUUCUGUUUGGCAAUAUCAUCAAGAGUUUCGUUGAUUUCUUUUAUCUUCAGAGCAAUGUCACGACGUAAGACAAGUGGUUUGCAGGCAAAGCAAGAUGCAGUAGGAAAGAAGGAACAUACCUUCUUCUUAGGAACGAGAGCAUCAUUCUCAGAAUCAUCAUCCACUCCGUCGAUUUGCAGUUUGAGCCUUGCAGUGUUCCACUCACCCAACACGUCUUCCAUGUCGUAACAUGCGUCUCUGAGUUGAUCGAGCCAGAGUCUGACAGUUUCCUCCUUCACUUGCCUUUUCUCUGCAUCAUGGAGCACAGCUUCAAUGACGCGGAGACUGCUGGUCAGCUUCUUCACUUCCUUUCCGACACCCGUUACUAGCCUCGCUUGUUCCUUCGCCUCUUCAACAGCCAUUGAAGUCAGCUGCUCCAAGAUAGGGGAAAGGAUCGCAUCAACCAUGGUGAAAAAGAAAAAAGAGAGAGAGAAGAAAUUGAUGGUGAAUUGUUGCAAAAGUAAGUAGCUAAUGCUGAAAGAAAUGAAGGAGCUGAUAAUGUGGUGAAAAUGUUGCCGUAUUCUUUCAAUUCUUUUAGUACUGCAAGCAAAAUUCUAAUUUAGAAAUAUUUAUUUCAUUUCAGCCCCUUGUGAAAGAAGCUACUGUUAUUAUUAUUACUUUUCUUUUUUUUUUAAUACCAGCAAAGAGGGAAAAUGACGUACAAUUGUGGACAGGAAAUAAUAUAUUGUUAGGUACAGUCCUACAUCGGCGAUUCACGCGGUAUAUGAAGAAACUGACAAAGUUUUCUAAAAUGAUCUCUUUUUAAAUAAUUGAACAAGUUGUUAGAUAAUAUAUAUGAUCGUGUCGUCAUAUUGAGAUUUGGAAGCAUUUGCUUUACAAUCACCCAUGAACUUGAUAAUUUUAAGAUUGUUUGAUCUGAAUUAUAUGUGUAUUAUUAGCUUAGAAAUACCUUGACCAUCUCUUUCUUAUUUUCUUCUUCUUCUUCUUUUUUUUUUUUUAAAUUUGACUCGUUUGCAUAAUUAGUUGAAAGGAAAGAAUGAACAUACUAAUAAACUAUGAAAACGCUGGCACAUAAUAUUUUAAGAUUUAUAUCGAACCACUUUAUUUAGAUUUUGUCAUUUUAGCAGAUGUCUGAUAGUGGGAGUUUAGAGUUUAAUCUCUGCUUGUGAAGUGUGAAAAAUCAAAUAAUCUUUUCAACUCGUUUUUCAACAAAAAUAGAUAACAAUUCAUCAUCAGUUAUUUCUCAUUAUGUAUAAAAUGAUCAAUCUAGAGCUGGAUAUUCACAUGUUUUUCUAUUUCUAAUCAUUUCAAAAUAUAAUAUGAACUUAAAAAAAAAUCAAAUUGUAAUAAAGUGACAUAAAUAUUAAAAAAUGAAAAUAAAAAGUCAAAUUGUAAUAAAGUGACAUAAAUAUUAAAAAAUGAAAAUAAAAAGUCAAAAAUGAAAUGCGGAAAAAAGACAAAACCUUUUUGUUUGUUCUAUUCAUGGCAUCUAAAUAUGAGAAAUGAUGAGUUGAUUGUCAUUGUGAACAACCAUAUUAAUUGCAACACGUGAAUACCAUCAAAGUCAUAAUAAUUCAUGGACCCAUGCAUCCUCUGUUUUUCUAAUUAUUCCGCGUAGAAGACUAAAGUUUAACGUGUGAUUCUCAAAUUCUUUGUCAAGUGAUUUGAACGUUUUAACGAACAGCGCUUACUUUUCUUUUUGAAGGAGCACAAUAACAACUUGAAGAUUCUUGGAAAUUGCCUACAGCACAAAUAUUUUUCGUUUGAACAAAACCAUCAAUAAUUUUCAAACUUAGAAGAUAUUUUUUUUUUUCAUAAGGGUUAUUUUUACAUACCUCCCUUGAGGUUUCACGUAAUAACAGUUUAAUAGAAAGUAUGGUGGUAUUAUUACAUCCCUCCCCUGCCGUUAGUAUUUCUGUCAGUUGACUGUUUAUGAGCCAAGAAAAUGACAAAAAUACCCCAUUAAUCCCAGCUGGUAUUUGGCAUUUAGGGUAAAAACAAUUAAAAAAAUGCUUCCCCAACCAAUUCAACGCCUUCAUCCCAUCCUCAAACGCAGCGGGGAACUGAUUCUCCGGUGCCAACCUUUACCCAACCGCCACAACAAUCACAUCACAGAGCCUUGCGAUUCCCCCACUCACCCACCCGCCGCCGUGGAACUGCAACAUUACUGGCAGUUCCUCCUAUUCACAUCCACCAGCGUGUACCCCCUGUGCACAUUCGAUUUCCCAUUCAAACUCAUCGCUUCCGCGUCGGCACUGCUGUGGCUGCUUCUCUGAUACUCCUCUUUCCUUGUAGCCACCGCCGCAUUCGGGGAGCCGUAGCUGUUCCUCCACAGAUGAAGCAGGUCACGUGGUAGCUCCGCCUCUGCAUUCUUCGAGUUCGCGUGCGGUUUAGGUUUGGAUUGCGGCUGAAGUCAGGCUCGGGAGGGUUUAGUGCAAACUUGGGGAGAAAAAUGUGGACCGAGAGCAACGUAAAAGGAUCGAUGUGGAUGGAUUUGUCGAGCAGAGAUUGGAUCCGGUUCUGUAAUCAGUGCUUCAACAGAAACUUGAAGAACACACGCUCGAAGACGGAUCAGAUACCGUCCUAGUCUCAACCAUAUCUGAUGCAAUAUUGAGAGAUCGAGAAGCCGUUGUACUAUGAUUAUUAUUUUUAUUAUUAUUACUGAACAUUUGCUGAGAUAAGGUAUUGGAAUUAAUCACUUUGCCACUGUUUUUUCCCUAUAAUGGCCAAUUAUCGUAAUCUUUGAAGAGCCAUGAGGAGCGAUGAGAAAAUUAGAGUUCUUACACGCCUUGGUCACCGAACUAGAUACUCAAAACUUCAAUUUGUUUUGUUCUUCAGAUUUUGGUGGGUGGCAUCAAUGCUACUUUAAACCUUCUUUCACAACACUGGAAAUCGUGCUAAGAAGAUCUGCAUUUUAUGAAGAAAGAUGCCAUUUCUCUCAAGGUUUCUGGAAUUUAAUUUGUUUUUUAUCAUAAAGCAAGCAAAAGAAAGAAGCUGUGUCUUUCCUUUUUGUUGGUGUAAAUGUCUUUUGCUUUUCCUGGUGUAAAUGUCUUUCGUUUUUGCUUUUAACUAUCGAGGGAUUAUUUGCCAAAUACCAGCUGGGAAAUUGUACCUCUAAGCCUUUAAGGGGUAUUUUCGUCAUUUUUCGCCUCAUAAACGGUCUACUGACAGAAAUACUAAUAGCAGGGGAGGGAUGUAAUAAUACCAUCAUACUUUCUAUUAAAUUGUUAUUACGUGAAACCUCAGGGGAGGUAUGUAAAAAUAACCCUUUCCCAUAACCCACCAAAAACUUUUUCAUUUAGUGUAACUUUGUAAUUUUCUUAGAUGAUACUUAAACAAAAUUGACAGUUUAUAACAACUAUGUCCAAAGCCACACACUAAAGAUAUCAUACACUGGAAGGCAAACAAAAGUACUAAAAAUUUGACAUUAAUAAAUAUAUAUAUUCAAAUUGAUUAAUUAAAUUAAUAGAUUAUGCAUUAGAUUGUGUGAUCGAUCCGAGGACUAGUGGAAUGUUGCAAGAGAGACUAGAGAGUUAAUAAUCAAAUUGUUUAGCUUAAUUAAGCUUUCUCAUUGCUCUCUACUCUUCAUUAAUUUCCCAAUAAUGUUUCAAUUUCAACAAAGUCAUUAUAACAAAAAUUACGGUGUUGCUCGAUCGUUUUUUUUUUUAAAUAUGUUGGGCAUGUUGUUAUUGAGAUUUUUAAAACAAUAUUAUUUUUUGAACAGGGGAAUUACCGAAGGGCAGAGCAGAGCAGAGCUUUUGAAUUCGAGUCUAAAACAAUUACUUGAUAAGAAUGUCAAUUAAUUGGCAAUAAAUACUUACAUCUGUUAUGUCAUCCGCAAUGAUCGUCAUAAAGUAUGUUACUUUUUCUCUUCAUUUCCUGAUGUUCUAUUCCAGAGUCAUCAAACAACCGUGUAUUUCUUCUUUUUUUUAAAAAAUAAUAAAUAUGUUGAACUGAGACUACUGAUCCGUUAAUUGGGCAUGCAAUUAUUUAGAUUUUUAAAACAAUAAUUAGAAGAUAUUAGCAGUUUUAAGUAUCAUCUAAGAAAAUUACAAAGUUACACUAAAUGAAAAAGUUUUUGGUGGGUUAUGGGGAAAAAAAUAAAUAUCUUCUAAGUUUGAAAAUUAUUGAUGGUUUUUGUUCAAAUGAACAAUAUUUGUGCUGUAGGCAAUUUCCAGGAAUCUUCAAGUUGUUAUUGUGCUCCUUCAAAAAGAAAAGUAAGCGUUGUUCGUUAAAACGUUCAAAUCACUUGACAAUGAAUUUGAGAAUCACUCGUUAAACUUUAGCCUUCUACGCGGAAUAAUUAGAAAUACAUAUGCAUGGGUCCAUGAAUUAUUAUAACUUGGAUUCCCCGAAGUUACGGUUAACGUAACUUACAGCCACUCUAUAAACUAUCGUUUAGCCUUUGUAUUUUAUAUCAUUUAUAAUUUAUUCAUAAAUAUUAUGAAAUUUUUUAUUUUGUAAAAUUUCGUUGCGACUCUUACACUCUGUUUUAUUUUAUUAAAACCCUUAGAGUAUAAAAUUCAUCCCUAUAAUUUUUAAAUUCCUAAAAUACUCUCCAUUUAAUUAAAAAAUAUAAUAAUUAUUAAAUGAAUUAUAAUUAUAAUAAUUAUCUUAUCAUAAUCUUUUAAAAUUAUGUAAUUUAUAAUCUUUUAAAAUUAUGUGAACAGUAAUAAUAAGUGGUGGAUCUACUACAUGAAUUUUGAAGGAACUAUAAUUUAUUUAACAAAAUCCUAUUUUAAAAUGAUUGUGCGAGACAGCACAUGCCAACCCGGGCUUUAUCAUUGCCAUGUCUUUUCGGUAAUCAUAUAUGUAGUGGCAGACAUCGGUGGCCAAUUAAGGGAUGAGAACAACCACUCCACCAAGAAAAUCUUGAUGCGUGUGCUUUUAAUUUUUAUUAUUGUCAGGUCCUACAUCCGCGAUUCACGCGGUAUAUGAACUUGACAAAGUUGUUAUAUUUUCCCAAUGGAAAACUAAGGCCCCGUUUGGUACCGUUUUGCAAGCCAUGUUUUCGUUUUCAUUUUUAUAAUACACACAUAAAACAUGUUUGGUGGUUUUAUUUCACAAAACAAAUUACAAAACACAAAAUCCGGAUUUAUUAUUAUAACUAUAUGAUUGAAAACAAGUUAAACAUGUUCUCUAAAUUUUACAAACUAAACCUAAAAAUGAAUUAAAAAACAACAAAAAAAUCGUGACCCUCUACAGCCCUCACUUUUCUCUUCACUGCAGCCCUCACUCUCAAUCCAGUUCACUGCAGCUCCCUCUUUCCCCUCAAUUUUCUCAGUCCAGUUGCAGCAAAUCUCUCUCUUGGUCGCUCUUGGUGUGCUAGCCACUGCCGCUGCUCUUUCUCCGCCGUAACUGCUGCUGCUCCGACUCCGUCCAGCUGCUGCUACUUCGUCUUUGCUCUCUCGGAUCUGCACUUGCUCUCUCGGAUCUGCACUUGCUCUCUCGGAUCUUUGCUCUCUCGCUACUUCGUUGUUGCUCACUGGGAUCUGCACUUGCCCAACCAUUUCGAGACAGUUUUGACGCAUAUGAAGAUGAUGCAGGACACGAAUUGGGUGGUCCGAUAAGUCCAUCUCUGCUUCAGUUGAAAGAUUUGAAAUACUUAGACUUAAGCAUGAAUAAUUUUAAAGGCUUCAAAGUUCCAGAAUUCAUUGGAUCACUAAAGGAACUGAGAUACCUCAAUCUGUCAGGCUCAUUUUUCAGUGGGACUAUUCCACAAAGUCUUGGAAACCUCACGAAUUUGCUUUAUCUUGAUCUCAAUAAUUUUCUUGAUCAAUCCAAUCAAAUAGGCCUUGGAUGACUUUCUGGUCUUCCUUCCUUGAAAUAUCUUAACUUGGGAGGGGCAGAUCUUAGCAAGGAUGCAGCAUAUUGGCUUGAAAGUAUUAGUAUGCUUCGUUCUCUUGUUGAGUUGCGUUUGCCCAAUUGUAAUUGAGCGAUGCUUUGGUGUUUUAAAAGUGUGAUUUUCAAUUUUAAGGGACGUGCAUAAUUAUAGUUUACGUAAGCAACGUGUAAUUUCAAUAGCAUGUUGCGCUUUACAUAAUUUUAUUCGAUGAGAAAAUGCAAGUGAUAGGUUAUUUCGGGACUUUGACGUGCAAGAUUUAGUUACCAACGAUGAAGGAGAUAUUAGUAGGUCACUUACUAAUAUUAGUAGGUCACUUAUUUCGGGACUUUGACGUGCAAGAUUUAGUUACCAACGAUGAAGGAGAUAUUAGUAGGUCACUUACUAAUAUUGAUUUAUCUCCGGCAAGUGUCGCAGAAAUGAAUGCUACAAGAGAUGGAAUUGCAGCUUUUAUGUGGCAUGAUUACAUACGUAAUGCAUAAUGUGUAUCAUGUAGUUUUUUUAUAAUUAUUUUGUUUAAAUCAUGUGUUGUAAUAUAUAUCUUAAUUAUAUGGUGUAAAAACAAUGACAAUGUCAAUUUUUUUUAAUUAAUGUUAAUUCUUAAACUUUAUUAUCAUGUAAUUUUUUUAUAUUAAAUUUGGUUAAAUUAUUUUGUUGUAUUUGUGUGUAUUAGCUAAAUAAUUAUUUUAUGACUAUAAAUAUAAUGUAAAUGAUUAGUAAAAACUGUUUUUGAAAAAAAUAUUACCAAACGCAUAUUCUCUGUUUUUAUCAUUUUCAACUGUGUCUACCAAACGCAUAUUACUGUUUUCAAUUUUGAAAUAUAGGAUACAAAAAAAGAUACCAGACGCAUAUUUAAAUUCAAAACACAGCAACUGCAAAACACCAUUUUCAUUUUCGUUUUUAUUCUCCGAAAAUACAGAUUCAAAAACAAUACCAAACAGGCCCUAAACAACUGAACAAGUUGUUGUAUAAUAUACAGGUCUUAUUAUGUUACAGUUUAUGUGUGUAAUAGAUCAUGACGUGAUAAAUAAUUUAUUCCAUGUACAAUAGUUUAAUGAAAAAUUUAUCACAAUUUUAUUAUUUUUAUCAAAAUUAUUACUUGAAAGUAAUAUCCAUCAAAUGUUAUCAAUUCUUAUUUUAAUAAUUAUAUCUAUUUAAUUUCACAACUUUGCAGUUUAAAAAUACCAGCAAUAAAAUUCAAAACGAAGCCUAAAUCUAGAAGGUGCAAAUGCUGCCGAAAUUCUCAAACUUUGGAUGGUAGCUUCAUUUGGUUGUGAUUAUUUGAUUAUCUUAUGCUGAUCUAAUAUAAGGAUCCGGCUAUGGUGCAACGGUGAUACGGUAUCACCGUUGCAUCCAGCCGUUGGAUCCACGUGGGAGAAUGGAUCCAGUGGGAUCCACGUGGAUCCAACGGCUGGGUGCAACGGUGAUACCGUAUCACCGUUGCACCAUAGCUUUCUCCCUAAUAUAAUGAGCUAUUAUAUAAAUAGAAGACAGCAUUGGCAGGAAUCGAACAGCAGCUACUUACUACAUUGUAAUGUGAUUCAAUUAAUUAUAGAUGCAUGAGACUAAGGGUCUAUUUUAUAGUCAGAUGUGGCUUUUUAAUUAUAAUUGUUGUAUAAUAAAAACAGUAAGUACUAAAAAAAAAAGGAAUUAUGGGAAUUGGGUAAACUUUCAUUUGUAAGUAUUAUGAGUAAUUAAUAAUUUGUAUUUUCAAAAGUAGAAGUAUACAUUUUUUGACAUGCCUUCAAAAUCUAUAUGUAACCUUAUAUCUAAAUAACUGAUCAAGUAUAUAUCAAGUAAUUCAAAAAUGGGCUGGGACUGAUGGUAAUCGCAAACGUUUUGAGGAUGAGUGAUACUAUGGGCACUCCUCUAGAAACUUCUCCACUAAAAUACUAAAUUAAUAUAAAUUAUUACCUCCCUUAAUAACGAAAAUAGCCUUAAAUAAAAUAACUUAUGGAACCGUAGUAUUUCAAUUCUUUCUUAUUGUUCAAACACAAUAAGAAAAGCUCAAAAUUUUAAAAAGCUCUUUAAAAAGCUCUAGAUCUCUACUUUCAAAAGUUCAAAAUUUUAGUUUUUCUUAAGAGAGGUAAAAUAACUUAUUUAUUCUCUUAAACCUCUACUAAAGUUACAACUGAACAAUAUAAAAAAAAUUUGAAAAAAGAUUUUGGUGUUAAAUAAUCACUUUUAAAUAGUAUAAAUAUGUACAACUUAAGGCCUAUUUAGUAUUUCUUUUGAAAGGUUCGAGAGUCACUUUAGGGUCCAGCUAUGUUGCCUCUAGGGUUUGGUGCCCCAUUUUUUGUCAUUUUCAAAUUCACCGUUGCAUCCAACGCAAGACUUGCAUAAUGACUUAUAUAUGAUUUUAGGUUAUUAACAUUAAAGGCCCCUCUUGUUCAUGUAAAAUAAGAAAAAUCAAAAGUUUUAUAAUUAUGACAUAAAAGUCCAAAAUAUAUAUAUAUAUUACACUAUUGAACUAUAUUUCUAAUUAAAUGGCUUAUUCUUACAUGUAUUAAUAUCUAUUUAAAUUAAUAAAUUUACUUAUUAAUUAACAAAUUAACUAGUUUAUUAUAUAGUUAAACUAUGUAUAUUAUUUACGCACCAUAAUUAAUGAUAAAUAUAAAUUUGAUUUUUUUAAUUUAACAUAACGGCAACCAGUUUCCUCUCACCCAUGUGACCAAGGUUCAAACCCCAUAAUCUUUUUUAUUCUAACACAAGUGAUUUUACUAUCUCAAGUAAAUGUAAUGUACAAAAUAUGAAAAUAAAUUUAAUUUGAUAUUCUAUGUAGUUAAUUUUUUUUGUAACAUAAGAUUUAUUUAACAUAUUAUCAAUUAUUUAAUUAUGUAGUAAAAAUAUGUUAAUUUACUAAUAAUAAUAAAGUGUUAGUUUAUGAAUUUGCAAAAAAAAUUUGUUUGUUUGAACAAUGAGUUUGUAUUUUUGGUUGAGUUUUUGUCUUUAAAUAAAAGAAUAAAUUUAAUUGCACACUUAAAUAAAUUAAAAUUUGUUACUCCACCCCAACAAUUUAAAUAGUUAUUAGCACACGUCCAUAUGGUUGAGAUCUUUCAUUAACUUAACUAAGAGAAGGGUAAAAAAAUUUUAAACAAUUACUCUAUUUGAAAAUAAUUUAAAAUUUUCCUUAGUUUUCUUUUAUUUAAAAUAAUUUAAAUAUUUCAAAAAAAAUUCUUUUAAUUUACUAUUGUUUGUGUGUAUAAAGAGAAUAUAUAAGUGCUUGAAUUCUAAAUAAAUCAUGGCUUCCAAAAGCAUUAAUGCAAUUGAAAAUCUUUAGGUGCAGGACUAAUGUGUGAAAAUUUAAAAGCUUUUAGUUGUUUUGUUUUUAUAACCAAUAACAAGACUUCACUGUAAUUGACCUUGAAAAAGACAAAAGAAAUGGGUAUCAAACCCAUGUUGCAACGUAGUUUUGCCCUUUUUUUAAAUCACUUUGUAAAAUCAUAUUGUCUAUAUUAGAUUUUAAAAAGUAGUAAAGUAGCAGCUUUUCAAAAUAUAAUUUUGAGAAUCAAUUUUAUAUUUAAUAUAAUUUCAUAUAUAUCCUCAUGUAUAUUAUAAAAACCAAAAUUAUCCUUAUUAAGUUAGGAAAUAAAAUUAUUAAAUUUAUAGAGAUUAUUAUUUGUUACCUAUGAUAUUGAGAUAAAAUUAUAAAAUAUAAAUAUUUAUUAGUUAUCAAUUAUUCUAUAUACACAAUAAAAAAUUAUAUAUUACAUAUUUAAAAAGUUUGUAAGUAAACUUCAUCCAUAUUAUAUCCUUUUGAGUCUUUGUUUUUGGGACUAUAAUUUAAUAAUAAGAUUUGCCAAAUACAUAUGAUUGAUUUUAAAACUCACAACACCUAAAAUAAAGUUUACCAAAUAUUUAACUAAUUUCUUUAUAGUUGAUUAUUUUCAAAAAUCUAAAAUUAGAGCAUUUUCGAAUAGAAGCAAUAUAGCAUUUAAUCUCUUAAACUUCUGCUAAAGUUACAACUAAACAACAUGAAAAAAAAAUUAAAAAAAAGGUUUGGAUAUUAAAUAUGCACUUUUUAGCUAAUAGGUAAGACUUUGGGGUCGUUUGAAAUUAUAAUUGGAAGGCUUAAAAGUAAUUUUAAAAAAAUUAAAAAUUCAUCUUUUUAUUUGAUAAUUUUUUUAAAAAUUACUUUUGGUGAAAUCAUCUCAUCCCACAUCAAGUUUUAGAAAGUAGAGAAGGAAUAACUUCUCACAAGCCACAAUCUUAUUUAAAAAGUUUUAGACUUAAUAUAAUUUCACACAUAUUCUCAUUUGUAUUAUAUAAAUCCGAAAUUAUCCUUAUUCAACAAAAAAAUAAAAUCAUUAAAUUUACAAAGAUCAUUAUUAUUAUUAUUAUUAUUAUUAUUAUUAUUAUUAUUAUUAUUAUUAUUAUUAUUAUUAUAUUGAGAUAGAAAAAGUUUAAUUUUUUUAAGUUACUAAUUUUUACAUAUGCACAAUAAAAAGAAAUUAUAUACAUAUACAUAUUUAAAAGAGUGUAAAUAAAUUUUAUUUAUUUUAGUCAUUCCUAUUUUCACAAUAGUUUAAUAAUAAAAUUUAUCAAGCACGGAUAAUUAAUUUUAAAACUCACAUCACUUUUAAGUGUAAAUUUUACCAAACAUUAAGCUGAUUUAUUUACAACUAAUUAUUUAUACAAUGCAACUAACAAUAAUUAUUUGAGUGAUGAUACAGCCAAAAACUCUUGUACAAAUUAAACUUGUACAAAUUGAUAUGGUAUUAAUUCAUUGGUUGAAUGAAAAUAUAAAAUAAUAGAAAUAAAUCAUGUGCCAAGAGAUAUUUAAUUCAACUAAUUUUAUCAUGCCACAUUAAUUUGUACAAAAUAAAUUUAUACAAGAAUUUAUGAAUAUAUCAUUACUCUAAUUAUUUUAAUAGUUAAACUAUCAUCAAACCGACCCUUACAAAAAAGUAGUACUCAUUAAGCUCAUGUAUAUAUAUAAAUUAAUUUUUUAAUCUUUAUUUGUCUAAAAUUUAAAUUUCAAUAGCGACUAAAUAAAAUUACUUGAAAAAAACAUCGGUAAAAUAAACUUAUUAAUUGUGAAAAAUGUUGAGAUGUUUGGUUAAAGUCAAACUAUAAUUGUUUACCAAACAAACAAUUUAAUUUUGACAUCAUGGCUGUAAAGUAGUUCUACCAAACAGUCUUAACCACGUCAAUUUCAAAGGCGGGAAUGCACAGCGCCAAUACCUGAAUGAACAACUCAUCUAUUUAUUUAUUUUUAUUUUUUUGUUAAGGGUCAUGAACAUCUGUUACUCACUGGCCACUGCUUUAUGGAGGGAAUAAUUUUAGAAUAUAUUUAUUAUAUUACAAUUAAUUAAUGUAUUUAUGAUAUCUGUAAUUGAGUUUAAUACAAUUACUACUUAAAUGAUAGUUUAUAAAACAAAUAUUAUUUAUUUAUUAUGUGAGUGAUAUAGUACGAGUGACAUAGUACAACAAAUAUAUUCUAAAAUUUCUCUUAUUAGGAUGCAAUGAUGAUGAGAAUAAAACCUGUCAUGUCAUUUGGAUAUUUGUCCUUUUUCUUUUUAUUUUUCAGUAAAGUGAUUUGGACGUUCCAAUGAAAAGUUAAUUUCCUUUUUCUGAGGAAGUAAAUAAAAUAGAUGCUGCAUUUGCACCAAGGCUCCUGAGAGUUGCCUAGACUCCUAAAAAAAAUAAAAAUUAGAUUAUAAAAUUUUAAUUUUAAUAUAAAUUACAAUAUCAUGAAUCACUCAUUUAUUAAAUAAUAAAUAUAAAAUUAUUUAUUAUUCUAUUUUAUCAUCUAAUUUAAGGGGGAACCUUAGGUGCAACUGUGGCACCGUGCCACAGUUGCAUCUAGCCGUUGGAUGCAAGUGGAUCCCAUCACUCCAACUGCAUCCAACGGCUAGAUGCAACUGUGCCACGGUGCCACAGUUGCACCGUAGCCUGAUCCCUAAUUUAAUUUAAUUUAAUUUUUCAUUUUCCUUCUUUCUCAUAAUUGUAACACAGAUAAUCAGUUGAAGAAAUAUACUUCAAAUGAUUGUACGAGACACCACAUGCCAACCGAGGCCUUAUGUCAGUUAAAGCUUUGUCAUUGCCACGUCUUUUCGCUAUUCGUGUAUUGUGGCAGGCGGUGGCCAAUUAAGGGAUGAACACUAACACUACUACUCUGCUUGACACGUGUGCUUUUUCUCCCCUUAAUUAUUCUACUCUCAUUUUGUUUUCACUAGUCAUAGUGGGAGGGAGACAUUAGUGGCCAGGCCAAGGGAUGAAACUGAAAGUAAAAGUUAAACGAGACUCCUGUGCGUUUCCGGUUGCUCUGCUGAAAAGCCGAAGAUUAUGAGCUGGUAAGGGGUUUGGUUGUCGUGGCCUUUAGUUGGCUUAAGGGGGAUAUAAUUUGUAAUUAUGGUUUAAAAGUUAUUCCAUGUAUACUAGUUUAACAAAAAAAUUAUAACAAUUUUUAUUUAAAUUAUUAUUUGAAAGUAAUGUUAUCAAACACUAUCGAUUCUUAAUUUUAAAAUUAUAAAUUUUUUAUUUCACAACUUGUGCAGCUUAUAAUUACCAGCUAUAAAAUUCAAAACGGAGCCUAAAUCUAGAAGGUGCAAAUGCCGCCGAAAUUUUUAAACUUUGGAUGGUAGCUUAAUUUGGUUGUUAUUAUUUGAUUAUUUUAUGGUGAUCUUGUGUAAUGAGCUAUUAUAUAAGAUUUUAUUUGGAAGGACACGAACAACUACGACGUACUAGAUUAUAAUGGGAUUUAUUUAAUCACGGAUACACGAGACUAAGUGUUUAUUGUAUAAAGAGAUAUUUUGGCUUUAAAGUUUUGGAAUUAUACCGUCAGUUAUUUUAUUAAAAAAAUGAAAAUAAUUUGAUCAGCCACCAGAGAUUUGCUUCAGUGAUUUUUUCAAUACGAUGUACAAACAAUAAGCUAUCAGAUGCAAAUAAUACUACUAUAUAUUAAAUCUUGUUGAAUCCCCUCCUCUGUUCACAGUUCACUGUCGGAAUCGACGACACAUUUAUAAUAAUUAAUUUCUAAACUGGACAAAAGAAUAACAAGUAAUAAAACAAAAAGAAACCAAAUCUGAACCCUCAAAAUCAAGCAGUUUGGCCUCACAAUAGCUCUCUUAGUCUAGAGCUUUCCCUCGUUGAUUCUCUUUGGAAAUACAAGACUCACAAACUUUUUUUUUUUUAAAAAAAAUCCAAUACCUAAUUACAAGUUACUGAAAAUCUAUAUAACAGAUUAAAAGAGCAUGUGCCUGUCCCAAUUCCUGCUCUGCUACGCCAUUUUCGUAAUUCGUUUUCGGCUGAAAAGAUUGCAUUCCCCAAAAAAUUAAUCAGUUAGACUAAUAUAUCUAAUUAUAUGUAUAUAUAAAAUGAAGGAGUAGAGAGCAAAUGAGAAGGAAAGCAUAUAUAAUUACUAACCAGAGUUAAUUUGAUUCCUUAUUGGCACCAAUAAUUAUAUUUUAAUUCCUGCUGAAUCCUCUCCUCUGCUCAGUGUUGGAUUAGUUUCAUCUCAGCCUCGCGUCUGUCCGUUUUCGAUUCGCUCCUAAUUAAUUUGUUGUUAAUUAAUGGGCUGAAAAUGGGAAUUUUGUUUAAUUUCAGUGCAGACUGCAGAAAGCAGAGGAAUUGACGACACACUUUAAUUUCUAAAAUGGAUUAAAAAAAAUAACAACUAAUUAAUAGAGUGAGCACGCAAUGCAAGGGGGAGAUCUAGAAAGAAAUUACCCGUGGUGUGUUAGGAAAUUGAGUUUCCUCGCAAGAUCUCUCCAAGCAAUUUAUCAAGCAACAAAUUAAUAAGAAAAAUUAAAUGGAGAAUAUACCAAUCACACAACACAAGAUUUACGUGGAAAACUCCAAAUCCGGAGAAAAACCACGGCCGUUGUCACAAGAUAACUAGAGAAAAAAAUAUUCACUAUGUGGAAAAUUAUUACAACCACUCUCUCAGAAAUAAUUUUCUCUCACCUAAGCCCUAGAUACACCCAAAAUACUAAAAUUUCCUAAUACUCACUUAAUGCUUAAUUUGCAUUAAAUUUUACAACUUUGAAUGUUUCUCUCUGGGAUUGGAUACAAGCUCUAGAUUGAGAGCUUGUAUUUAUAGGCAAAACUUUGCCUCAAAUGUCAAACAAGUGGCCAAAACCUCAAGCUUACGGCAUCUAGAAUUUCUCAAAGCCAAGUGCCAACCAUUCUUGUCAAAGCUUCUAGAUGCAGCCAUGCCAAACAUUUUUGUUUAUUCAACACUUCUAGAUGCAUUCAAAGCUUUCUAGAUGCAGCCAAUAUUGACAUUCUCCCACUUGGAGAUUUGAUUGAGAAUCAAUCAAUCUCCACACUAACCUUACUAUUUUCCUCACCAUAGAGAAUUAUCAUACCCCACCAUAAAAGAGUAUACCACUUAGAAUUAAUUACCAAUUCUAAGAAUUUUACAUCGGCACAUGUCGAAAUAUCCUGCUGAAAUUUAUGGUGCAACUUCCAUGUUGGCCUUCCUGGAAGUUUGUCAGCCAUCGACAUAAAUUCCACCACACACCCUGCAUCAAUGCCAACCAUGCCUUGUGUGUAAAUCUUGUGGACCCGCUAGUAGUAAAACAUCCCCUUUCAUGGUACUAGCGGUAUACCAUGAGGAUGUCAUCAUCAUCUAUUUUACAAGGGAUCAUCGUCUCCCACGAUGAUGAGAGACUUACCACUAGCAAUACUAUCAGUAUCUGAUCUGGAGCCACUUGCCGAUCCUGCUCCAUUUCUACUAUGACAAUCUCUUUUUAAGUGCCCCAAUUGUCCACACCCCCAGCAGACUCCUUUCUUCUUAGAUUUAUCUUUCUGCCAAUUCCCUACAACUGCCAAAGCUGAGACAUAUGUAGUUUUAGUACUUUCACCACUCAGUCUUCUUUCUUCUGAGAGUAAAGUACUAGUAACUUCUUCAAGAUCUACUGUCUCCUUCCCGUACAUCAAAGUAGGUAACAAGUGUUUGUAGGAAGUUGGAAGUGACCAUAGUAACCUAAGCGCCUUGUCCUCAUCUUCAAUUUUAACUCCAAUGGCUUCUAGUUCUGACACAAUACCAUUGAGAACACUGAGGUGAUCGGAAAUUUUUGUACCUUCAGCCAUUCGCAGUGUGUGAAAUCGCUCCUUCAGGUACAAUCGAUUUGAGAUGCUCUUUGUCUGAUACAACUUUUCUAGCUUCUCCCAAAGUUCUUUCGCUGUAGGAAUUUUUCCUACAUUUGCAAGAACAUUCUUUGCUAGACACAGUCGUAUGGCACUUGCAGCUCGAUCAUCUAAUUCUUCCCAAUCUUCAUCACUUAUACUAGCUUUUCCAGAGCCACUACUGGAAGCAGGGGAUGGCUUCCCCUUUAAUGCCUUGUGUAACCCAGAUUGAAUCAAUACAUCUUUAACUUGAACUUGCCACAAGCCAAAGUUAAUUCUCCCAUCGAAUUUUUCUAUUUCAAAUUUCACCGGACUUGAAAAUUUCAAUCCUGACAUAUUUUCUUUGCAGAUCAGCUUUUACUCUUCACCACGGACUGUUUGGAUUGGCUCCCACUGCUUCACGUGAAUAGUACCGUAUACGUGAACAGUACCGUAUACGUGAACAGUGCCCCGACACCAAAACUUCAAUCAAUGGCUCUGAUACCACUGUUAGGAAAUUGAGUUUCCUCGCAUGAUCUCUCCAAGCAAUUUAUCAAGCAACAAAUUAAUAAGAAAAAUUAAAUGGAGAAUAUACCAAUCACACAACACAAGAUUGACGUGGAAAACUCUAAAUCUGGAGAAAAACCACGGCCGUUGUCACAAGAUAACCAGAGAAAAAAAUAUUCACUAUGUGGAAAAUUAUUACAACCACUCUCUCAGAAAUAAUUUUCUCUCACCUAAGCCCCAGAUACACCCAAAAUAUUAAAAUUUCCUAAUACUCACUUAAUGCUUAAUUUGCAUUAAAUUUUACAAUUUUGAAUGUUUCUCUCUGGGAUUGGAUACAAGCUCUAGAUUGAGAGCUUGUAUUUAUAGGCAAAACUUUGCCUCAAAUGUCAAAUAAGUGGCCAAAACCUCAAGCUUACGGCAUCUAGAAUUUCUCAAAGCCAAGUGCCAACCAUUCUUGUCAAAGCUUCUAGAUGCAGCCAUGCCAAACAUUCUUGUUUAUUCAACACUUCUAGAUGCAUUCAAAGCUUUCUAGAUGCAGCCAAUAUUGACAUGGUGGUGGCCGUGGGUGAUUGUAAUUUGUAAUUGCAACCGCGCGCUUUGAGAAUUCCUUAAGCAAUGAAGACGUCGGGAAUGUGGCGGAUCUUAGGCCAGUCCUCUCCUGUCUCCUUUCUGCAACGUUCUUCUAAAAUAGGGCAUUCCCCAAUCGUCAAUGCAUGCAGUGUUGUCUUCUGAAGAAGGUGAUCGGGCAGUGCUUUUAAUUUAGGGCAUCGCCGAAUUGACAAGGAAGAAAGACGUGGCAUGAUCAUGAUUUCUCCCUUUAUUGCCGUCCCGAAAUCCCACUCUUCCAAUACAUCCAUUUCAUCAAAUCUGAGCUGUUUCAAUUUGGGAAAGGCAAUAACUGAGGAGCCAUCCGUAUCGCUUUCUACUCCCAGAAAUUCGUUACCCACUCUUUUCAUGCUUUGCAUUCCAUAAAUUUCAAGAACUUCAAGGGAUGGCAGUUUUCCCAAAGGAGGCAAAUGCUCACAAUUUCGGCACUCGAAGAGACUUAAAACCCUUAAAUUGGUUAAUGACGUGAUCCAAAUUUUGGGGACAACAUUCCUCCUCCCUCUGUAUUGAUAAAUCCGUAAUUCCUUUAAAUUAGGAGGUGGUCCCAAGGCUUCAAGAAGCCGUCCAUCUUCAUCCUCUUCAUUGUCCCUCCUCCCAGCUUGUUCUUCAUCUCCAUCUCUUAAAUGAUCAAAAUGAAGUUCCAAAUCAGACAGAUUUUUCUUUUUCUCAAGUUCAGCCCUUCUAGCCUCACCCUCAUCUGACACAUCACCCAGCCCAUGUAUCCUACAAUAUCGAAGGAGGUUAAGCUUUUUAAGAGAUCCAAGGCUACAUGCUUUGUCGUACCCUCCACCCACAACAAACUCUUUCACUAUCCGAAGCCUGAUUAAUUCCCCAAUCCCUACCGGCAAGUCUCUUAAAGAAUAAGUGCCAUCAUUUUCCAAAUACAUUAGCUUUCUUAACUUCCCAAUCCCUUGAGGUAAUUCUCUAAGAUUUCGACAAUAACUAAUGUCUAAAUGUUCCAAAUUAUACAACUCACACAACGUCUCCGGUAAUUUUUCUAUCUCCCGUUGAUGGGCCAAAUUAAGGUAUUUCAAAUGUAAUAAGUUUUCUAUAUUUGUUGGAACUUCUUUGAUGCAAUUCUCACACAACCUCAAGCUAUGCACCCCCAAUGUUAAUGCCCUUAAACAAGUUAAUUUAUCAAAUAAUUGAGGUAGGACUUCGCUAGACCAUGAAUAUUCAUAACUUUCAACUAAGAGGCUACGCAAUCUUUUAACAUGAUCCCAAAUGGAGAUUGAAACUAAAGGCCUGCCAUCUAGAUUUAACAUUAAAUGAAGGACUUUUUUCUCCCCAAAAGACCUCAUAAAUGAAUUUUCCCCACCAUGAAUUUGUAAUGCAAAACAUUCAUUCCUACACAAAAAUUGGGCAAAGUCGUGCACUAUAUCAUGCAUCUUGCACACAUAAUUUUCACCAAAACCAUAUCUCCUAAAAUCCUGAAAGAAUGAACGGCUAGCUAAGAUGUUGAAAUAUUCUUCACCAAUGUCCUCCAUCUCUUUGGUUCCUUUCUUACUAAGGUAACCUUGUGCCAUCCAUAGGUUAAUUAACUCUUUUUUCUGUAUUUGAUAGUCUUUCGGAAAGAUGGCACAGUAAGUGAAACAUUGUUUUAUCUUAGAGGGCAAUUCAUUGUAACUCAAUAGUAGAGGGGCCAAAAGGCCUCUCUCAACCUCUUCUAGUUCCCAUAUCUCACUUUCUAAGAUAUUUUGCCAUUUCUUUUCAGUGUUUCUAGAUUGCAGGAGACUAGCAAUUGUCUUUGCAGCUAAAGGUAAGCCCUUGCACUUUCUUACAAUUUGUCGGCCCAUAUUUUCUAAUUUUUCACAUUCCUCCAUUGACCUACCGAAAAAUGCUAACUGCUCAAACACUGACCAGCAUUCUAUUUCAGACAAUACGUUGACAGAGAUAACAUUAGUUGAUCUCAUACAAUGGGCAACUAUUUCCUUACGCGUGGUAAUCAAAAUUUUACUUUCAUGGAGGCCAUUCUUUAAACAUUUAUAGAAUGGUUCCCAUUUAUAGUAAUCUUCAUUCCACACGUCGUCUAAGACAAGAAGAAAUUUCUUCCCUUCAACACAUUCUUGAAUAUGUUGCAUGAGAGAUUGAAACUCACCAAAGUUAGAGGCAGAACCUGUUAGAGACUCAAUGAUUGCUCUGGCGAUCCUGAACUCGUCAAACGGCUCUGACACACAGACCCAUAUUCUUUUCUCAAAAUUUCUUUUAACACCAUCGUUAUUGUAAGCAAAUUGAGCAAGAGUAGUUUUGCCUAUGCCCCCCAUCCCAACAAGUGAGAUGAUACAAGGGCCUUUCUGUUCUUUACUACUCUCACAUAACAACCUAUUAACGAGUUCGUUCUUCUCUACCAAAUAUCUCGGACUCAUCAAUUGAAGAGAUACUUGGUACUCGUUGAUCCGUUCUCUCAUUACUCUUAAUAACAUUCACAGCAAAACCAAACAUGUCUUUUUGUUUGGCAAUAUCAUCAAGAGUUUCAUUGAUUUCCUUUAUCUUGAGAGCAAUAUCACGACGUAAGACAAGUGGUUUGCAGCCAAAGCAAGAGGCAGCAGGAAAGAAGGAACAUACCUUCUUGUUAGGAUCGAGAGCAUCAUUCUCGUGAUCAUCCACUCCAUCGAUUUGCAGUUUGAGCCUUGCAGUGUUCCACUCACCCAACACAUCUUCAAUGUCGUAACAUGCGUCUCUGAGUUGAUCGAGCCAGAGUCUGACAGUUUCCUCCUUUACUUGCCUUUUCUCUGCAUCAUGGAGCACAGCUUGAAUGGCUCGGAGAUUGCUGUUCAGCUUCUUCACUUCCUUUCCGACACCCGUUACCAGCUUCACCUGUUCCUUUGUCUCUUGAGCAGCCAUGGCAGUCAGCUGCUGCACGAGAGGGGAAAUGAUCGCAUCAACAACCAUGGUGAAAGAGGAAAAAGAGAGAGAGAAGAGUUUUAGCAACAGUAAUUAAUGCUGAAAGAAAUGAAGGAGCUAAUAAUGUGGUGAAAAUGCAGCCGUAUUCUUUCAAUUCUUAUAGUACUGCAAGCAAAAUUCCGAUUUAGAAAUAUUUCAUUUCAGCCCUUUUGAAAGAAGCUGCUGUUAUUAUUAUUACUAUUUUUUUUUUUAAUAAUAGCAAAGAGUGAAAAUGACAUACAGUUGUGGACACGAAAUAAUAUAUUGUUAGGUCCUACAUCGGCGAUUCACGCAGUAAAUGAACUUAAAAAAGUUUUCUAUGAUCUCUUUUUAAAUAAUUGAACAAGUUGUUAGAUAAUUAUACGUGUAUUAUCUCUUAUUUUCUUCUUUUUUUUUUUCAUCAAAAUUUUACUCGUUUGCAUAAUUAGUUGAAAGGAGAGAAUGAACAUACAAUUAAACUAUGAAAACGCUGCCACAUAAUAUUCUAAGAUUCAUAUCGAACCGCUUUAUUUAGAUUUUGUUAUUUUAGCAGAUUUCUGAUAGUGGGAGUUUAGAGCUUAAUCUCUAAAUUUGAUUGUGAAGUGUGAAAAAUCAAAUAAUCUUUUCUACUAGUUUUUCAACAAUAAUAGAUGACAAUUCAUCAUCAGUUAUUUCUCAUUACGUAUAAAAUGAUCAAUCUAGAAGACUAAAGUUUAACGUGUGAUUUUCAGAUUCAUUGUCAAGUGAUUUGAACGUUUUAACGAACAACGCUUAAUUUUCUUUUUGAUGGAGCACAAUAAUAACUUGAAAAUUCUUGAAAGUUGCCUGCAGUUCAAAUAUUUUUCUUCAGAUGAAAACCAUCAAUAAUUUUCAAACUUAGAAGAUAUUUAUUUUUUUCCCAUAACCCACCAAAAGCUUUUUCAUUUAGUAUUCUUAGAUGAUAAGACUGCUAAUAUCUUCUAAUUAUCACCAAAAACUUUGUAACUUUGUAAUUUUCACUAUUCAUAUGUAGUGGCAGACAGCGGUGGCCAAUUAAGGGAUGAAGACUACUACUCCACCGAGUAAAUCUUGACACGUGUGCUUUUUCUAAUUACAUUUUUGCAAUGGCAAUUAAUGCUGAAGGAAAUGAAGGAGCUAAUAACGUGGUGAAAAUGCUGCCAUAUUCUUCCAAUACUUAUACUGCACGCAAAAUUCCAAUUUAGAAAUAUUUCAUUUCAAAAGAAGUUAUGGCUAUUGUUAUUAUCUUUCUUUCUUUUUUUUUUUUAAUUUUUUUUUUUUAACCAGUGUGGACUGGAAAUAUUGUCAGGUCCUCCGUCUGCGAUUCACGCGGUAUAUGAACUUGACAAAGUUGUUAUAUGAUAAUAUGAUUUAGGACCAUAUGUUGUCUCUUUUCAAUAUUCGAUAAUUGAACGAGUUGUAUAUAUGAGUCCGCUUAUAGGGUCUUGCUAUGUUACAGUUUGUGUCUGUAACAGCACAUGACGUGACAAAUAAUUUAUUAAGAGUGCGCCAUGUGUAAAAAUUUAAUGAUCCAAUUUGGUAACAAGAUUCUUUUCACCCGUUAUUAUUAACCGGUUGCAGAUGACUUACUGCAAUUACAAUUACGUUAAACAGUGUUUGACUGUGAAGUGUUAAAAUUUAAAUAAUCUUUACUAUUUGUUUUGCAACAAUAAUAAAUAACAAAUCAUUACUAAUUAUUUUUUAUUUUGUAUAAAUUGAUCGAUCCAGAGCUAGAUAUUUACAUAUUUUUCUAUUUCCAAUCAUUUCAAAAUUGGAAUUUUGAUUGUUUUUUUACCCCCCAUAACCCACCCACCAAAAACUUUUUUCAUUUACUUUAACUUUGUAGUUUUCUUAGAAGAUACUUAGAACUGCGAAUAUCUUCUAAUUAUUGUUUUAAAAAUCUCAGUUGCAUGCCCAAUUAACUAAUCAGUAGCCUCAGUUCGACAUAUUUAAAACACACAAAAAAAAAAAAAAAUAUGACACAGUGGUUUGAUGACUUUGUAAUUGAUACAUUCAGGAAAUGAAGAGAAAAAGGAACACACGCACUUAUGACGAUCAUUGCAGAUGAUAUAAUAGAUGUAAGUAUUUGGUGGCAAUUAAUUAACUAAUACUCUUAUCAAGUAAUUGUUUUGGACUCGAAUUAAGCAGCUCUGCACUGCCCUUGGAUAAUUCCCCUGCUUAAAAAACAUUGUUUUAAAAUAAAAAACCUAUUUACUUUAUAAUACAACUUUUCAUUUAUUUAAUCGUUUGUUUUUUUUCUAUGAUGGUAAUAUAUUAUUUUAGUAAUUUUUAAAGAACUUUGAUAUUCUCUAAAAAUAUAUAUUUUAUCUCAUGUUUAUAAAAUAAAAAAUUUACAAUAGCAAAAAAAUAUAUAAUGAUUAAAAAAACUUAGUUUGUUAAAUUUUUUUCAUUAUGAUAUUUGUUUUCACUCUCAUUCAACGUCUUCACUUUUUUAGACAAAAAAUUAUCUACAUUUUUAAAAUAAGUAGAUUCCAGUUGUUAAAAAAUUAUCUACAUUUUUAAAACUCUUGACAAUGACAUAAAACAUUUUGUACUUCUUAAGUAGAUUCCAGUUGUUCUUGUUCUGAGAUACCAAAAGCAUUAUAGCAAACGAAACCAAGCCAGCCCAGUUUCCAGUAAAGGCAACAGCCCUAUGCUAUGCUAGCCUUUCGGUCUGAGUUGGCCCAUUUACACCCUUGUGAGCACAAUGCCUUUUUGGUCAUCCAUCAGACAAGGUUGAAAAAGGACCUAAAACUGAACAGUAGAACAGAUUACCUGGAGGUGAUGGUAUAUGCAGCCGUUUGAGGCCUCCUAAAAGACUUCUCCUGAUCCCUUGAAAGUUAUGAAUUAAGACAGUAGGCCAGUCUGCUCUUGUUCCCUUUCUGUAAACUUUCAUUUAAAACAGGACAGGACAUUCGCGAAUCACCCCUGCAAACCAAAUCCAAGGCAAAUUUGAUCAAUGCGAUUUAGUAAGUGAGCCUUGAAAAGCCAUCACACAGCUUAAAAGCCAAAUGAAUUAGGACUUGUGAUUGGGGUAAUGGUUUAAAGAAAAUAGUAAGCAAUCCCCACUCAAAGCCAAAGUAACAAAGCAGAAGAAUAUGCUAAUUAACCUCAACCGACAUCAACUUAAUUUUGAUCGGCGACCAAAGCCUCAGUGGUCUUCUCAAUUCCACCUCUGGUAAAUAGAAUGGGAUCUGCACCAGCUGCUACCACCUGAAUGAGUACCAAAUAAGCCCCCCCCCCCGUGUGAAGUUAACAUCAAAUGAAGGAUUUUUUUUCUCCCCAAAAGAGCUCAUAGUUGACUCUUCACCACUACCAUUAUGAAUUUCUACAGAUAAACAUUCUACAUAAAUAUUGGGCAAAAUCGUGCACUAUAUCAUGCAUUUUGCACCUAAAGAUUUCACAAUCGUCACCUCUGUCAAAAUCCUGAAAGAAUGAACGGCUAGCUAAAAUGCUGAAAUACUCUUCAUCAAUGUCCUCCAUCUCUUUGUGUCCUUUCUCACUAAGGUAACCUUCUAGUUAUAGCUUACUCAUAGCAAGUUUCACUACAAGAAAAAGUACCUAAUAUGACAGUCCUCUGUGUGAUAAUUUUUGAUCUGGAGGCCUACAACAAUAGAAUCGUGAUAGAAAUAUCGUUUAUCAAGAAAUUAUGAUAUAUUGGUGAUAUAAAUAUCAUAUAUCAUGAAACUAUGAUAGACUAGUGAUAAAUUAUUUGGCUAUCAAGAAUGAAAGACUGAUUUUUUAUGUUGACUUUAAUUGCGCGGGUUUGACUUAAUUUUUACAAAUAUUAUAUUACUAAAAAAGAAGUGAAACGAUGCCGUCUCAGUUGUAUGUUUUGCAAGUGUUUGAGGAAAACAUAAACGUAAAUAACAAAAAAACAAUUAAUAAAACAUUGCGUUUUGUAAAGGGGGGAAACAUUUUUGUGAGAAAAGAGGGAAAUUUUUUUCUAAGUGUUCAGAAAAUUUGCAAGCGUUAUUGUGGAAUCUCAAAAUUGAUUAGCACACUUGUAGCAAACCCUCAAAGGCUGGCCAUAGCAAACUAACGACACCCAAACACCCAUCGUUUCAAAAUCAUUCUGGUUGUUUCACUGAAUCGUCUCUCUUUGCUGCGGUUGUCACUGAACCAUCUCUCUUUGCUGGGACGAAGUCAGUGCUAAUUGAAACCCAAAUUAGAAUGAGAGCAACAUCCAUGGUACUUUUAUUGACUGAAAGAAACACAAUCGCUUACCGUGAAAGAAGACCUAAGUCGUUGUUGCCGAAGUUGAAACCCUAGGCUUGACGGUGAAUUGAAGCUUCACACCCACUGGUGAGUCAUUGCUGCAUUUGCAUGUAUUUAAUUUUGACUAUUUAUUCAACUUUUAUGUAAAGUAGUAAAUAAUUUGUAAAAAAUUGAAAUGUAUUUGCAUGUAUUGCAUAUAUUGCAUAUAUUUCGAUAAUCAAUUUACUAAAUAAUUUCCCAGGAAGAUAUAAUGUUGUUAAUUUUGAGUUCUGUUUUGAGUUGUAAUCGUGCAUUGCAUAAUGUUGUUAAUUUUUUUUUUAUUCUAGGUAAUUCUGAUUUAUAUUCAUGUGUUUGUGUGUGAAUUUUUUUUUUCUAGCUAUUUCUGAUAUUGAAGCUUCGUUAAGUUAAAUGAGUGUUAGUGUAUGAAGAUGGUGAUAAUCUGCAACUUAUAUAUCUUUAUGUUCUAAUAGUUGAUUCUUUAAAUAUUGGCCUGAAAUGUCUAUAACAAAGCAUGAGGAAGUGAAAUUUUUUAUGUUCUAAUUGCGCGGAUUGAUUCUUUAUGUUCUACCACCACUUCAAUUAUAAUGCUUCAUUGAUUCUUUAAAUAUCUUUAUGUUCUAAUAGCGCGGAUUUACGAUGUCGUAGGUUUAACUUUAUUUAUUUCACAUGGUGUUGUAACAUUAGACAAAUAUUCUAAGUAUGUACAUUCUUUCUUUGUUUUAUGUAUAUGUCAGGAACAUUAAUUAUGAAGCUAGAAAUGGAUAAAUCUUGGAUUCAAUGUAAUCGACUGUCGACAGAAUAUGAAGAGGGUGUCCAAAAAUUUAUAAAUUUUGCUAUAAAAAAUGCUGGAGGCAGUAGUGUCAUUAGGUGUCCAUGCCUUGAUUGUGGGAAUUUAUCAUUUGAAACACCUACAACUGUAAAAAAUCAUUUAUAUAUGCAUGGUUUUGAUGUGAAAUACGACAGUUGGUUUUGGCACGGGGAAGAGAUUCGUAAGAGUCCUUCUCCUCAAAGAGAAAACCAUUUUCAGCAACAAAAUAUAGAGUUUGACAAUGGUAAUGAGUUAGAAAUGGUUAAUGAUGCUUAUAAGGGUUGUUGUGGGGACCCUAAGGCAUUCAAAGAUUUGCUAGAACAAGCUGAGAAACCCUUGUACCUAGGAUGCACAAAAUUUACUAAGUUAUCCUUUUCAGUGAAAUUGUUCAAUGUGAAGGGUAGAUUUGGGUGGUUUGACAGUAGCGUUUCUGCAUUGUUGAGUGUUUUAGCAGAUGCUUUCCCUGAAAAUAAUGAAAUUCCAACCUCUAUGUAUGAGGCCAAAAAGACAAUGUCAGCUUUGGGCUUAGAAUAUGUCAAAAUUCAUGCUUCCCCAAACGAUUGCAUACUCUACAGAAAAGAGUAUGAAGGUCUUUUUGAAUGUCCUACUUGUGGGUUAUGUAGAUGGGAGAAAAAAGAUGGAACUAUAGACCAAUAUAGGAAAGGGAUUCCUGCAAAAACUUUAUGGUAUUUUCCUCCUAUACCUAGGUUUAAGCGCAUGUUUCAGUUAUCCGAAACUGCUAGGGACUUGACUUGGCAUGCAAAUGAGAGGAUGGUUGACGGUAAACUCCGACAUCCGGCUGACUCACCAUCUUGGAAGUUAGUAGAUGAGAAAUGACCGAUCUUUGCAUCCGAUCCUAGAAACCUUCGCCUAGCUCUAUCAGCUGAUGGAAUCAAUCCAUAUAGCUCUCUUAGUAGUACAUAUAGCUGCUGGCCAAUAAUUCUUAUUACCUAUAAUCUUCCACUAUGGUUGUGCAUGAAAUGAAAAUUCAUGAUGUUGUCCCUCUUGAUUUCUAGUCCUCAACAACCGGGUUUAGACAUUGAUGUGUAUUUGCAACCUCUUAUUGAGGAUUUGCAAAUUUUAUGGGAUGUUAGGGUGGAGGCAAUGAUGCCUACAAAAGUGAGUACUUUAAUUUGCAGGCUGUAUUACUAUGGACAAUAAAUGACUUCCCGGCAUAUAGAAAUUUAGCGAGAUGUACUAUUAAAGGAUAUUAUGCCUGCCCAUAUUAUGGUGUAGAAACACCAAAAUGUAGACUUAAACACAGUGGAAAAAAAUGUAUACAUUGGGCAUCGGCUUUGGCUUCCUCAUGGUCAUAAAUUUCGGUUCCAAGAAAAAGCCUUUGAUAAUAGUGUGUGCGAUGAAACCCCUCCAAAACUGUUAAACGGGGAGGAAAUUUUCUAGCUGGUCGACGCUAUUGAUAAUAGAUGGGGGAAAAGUAAUAGUAAAAAGCGUAAAAGUGAGAACAAUGAUGAUCUCGUGUGGUGGAAGAAGAAAUUCAUAUUUUAUAAUUUAGAGUAUUAGAAGCACUUGCUUGUGCGGCAUCAAUUAUAUGUUAUGCAUAUUGAAAAGAAUGUGUGUGAGAACAUCUAUGGUACAUUGCUGUAUAUUCUUGGAAAGUCGAAAGAUAGACUAAAGUCGAGGAUGGAUCUCUUGAAAAUGAAAAUUAGGCCCAAAUUAGCACCACAAGUUAAAGGAAACAACAAUUGUACAUGGCUUCCUCCUGCUUGCCACACCUUAACUAAGGAGGAAAAAGCAAGAUUCUGUGCAGCUUUGAAAAGUAUCAAGGUUCCUACUAGAUACUUUUCAAAUAUUAGGAAUCUUGUGUCAAAAAAGGACUUUAAACUCUAGGGUCUUAAGUCCCAUGAAUGCCAUGUUCUUAUGCAACAACUUUUGCCAAUUGCCUGAAGGUGAGUGCUACCUAAACAUGUCAAAGAAGAUAUCAUUAGGUUCUGUUUCUUCUUUAAUUCAUUGUGUGCGACUGUGAUUGACGUGACAAUGCUAGAUGAAUUGGAGAAAAACAUCGUAGAGACUUUGUGCUUGCUUGAAAAAUGUUUUUCCCCUUCUUUUUUUGAUAUAAUGUUUCAUCUUACUAUUCACUUAGUGAGUGAAGUUAGACAAUGUGGCCCUGUAUAUUUUCGGUGGAUGUAUCCUUUUGAGCGAUACAUGAAAACUCUAAAAGGUUAUGUUCGAAACCGUAACUGUCCUGAGGGUUGCAUAGCGGAGAGUUAUAUUGCCAAGGAAGCAUUAGAAUUUUGUGUAGAAUACUUGGAAAACAUGCCCACAAUUGGGGUUCCACUUGGACAUGUGCAGAAUUUAGAAAUUGACAAGCCCAUGAGUGGUGGACAAAUGGUGGAAGUUGAGUGAACUUCAUUAGAUCAAGCACACUUGUAUGUUUUACAUAACACUGAGGAAGUUCAACCUUAUAUAAGGUGAUGUUAUCUAACUUGUGUCAUUUUAGUUUUAUAUUUAUCAAGUUUUGGUAGUCUAGGAACCUGAAAAUUUUGUCUUUUUAACUGAUUUUUAGAGAGCAUGAGGAUUGGUUACAACUUUGCCAUCCACGAAAAAAUGAGAAGUGGUUGCAAGAUUAACAUAACCGAACAUUUGCAGAUUGGCUAACAGAUAAGAUUUUGAUAACAUUAGUUUAAUUAAUUCAUUUUUUCCUUUCUGUUUCAGUUUGUGCUUGUUUAACAUUAUAUUCCUGUCGAUUAAUAAUAAGUAAAUAUGUUGAUAGAGAAUGGUCACGUUGUUACUCAAACAAUCCGUUGGUUAUCCCAAGGGCCUCGUCCUUAUGUUUUCUAACAUUCUGGUUAUGACAUAAAUGGUUUUCACUUUGUUACAAGAGAUCGAGACUUAAAUAGAGUUACUCAAAAUAAUGGAGUGUCAUGGUUGCAAAAACAAUUUCAGUCGCAAAUUCAAAAGAUAAAAAUCUUGUCACUUCUAACAUCACAUACUAUGGAGUGAUUAGAGAGAUUUGGGAUCUAGAUUAUGUUAUCUUUAGAAUUCCAAUAAUGAAGUGUGACUGGGUACAUACCAGAGGUGGUGUUAUGAAGGAUAGACUCGGAUUUACUUUGGUAGACUUGCAAUAAAUGAGCCAUAAAUCUGAUCUAUUUAUUUUAGCUUCUCAAGCCAACCAAGUUUUUUAUAUACCUGAUCAGCUUGAUAAGAAGUGAUCAGUUGUAUGUCAAAUGCCUAGAAGAGGCAAACCCACACAAAGAAGUGAAGAUGUAGUGGAAUACCCUUCGUUGACUACUGAAUUUUCAAGUGCUGAUAACAUAAACUCUAUUGACGAUGAUGCUGCAAUGUACGCCCGAGACAACAAAGAGGGAAUUUGGAUUGGACCUUGAAUAUCAUUUCUGUGUUUGUUUGCAUGAGUUUUUUGUUGAGUUAUUCUCAAAAUAAUAUAUGUUAAGGUUAAUACAAGAAGUAUUUUAUGCUAUAUGUUAUUAUUUUAUUUUGUAUUUUUUGGCAGUUUUUAUAUGGUAAUGUAUUCUCAUUAUUUGAUUUUGUUUUGCAGUUGUGAUAUUCAUCAUGGAUAAGGGAAAAAAUAUCCCUAAGAUUUCUUCGCGAAUGAUAUGAUCCUGAAACGCCCCCGGCCGAUCAUGUCCCUGAUCUUGAUGAGUUUGGAGAUGGGAACGAGGAUGAACCUGAGAGUAGUAAGCGAAGCAGAGGUGGCACUGUUGGGUCAGAACAAAACAAAAAGAGGAAAAGAAGUGGAAGGUUUGUGGUUAAAUACAACAGCCUUGGUGUUCCAGUUGGUGAAGAAGCUAUUGAACUGGCUACGUAUAUUAGUGUUUUGGCUCGUACAUCAAUUCCAAUCCUCUACAACAAUUAGCGUAGAGUUCUAUAUGAUACGAAGGAGCGUCUAUGGGAGUCUGUUAAGGUAUAAAAUAAUUUCCUUAAGACGAUUACUCUAGUUUUAUUGUUGCUGGAAAAAUAUGAAAAACCUCACAUUUUGAGAAUGAAACUUGAAGGUGUACUUCGUGGUUCAUCCUUGAAGUAGGAAGCAAAUACUACAAGCCAUCGGAGCUGCAUUUCAGAACUUUAAGUACACUCUAAUGAGGAACUAUAUUUUACCAUUUGUUAAUGACCGUAAAAGGCUUUUCAAGCCACCAGCAUGAUACAACACGAUUGAUAAGGAAAGUUGGAUUAAGUUUGUGAAGGAAAGACUAUCUAAAAAAUUUCAAGUGAGUGUGUCUAAUUCAAGUGUUAAUAAUAUAUCAAUGCUUAUGACAUUUUUCCUUAUGUGUUUAUCCAUUGUUUGUUUGGUUGCUUUAAGCAGAAAGUUAGUGGUGUGAAUAAACUUAGGCGGGCACAAAACAAGUUUAAUCAUCACCUAAGUAGAAAAGGUUACAUUGGGUUAAUGCAAGAAGUGGUAUGUACUGUGAGUUAAUUGCUUACAUUUUACUAUUGUUUAGUUAAUGCAAAUAAUGAUUGUUACUAACAUUUUAAUUUUUUAUUAAUGUUUUUACAGUGCUCAGAGACAGGCCUUACUGAAGAAGAAGUGGACAUGAGUGUUCUUUGGAAGAGAGCUCGGCAAAUGAAAAAUGGAGGAUACCACCUCGAUGUUGAACCAGUUAUUAAAAAAAUCGUAAGAAAUUUUUUACUUACUAUUGUAAUUCUAGUUGUGAUUACUUAUUGAUGGUUGUCGAAGCCAACAAAAAUAAAUUCCUACUCUAAAUAAAUUGUGUAUAGUGAUUGAGCAGGGUCGUGUCCACAGAGAUCGGUAAUUAUUUAAAUCCUUUUGAAACGUAAAACAUAAAAUGGGGGAAUUGUUGACAAUAAUAAAAAUCAAAUUAAAAAUAACAAGAAUGCAAAUUAAAGUUGUAAUUCAAAUUGGAGAAAGCUCUGGUUGGAGGAAUUAACUCAGCUUGAUUCGACUACUGAUCAUUGAUUCAAAUAUAGAUUAUUAUUACUCAUGAAUAGACCGGUUAUAGCUACUGAGACCCUCUAAUAGCCAAUCUCUCCUUAACUAGUCGAUCACCAAGGUACGACCAUUGGUUAUUUCCCUAAUCAAUAGACAACCCUAGAUACGAUCAUAGGAUUUAAUCAAUUGACAGCCUGAAAAACCAGAGAGACCCAAAUCCUAAUCAACACAUAUGAUGAUUCAUUUAAAUUAGAUUGUUUAUUCUCACAACACAACUCUCUGCUAUGUUAAUUGUCACAAACAUUAAAUUCUUCAUACGAUGAAUCCUUUAAUUGACAAUAGAUUAAGUUGAUAAUUAAAUAGUGACCAAUUACCUAAUUAACAAACAUAAUCAUGAAAAUAAUUCAGAGAAUAAACAAAUACCCAAAAAGUAAUAAAACAAUUAAAGCACAAGAAAGAUCUCACAGUAGUGAUGAAUCAAAGAUUCAUUAUCCUUCAACCAGAAAAAUAGGUUUAGUUCUUCAUAGAGAGAAGAGAAAAAUUAAGAUUUAGGGUUUCUUUGUUUUUCUCCAAUCCAAAAUCCCCCCUUUUCUUUCACAAUAGAUUCCUCCUUAAAUACUCUCUCUCUCUUCUCUUUUAGAGUUCUAUUUAAAAUAAAAUACUAAUAUCUUAAAUAUUAAAUUCGUAAUUAUAAAAAUAGCCAAAAAUACAAAACACGUUAAACUAAAAACUGCAGGUCCGCAGUUGACAGCACGCGCCCACGCCUUAUCAACAAAGUUCUUCUGCCGCUCAUAAUUUCUCCAAGGGAACAAUAAUCCUUAAACAUCAUCUUGUAGCUUAAUUUUAUCACCAACCAAUAGAAUUGCACCUACAAAAGUAAAUCACAAAUAAAUCACUAUUAUUAAGUGCAAAACAUCGAUAUUAAGGGAAGUAAACAAUGCAAAACUAGUGCAUAAAUUGCACUCUAACAAAUUCUCCCACACCAAGAUGAUGCUUGUCCUCAAGCAUAUAACUCAAGACUAAUCACAAAUCUCCACUCGAUUCUCAUCUCAACUCAUCCAAAAACAAUUUUAAGCAAGCAUACUUCAAGACUUUAAGUUGUUCAACAUUUGAGAGACAAGGAUUUUAAAGCAUAGAAUUUCAUAAGAUAGAAUAAGAACAUUCAACCACCAAGAAGAUCCAUUCAAAAUUCAAGUGCAACAAGAUUUAAUAGCCCUCUCAAUAACUUCGUUCCAUGCACUCAAAGUGUUUAGGGUGUCAUUUAUCCACUCAAAUCAAAUCAAAGAAUGCUAUUACCAUAAGCUUGCUCAUAUAUCACAUCUCAAUCCACAAAACAUGAAUAAAAUGCAAAAAUCUAAGGGUCUUAAAAGGGUUGUAAUGGGGUAAAAUGGGUGAAAUGAAAAAGAAAGGUUUAUGAAAGAAAAAGAGAUCAAAAUGAGAAGAAUGAACUCAUUGAAUGAACUUAUGAUAUCAAAAUGCUUAUUUCUACUCAAGUCACCAAGAAUGUAAACUCUUUUUUUUUUCGAUUUUUCUUUUUCUUUUUCUUUUUUUUUUCUUUUUUUUUUGUUUUUGAUUUUUUUUCUUUUUUUUUUGAAUCAAACAAAAGAAACGAACCUUGCACAAUUUAAUUCAAGCAUAAUGCUUGUUGAUCUAAUUGAGAAACUUUAAUACAAGGUAGAAAAAGCAACAAAAUAUAUCCACACAAUGAGUCCAAAAAUCUCCUUAAAUUGAGGCUCAAAAAGAAGAAAAAUGGUUAAGUAGACGGAGAGAAUUAGAUGGGUAAUGGUUAAGGCUCAAAUGAAGAUAGCAAAUAAAGGUCUUCGGGUAGAAAAAAAAAACGAGAAUAGAAAAAUGGAAAAUGGUUUGCCCUUAUCAUUUUAAUGCAUAAAAUCCCGUAAUGUGGCUUCAACAUGCAUAACAAAGCAAGUUCUAGAAUAAACAAACUAAGAUUGAUAUUCACAUAACAAAUAUAUUAGAGCAAAAUGGUUGCUCAUAGGCUCAAAUCCUCACAAAGUUGGUAAAUUUGCCAUCAAAUCAUGUACACUCUUCAAAUGAAUCAACCAUCAAUAGUGGUGUAGAAUGAGAAGAAGGUAUGAGUGAUAUAUAAAAGGAAAGGUAAAAAUGAUAAGAAGUGAAAAAGAUGAAAAGUGAAAGAUAAAAUGUGAGUGAUGAAAGAGUAUGAUAGAAUAAAAAUAGAUGUAAAUAAUUUGAGAUAGAUGGGGAAAAAAAGUAGUGAGAAAUAAAAGAAAAGAAAAAAUAAUAAUAUAUAAAGCAUACUAACUCCAAAAUCAUUUAAGGAUGAGUAGAGUGAAAAAAAAAGAAGAUAAGUAGAGUGAAAACAAUAAUUCCAGACAUCAAUAAUGCAAAAAUCCCUCCCCCACACCAAGAACUUACAUUGUCCCCAAUGUAAGAUAAUCAAAGCUCAUAUAAAAAUUAAAGCGUAAGGAUAAAAGAUUAAGGGCAAAAAGAAACUUCCCUGAAUUGUGAGCUUUGAUCCACAUAACGUCUAUGGGCUUGGCGGAAAUGGUGGGGUAAAUCCCACACUCUCGAAGUAUGCAGCCAAAUUCUGCUCUAUCUUGUUCAGCUUGUGCUCCAUUUUCUCUAACUGAAUACUCAAAGGUGGUGCGAAUGUAGAAGGAAUAGUUGGCGGGGCAGCAGUGUCGUCGUCAAACUCGUCAUCAGAGGUAGCACCACUCCUAGCAUAAAGCUUCUUCGGAAGUUGAGUGGGUCCUGGUUCAGUAAACUGAAAUCUCCCCUCCUUGAAUUCGACCAUACCUAUUCUUUCAAACACAGACAUAUCCAAAAACUCCUUUUUGCAAGCAGGAUGCAAAUCAUUAUUGUCGGGAUCAAGCACACAUAGGUUUAUAGCUAACAGAGUAAUGUACGGACCAAGAAAUAAAGUCCUAUACCGUUUAAGCACACUUUGAAAUUGAUCCGCUAACCAAAAACCUAAAUUAGGCCUCACAUCAUUUAACAUGCACCAGAUAAAAUAAAAUUCAGUUUUAGAGAAAAUUCCUGAGUGAUCUUUCUUGCCUAAAAAAUUAUAUGCUAAGAAUCGAUGCACACAUUUCAAAGCAGGAUCACGUAAGAAAGAACUCUUUGAUUUACUCGGGUCAUAGGCAUUGUGAUCAACAGAUAAAUUACGCCAAAGACCAUAAGGCUCAAAAUUGUCGCUAAAGUCACAAGUUGUUCCUAAAUAUGUAUCACUAGAAGAAUAAUCAUCAUCAAUGAAUCCUAAAGCUAGGUUAAAAUCCGUGAUAGAGUGUGAAAAAUUUCGUCCCAUUAACCUAAACUUAAUGACAUCCGGGGUAUGCAAAGUAAAAUCAUUCGGCAUAGUAAAUUGAAAAGUAGCAUAAAACUCCCUAAUCAACUCAACAUAACCCAAACAAUCAACAUCAACAAAUUUACGCAACCCAAUCUUAUCUAUCAAAGAAUCAAAAUUAUCCUUAACAUUCAAUUUUUCAAGAGUCGGGUAAUGAAUAUACUUAGCUGGAAGUAUUUUGCGCGUGGAAAUAUCUUUGUACCUCUCUUUCUCUUGUUGAGUCGCGAAUGCGAGGCACCCUCCGAGAUUGGAUUCCGCAAGUGGCAAAACACUCAUGCCUUUUCCAUGCUUCGAUCUUUGUCUCACGGCUUGGCGUGAAUCUGAAAUUGUGUUCCAUGGAACCGUAGUGGGAGCGGCAAUCUUAGAUUUCUUGGCGACGGGUUUUUUUUUCGAUGACUUGGAAGUAGAUGCUUUCCUCUUCGGCAUUUUUACAAUAAUUGCACUCACGGAUUUCGAUUUACCCGGCUGGAAUACAGGGCGUAGGCUGGUUGCGUUGCGUUGCUGCGUUGUGGGCUUGCGUUGCGCGCUGCUGAGGCUUGCUUUGCGGGUGCUGCGCUGCGUUGCGCGCUGGUGAUUCGCGUUGCGUUGCUGGGCUGGAUCUACGCAUUGCUGCGUUCGCAUUGUGUUGCGCGCGAGAGCUGGUGGGGCUUCGUUGCGAGCUGCUAGGCUGCGAGACACGGGAUGCUUGUGCUGCACUCGCGGGAUGGUGCUCGAUACUGGUGCUGCGCGCGCAGGGGCUUGCGUUGCACGCGACUGAUGCUGCGUUGCGCACGGCUGGAGCUAAGAAUCUGCGUUGCUGGGGCUUGCGUUGCGCGCGACUGAUGCUGCGUUCUCCGGCUGGCUGGUUUGCUGCUGGCGUGCUGCAAACGGCUGGAGAAGAAAACAAGUUCUGGAAAAUUAGGGAUUUUGUGAACAGUAAAUUUUUUUUUGAUUUUUUUUAAAUAAAUAAAAAAAUAUAUAUAAAAGAAAGAACAAAAGAAAUAAAUAAAUAAAAUAAAAAAAAUAAAAUGAAAUAAAAUAAAUUAAAAUUUUUUAAAAUUUUUUUUUUUUAUUUUUUUUAUUUUUAUUUAUUUUUAUUUUAUUUUUUUUUAUUUUUUAGUGAUGAAUCACUUUGAGACACUAAAAAUUUCAGAAGUACUUUUCUAAUAAGCACGUGGGCACGCCUUAUCAAAAAUUUUCUUCUGACUAAAAUAAGCAAACACAUUAUUUUAAAAAAAAAUCUGAUAAAUUAAAAGAAGAUAUAACAAAAACCAAAAUAAAUAAAUCACUUGGGUUGCCUCCCAAAAAGCGCCUUUGUUUUAUGUCUUUGGCUAGACACAUUUAUGCAUCCAUCUCCAUAAUUUGGACUCUCGAGAGCCACAUCCUCCACAAUAUUCACCGAAAAACCUUCAUAAAAAGGUUUUAAGCGAUGACCAUUAACCUUAAGAACUCUGUCAGAGGUCGGACUCCGAAUCUCAACUGCACCAUGAGGAAAAACAUUAGUAACAAUAAAAGGUCCAACCCAGUAAGAACGUAAUUUACCCGGAAAAAGUUUAAGUUUAGAAUGAAAAAGAAGAACUUUUUGACCAACAGAGAACUCCUUUCUCAAAAUCAUUCUAUCAUGAAAUGUCUUCGUCUUUUCCUUGUAAAAAACUUCCUUCACUAUAGGGUUAAUAACAUCCAUAGAAAAUACCGAAUGUUCCUCACUAGGAUAUUUCAUGGCAUCAUUCAUAUUGAAUUCUAUAACCUCUCCAUCAAACUCCAUAGUGAGAGUCCCUUUAUGUAUAUCCAUUUUAGUCCUAGCAGUCUUAAGAAAAGGUCUUCCUAGCAAAAUUGGGACAGAAUUAGAGGAGUUAUCGUCUUCCAUAUCAAGUACAUAAAAAUCAGCAGGAAAAACCAACUCAUUAACUUGUACUAAGACAUCUUCUAAUACCCCAUCAGGAUAUGCAUUAGACCUAUCAGCUAGUUAAAUUAUCACGCCAGUUUCUUUUAAUGGACCAACAUUCAAAGAUGAAUAAAUGGAACGAGGCAUGACAUUAAUAGAAGCUCCUAGAUCUAACAUAGCCUUUUCAACUCUAACACUACCAAUUUUACAAGGGAUAGUAAACAUACCUGGAUCCUUGCACUUAGGAGGUAGUUUCUUUUGAAGAACUGCUGAAACAUUCUCCUCCAUGUGAACUUUUUCAUCUCCUCUUAAUUUUCUCUUGGAGGUGCACAGUUCCUUAAGGACUUUAGCAUAUCGAGGUAUUUGUUUUAUAGCAUCUAAUAAAGGAAUAUUUACCUCAACCUUGCGAAAUGUCUCAAGGAUGUCUUUCUCUUGUUCCUCCUUCUUGGAUUUUGCAAAUCGGCUUGGAAAAGGAGGAGGUAUCACAAUAGGUAGGGGUUUUGCUCUAGUGGGUUGGACAUCUUGAGAUUGAGGCAUCAAUUCAUUCUUCUCGAGCUCAUCUUCUACAUGCUUUGUCACUUUCUUACUAGGCUCUUGCAACUCUUUCCCACUUCUAAGGAUGACAACACUAACGUUUUGCUUUGGAUUCACUUCAGAUUAUGAAGGCAAUCUCCCUAAUACUUGAGACUCCAGACGGCUCACUGUAGUCGCUAAUUGACUCAUUUGGUUCUCCAAGUUCUGAAUGCUUGCUGUAGUUGCCUGCUGAAAUUGUUGAGUGUUAGUCGCAAGUGAUUUAACAAUUUCUUCAAGAGAUAUACCUGACUUGGAGUUUGACUGUGGAGGUGCUGGUUGUCUUGGUGGAUACUGUUAUGGGAAUCCUGACGGUCUAACUCCAUAGUUGAAGUUGGGACGAUCCUUCCAUCCCAGAUUGUAUGUUUGUGCAUAAGGAUCAUACCUCCUCUGAGGCAUGCCUGGAAAUCCUCCAACUGUAUUGGCUUGUUCAACGGGUUCUUCUUGUAGUGUAGGACAUAUAUCAGUUGAAUGACCCAUAUUGUAACAAAUGCCACAAGUCUUCACCUGUUGCACGUUACCUACAACAAACUUUUCCACAAGAGAAGUAAGUUUAUCUAACUGUUGUUCAAAAGAAGAAAUAUUUACCUCAUUCACCUUCCUUGAAGUGGGAUCUUGCCUGGUGCCAAAUUGUUGUGCAUUGGCAACCAUAUUUGAGAUCAACUCCCUUGCUUGAGUAGGGGUUUUGUUCACCAACACACCUCCACUAGCAGCAUCUAUCAUACUCCUAUCCAUUAAUGAUAGUCCUUCGUAAAAAUAUUGAAUAAGAAGUUGAUCAGAAAUCUGAUGCUGAGGACAGCUGGCACACAAUUGUUUGAAUCGCUCCCAAUACUCAUACAAAGUCUCCCUAGGAAGUUGUCUGAUCCCACAAAUGUCUUUUCUGAUGUUGGCAGCUCUUGAAGCAGGAAAGUACUUCUCGAGGAACUGCUUCUUCAAACCAUUCCAUGUUGUAAUCGAUCCAGGAGUCAAGUAGUACAACCAAUCUUUAGUUAACCCAUCUAAAGAGAACGGAAAAGCACGCAGCUUAAUCUGCUCUUCAGUCACGCCUUGUGGUCUCAUACUUGAACACACAACAUGAAACUCCUUAAGAUGGUUAUGAGGAUCUUCACCUGCAAAACCAUGAAACUUGGGUAAUAAAUGAAUAAGACCAGACUUUAAUUCAAAAUUUACCUCCAAAUCUAUAUAUUGAAUGCAGAGUGGUUGCUGAUUCAAGUCUGGUUCAACUAACUCUCUAAGAGUUCUUUCUACAGGUGCAGGUCUAUCCAUCACUUAUUCUUCCGAAUCGCUAGAUGAUUCAACUAAAUCAGGCACCGUAUCUGUUUCAGAAAGCAAAGGCGACGAGGAUCGUUGCUUAGCUCGCUUCGUCUGCUGUCUCAGCUGGCGAGCUGUCUUCUCAAUUUCAGGAUCAAACGAAAGUGUACCCGUACGAGAAGAACGAACCAUACACCAAGUAAAACAUAAAAAGGAUUAAAUAAACGACACCAAUCCCCGGCAACGGCGCCAAAAUUUGAUGGUUGUCGAAGCCAACAAAAAUAAAUUCCUACUCUAAAUAAAUUGUGUAUAGUGAUUGAGCAGGGUCGUGUCCACAGAGAUCGGUAAUUAUUUAAAUCCUUUUGAAACGUAAAACAUAAAAUGGGGGAAUUGUUGACAAUAAUAAAAAUCAAAUUAAAAAUAACAAGAAUGCAAAUUAAAGUUGUAAUUCAAAUUGGAGAAAGCUCUGGUUGGAGGAAUUAACUCAGCUUGAUUCGACUACUGAUCAUUGAUUCAAAUAUAGAUUAUUAUUACUCAUGAAUAGACCGGUUAUAGCUACUGAGACCCUCUAAUAGCCAAUCUCUCCUUAACUAGUCGAUAACCAAGGUACGACCGUUGGUUAUUUCCCUAAUCAAUAGACAACCCUAGAUACGAUCAUAGGAUUUAAUCAAUUGACAGUCUGAAAAACCAGAGAGACCCAAAUCCUAAUCAACACAUAUGAUGAUUCAUUUAAAUUAGAUUGUUGAUUCUCACAACACAACUCUCUGCUAUGUUAUUUGUCACAAACAUUAAAUUCUUCAUACGAUGAAUCCUUUAAUUGACAAUAGAUUAAGUUGAUAAUUAAAUAGUGGCCAAUUACCUAAUUAACAAACAUAAUCAUGAAAAUAAUUCAGAGAAUAAGCAAAUACCCAAAAAGUAAUAAAACAAUUAAAGCACAAGAAAGAUCUCACAGUAGUGAUGAAUCAAAGCUUCAUUAUCCUUCAACCAGAAAAAUAGGUUUAGUUCUUCAUAGAGAGAAGAGAAAAAUUAAGAUCUAGGGUUUCUUUCUUUUUCUCCAAUCCAAAAUCCCCUCUUUUCUUUCACAAUAGAUUCCUCCUUAAAUACUCUCUCUCUCUUCUCUUUUAGAGUUCUAUUUAAAAUAAAAUACUAAUAUCUUAAAUAUUAAAUUCGUAAUUAUAAAAAUAGCCAAAAAUACAAAACACGUUAAACUAAAAACUGCAGGUCCGCAGUUGACAGCACGCGCCCACGCCUUAUCAACAAAGUUCUUAUGCCGCUCAUAAUUUCUCCAAGGGAACAAUAAUCCUUAAACAUCAUCUUGUAGCUUAAUUUUAUCACCAACCAAUAGAAUUGCACCUACAAAAGUAAAUCACAAGUAAAUCACUAUUAUUAAGUGCAAAACAUCGAUAUUAAGGGAAGUAAACAAUGCAAAACUAGUGCAUAAAUUGCACUCUAACACUUAUACUUUAAUAACAUUAGCUUACUUAAUUCAUUUGUGUGGUAGGAUAAACUGGAGAUGGAAGCUAAGAAAAGAAAGAUGUGGUCAUUCGGAAAAAAUGAUAUUCUCGCACAAUCUUUGGAAAAAGCUCCAAAAUGUGGUCACAUGCAAGGCGUGGGCAAGUUUGUAACCCCGUCUCUGUAUUUUCAAACUUGCCAGAGGCCUACUGAUAGAGACAGGCAAAAAGAGGACCGUCUAUGGAGGGAAUCAAUUAACCGGCAGUUCGAAGAAAUGAGAAAUGAACUGAGAAAAAAACCUUGUUAUUCAGAUAUAGCAAGUUCCAGCUACCCUCGCGUGCCUGGUGAAAACAAUAAUGCUAUUGGAGAUGAUGGUAUAGAGUCCGUUCAAGUUGAAGCAGUUGCUGAAACACCAAAGGUCAGUUUGUUUACUAUUUUUACUUAUUAUUUCUAGAUUUAGUUUGUUGCUGGAUAAGGGUUGUUGUAGUUAUUAUUCUUACCUGUUGUUUGUGGAUUUAGUUUCCUGUUUGUUUACUAUUUAUACAUAUGUUGUUUCUGGAGUGUCAUUUGAUACUGUUAACUACUUUGUAAGAUAAAUUUAGAGUAUUUAGAAACUAUUUAUGCCAAUCACACUGAACAAUUAUGUUUGUAGCAGCCUGAUCAUUUUAAAAAUAAGAAGAAGCAAGGGACACCCAAAAACACAGUAGGUAUUAACCAGCAAUAGUAAACUCUAAGAAAGAGACAGACAUAGCAAAUAAAAACAAUGAUACACCUGCCAAAAAACUCUCUGUCAUUGCAAGAAAGAGUCCAAGAUUGAACCCAAUUGAAAUCCCAGUGGACAUGCCUGAUGAUUUGUUACAGGGAAAAAAAUGGAAACCCUAAACAUCAAGGCACAAAAAAACAUUUGAACUUUGAAUCAGCAGAACAACAUAAUGAUAUAAUAAAGAUAGGACAUACAUAUGCUGUAAAACAGACCAAAGACGAGGGCAAAAAAGUUGUAGUGAAGCCUUUGCCAGCAAGGAGGAACACAAGGCAGCAGGAGAGGUACAACGAAACAAGAUUCCGUUGCUGCAGUUGUUUGGUACAAUGUGUGAAACUAAGAUGUCAGACCAAGAAUGGAUUCCAUAUCUACUGGAUGAUAGUGUUUUCCAAUUCGAAGGGAUUAGAGCUCAUAUUUGAAGGCGUGACUGCAGUGCAGUUCUGUCAAUGGAUGCUACAGGAGUAAACGUAAUCGAAGUCUAUAUUGCGUAAGUGAUUCAUAAUCAUUCUAGUUUUAUGUGUACUUUUUAUGGGAGUCCCAAUUAAUGGACUUUAACAUUGUUUGUCUAUUGUUUAUCAGGAUGUUGUAUGCUUCCAUUCUCCCUGGGAAAAGAGGAGUGAAACCAUUUGGAUUCGUUCGUCCAGGUCUGGUUUCACUAGGCAAAGAACGUAAUCCUACUGCAUCAUUUGACUUUAGGGCAUGUGGAGUUUGUGAUCGAUUGAAAAAAGCGAAGAAGGGACAAUUCAUCUUUAUGCCUUAUAAUCCCUAGUAUGCUCCUUUAAUACUUUUCAACUCAUAUUAAUUUCCUUUCUUGCCUUAAUUUACUGAAAUUGCUACCUUAAUGUUCUUUCUUUUAUUAUAGUUAUCAUUAGGUGCUGGUCAGCUUUGAUGUGUUGAAAAAAGAAGUUUAUUAUCUCGAUUCUUAUAGGGGAGAUCCUGAUGAUGAUUUAAAAGAGCUCAUUAAAGUGUAUGUUCAAUUUUUUUAUUACCAUUGUCAAUAUAAAAUUACUUUUACAUAGUUUACAAAUACUUUGUUAUAAUUUUUUUUUUGUAUACAGCUCUAUGACAAUGUUUAUAGCACAAGAGGGUAAGGAGAAAUGGAAUUAUAAUAAGAUGGUCAGAUCUGUAAAGGUAUGGACUAUUACCUUAACUAUAAUUAUAUAUUACCAUGCUUAAUUGUUAUUAUAAUGAACUGUGCAAUUGCUGAUUGUGAACAGGUCCCACAGCAACCGGCAAGUUCAGUCGUGUGUGGAUUUUACGUCAUGAGAUUCAUGAAAGACUUAAUUAAUGACUUCUCUUUACUAAUGAACAAUGUGAGUUCCUUGAUCAUAAUUUGCUUCAUAAAAAAGAACAUGUCCUGUUUCAAAGUUUCACUACAUAAUAUUUAUUUUUCAUAAAUAGUUCAACGGAAAGACAACAUAUUCCGAUGCUGAAUUAGAUGAAGUCCGUAUUGAGUGGGCAAACCAUUUUUCUGGAGUACUUGCUGUUAUGUUAGGUAACCCUUACCUAUUAUGUUGUUAUUGUGAGUUCAUUGAUGAAAUAAAUUAAUUUACUACCUAUAGUUUACUUGGGCAUUUAUCUAGCUUAUUAUACUUCUAUGUUGGAUUAUGAUGAAGAUGGUGGGUACCGCUGGAGUUGGCUAGUUCUUUUCUUUGUUUGGAAAAUAGCUCCUGGAUAUUGAUGCAAUUUUACACAUUUCGGUUGUUCUUAGGUUGGAUUUUCACGUUUGGGAACUGCUGGCCUUGUUUGAUUAGUAUUUUUGGCUCCUCUUGUGUUGCUGGAAGUGUUGCUAGAAAUGAACUAUGUUGUUGCCUUUGUUCAUGUUGGUAGAAAUGACUCUGUUGUUGGUUUCCUUAUGCUACAGGAAUUGAACUGAUCAUGGUUCAUUUGUGUUGUACAUGUUGCUAGAAUUUAGUUUUUAGGUUGUUACAAUACUCUUCUUCUAUUUAUGUUGGACUUGUCAUUCUGGAAUUUGAUUAAAUUAUGUUUGCUGACAAUUAUGAAAUCUUAGUCAAUGUUAUCCAUUUAAAUUUCUUUGUCAGUGAUUUUUUAAUUGCAAUAUUAAUUUUAAUAAUCUAAUUAAUUAGCUAAUUUAUGAAAUAUUAAUUUCUAAUAAAUCAAUUGUAGGAUUGUUAUUAAAAUGAUAAUAAUUUCAUGGUGCAAACAAAAUACCCAUUUUUUAUUAAUUAUAAUUUCAAAUUUUGAUUUAAUUGAAAAAAUUCAUUUAAUUAUAAUUUGCAUUUCGCGCCAAAUUUAAUUUUCCUGCCAAAAAUUCAAAAUAUGGCGCACAAAUUUUUUUAAAAAAGACCCAAAUUCAAAUUUAUUAUACUCUCCUCUAAAUAAAGUUAUGACGGUUAUGUGACUGGUAAUAUCUAUCACAGAUUAUGAAUGGUAUUGUUCUGUCAUCAAUUCUUGACGGUGGCUACAGUGACGGUAUGAACAACCAUCAUCCACCCUCUACUAUGACAGUUUUUGCCUGUCAUAGUAAGCACUUUUUCUUGUAGUGUUUGGAAUUGUGCAUUUUAUCUUUUCGGCUAAAAAAAGAAAUAGAAAAUCAAAUCCUAGGCCAUAGUCAUCAUCCUUAGUUUUGACGGAUGAUUGCUUGAUUGGUGUCAAAAUAACUUGUCAAAGUUUUGACGGAUGAUUGCUUGAUUGGUGUCAAAAUAACUUGUCAAAUGUACUUCGCAUAAAAAUUAUUUUUAGAUUUAAGCGUUCGCAUUUCAUGUACGCACUCGUGUCCAUAUGUGUACAUAAUCACUAUCUGGUAAGGAUUCUCAUAUUUUAUCAAAGUGCAGGAAUUUUUAUUGAAAAUUUUCUCUUUAUAUAUGAUUAAAAAAUUAUAUUACUUUUAGCAACGACUUAGGGAAUAAUCCGUUUUUGGUUUGCGCUACUCGUCAUUGCCUUAUCAAAGUUGAUCUAAAAGAACACAUUAUUUUAGUAUUUGAAAAGUGGACAGUUUUUAACAUAUUGAGUGUCACUAUGUCAAUAAUCCACAUUUUAUAAAUUAAAAAGGCUUAAAAUAUAUUCCUUAAAAAUGUCACAUGCGUAAAUAUAUAACUACGUGUCUCAACUAUAUAAAUGUAGUAUUACUCAUAAAGAUAUAAAUAUCAAAGGUGAUCUCAUUAAUAAAUGUAAUACUAAUAAUGUCAUUCGAAAUGUGAAUAAUUUUUAGAAGAAUUUCACUUCCUAAAAGUUAUUUGUUAUCCUCGUGCAAAUGCAUCAGACCUCGUGCUACUACUCUCUCUCCUCGUGCUACUACUCUCUCUUUACCAACAAAUAAUUUAUCCUUAUACUACUAAGAUAUCAUAAAACCUCAUGUUGGCAAGAAAACUCUAUUAUUCUACAAGUUACAUGAGCUCUCACAUUUUUCCUCUCGAGGUCUAGUUCGAUUCUCACAAGCCUCUCAAACUUUCUUUAAGCACUAGCUUUUUUGUUAUUCAAGGAAACACCUAAUUGGCUUGACAAAAUCUACCAGCAACCUCAUUAGUAACACAUGCUACUUUACUAAGUCAUCUCAUGGGACCACAUGUUGCACGUGACGUAUGGCAUAAUUACACCUGUAAUACCCAGCCAACUGAUCUCUUAUUCUUAUAUAAAAGACUUUAGCUAUCCUCAUACUUCUCUCUUCAAGUGUUCUCUCUCUAUCCUGAGAAAACACCGAAUGGGAGGUAAAAAUCGGAUUCGUUUGAUCCGGUCAGAUGCUCGCUAGUCGAGCGUCAUUAGAGCUUGUUCUCUUUUAAUCUUGUUAUUUUUAGGUUUUUUUUUUUUUAAAAAAAAACGAAGAGAGGAAGAGAAGCGAGGGGUUGGUGAGCUAUUGGUUACGACUUUCAAAGUAAGCAGUAUCCGUUUAGUCAUGGAAACAGAGGAACUAAUAAGAAAAUGUAGUGCUAUAACGCUGGAAGAGGAAGAAGAGGACAAAGUCAUGUACGGGGGAAAUAUGAAGGCAAAUGGAAUCAAGAUAGCUGCUGGUUGCUUGGUGGGGAAAAUACUCACAACAAGAGGUAUAAGCCAUGAGGGGGUAAAAGCAGCCCUUCAACAAGCAUGGCGUCCAGUGGGGUCAGUAAAAGUGGAAAGCCUGAGGAAACAAAUCUUCAUGUUUAAAUUUUCAAUAGAAGAGGACAAGAGAAGGGUACUAGCAGGAGGGCCAUGGCAUUUCGAUCGUGCGCUCAUUGUGCUGGAGGAACCAAGGGAGAUAGAAAAUGUAGCUGAGCAAGCGUUCUCACACGUUUCUUUUUGGGUUCAAUUACACAAUGUACCAUUGAUGUGUAUGAAUACAAACACAAUACGGGAAAUUGCUUCAAAAAUUGGAAGAGUAGAAGAUGUAGCCACAGAUGCAACAGGGGAUUGCUUUGGAGAAGAUAUACGGGUCCGAAUCUCGAUAGACAUCACGAAGCGGCUGAAGAAAGUGAUUAGAAUCCAGCAAGAAAAUGGGAAGGAAAUAAUGGUGGGUGUAGUCUAUGAGAAGUUACCAGAUUUUUGUUUUUGUUGCGGUUUCAUAGGGCACCAAUACCGGGAGUGUUCACAAUACAAAGGCCAGCCUAAAGAAAAUCUGGCGUAUGGAGCAUGGUUGAAGGCCAUCCCGUUAGCAGACCGAACAAAGUUUCAAAGGGGUAAAGAUAGAGAUAGGAGUGAACAACAGAGAAAGGAAAACUCGGGAGAGACAGAGCACACCAAUCAUCAACAAUCUAACCCGAUAAGAGAAAACGGGUCCGGGUCACCGCAGUGUCAUGAAAUUACAAGAAGCCCAUCACCGAAGUCGAAGCAAGUGGGAGAAAUCACUGACAAACCAUCAGUGUCACAGGGGAUGGAGCUGAAAAAGGGUAAUUUUUAAAAACCUCCCCUGAAGUUUGGGCUUGUUGCAAGUAGAUGGCGAGAAUUGAUUUAUUUGUAAAAAACCCCCUACCGUCAGUUAAUUUUAACAUUGACCGUUAGUUGACCGUGCAAAGACAAUAUUACCCUUAACAAUAGUUUAUAAACGAAAAUAACUAAAAAAAAAAAAAAUUAUUAGCUAUUUUACCCUCUUUAAAUUAUUGAUAUUUUCUUAAAGUUCCUAUAAAAAAGAUAAAAUUAAAAAAUUAAAAAAUUCUCUUUAAAUUAUUGAUAUUUCCUUAAAAUUCCUACAAGAAAGAUAAAAUUAAAAAUUUGAAAAUGAAAUAGUCAUAAUCUUUACCUAUGAUAUUGUAAAUUUUUGGAAUUGACAAGGAUAAAAUUGUCAAAAAAUAGGGUUUGUGCUUUUCGCGCCAAUAAUUUUGGUUUUUUUUAGUUAUUUUCGUUUACAAACUAUUGUUAAGGGUAAUAUUGUCUUUGCAUGGUCAACUAACGGUCAAUGUUAAAAUUAACUGACGGUAGGGGUUUUUUUACAAAUAAACCAAUUCUCGCCAUCUACUUGCAACAAGCCCAAACCUCAGGGGAGGUUUUUAAAAAUUACCCAGCUGAAAAAAGAUCAAAUGAGGCACAAAAAACAGCCCGAGGUAACGGAACUCGAGGAAAGACCUAGAAGAGUGUGUCAAAGGGAGGGAAAUACAAUCGAAAGCAAAAAUAUAGAGGGAAAGAGGGAGAGCCAAAUCCCGCUUAUGGGCCUAAAACCUCAACAACCCAACCCAAUGCAUAUGAAUCUAGAAGAAGAGGUGGUGGAUAGUGCCUCAUUUUCAAAACAGCCCAAGUCCAAAUGGAGGAGAUGGAAGAGUCAGGCCCGAAGCACAACCAAUGAGACAACUAAAAAAGGGCUAAAUAUGAAUUCCAAGAGAGCCAACUAUGCCCAAACUACCCCGAGUCUAAAAAGCAAGAAAUUGAAACUUACAAGUCCAAACAAGAGGCCAUCAAAGCAGGUGACUAGCAUUUCCCCCUCAGCGAAACUGAAACUAAGCUGGGACAUAACGGCUAUGGAGGAGGCUGAGGUAGAAGUUGUAGUUGGGAAAGAAGUAUCGGCGGCGGCUGGUCUCCAGCCCCGCCGAAAACAAUGAAGAUCAUAAGCUGGAACGUCCGAGGUCUGGGGAAUACUCGGACGUUCCUGGCUCUAAAAGAUAUUCUCCGAGAGCACAAGCCUCAUAUUUUGUUUAUCUGUGAAACGAAAUUGAGACCUGUGCAAAUGACUAGUAGGAGUAAAUAGAUGGGAUUUGACAACUGUUUUAAUGUGAGCAGGAAUGGAAUGAGAGGGGGGUUGGCUCUAAUGUGGAGCAACGACGUGGAUGUGAAUAUCGUUUCGUACAGCAACCACCACAUUGACGCUGUCGUGAACAGAGCAAAUGGGCUGAAAUGGAGGUGUACAGGGAUUUAUGGUCAUCCAGAAGGUUCGCAGAAGAAGCACACCUGGACGUUACUAAGAAGAUUGGCUGGUUUGUUUUCUUUUCCAUGGCUGUGUUUUGGGGAUUUUAGCGAAAUUCUCAAUCUAAAUGAAAAGCUUGGGGGAAGGGAAAGAAACAUAAGUAUGGUGGCUGACUUCAAAGAGGCUGUAAAUGAUUGUAAUUUAGAAGAUCUAGGGUAUAAGGGAUACCCUUUCACUUGGUCGAAUAGAAGGUUCGAGCCGUAUUUUGUGGAGGAAAGGCUUGAUAGGUUUUUGGGAAGCAAGGACUGGAGGAGCAGCCCGUUUGAUCUAAUUGCUACAAAUUUGAAUGCCUGGGGCUCGGACCACACCCCUAUCAUGCUGGAGAUACAAGACCAGAAAAAUUUUAUAGGCCGAAACAGGAGGGCUAGCCGAAGAAUACAUUAUAAGGACAUGUGGAGUCAUUAUGAAGAAUGCAAGCGAAUUGUUUCCAAGGAGUGGGUGUAUCAGAACAGCUGGAGGGAGGGGAAUCCGGUAGACUCUUUUCAAAGGGCUUCUAAGAACACAAUGACCUACCUACUGACAUGGAGCAAAAAGAAAUUCGAAGGCAGAAAGCAAAAGCUGAAAAGUCUGAAGGAAAAGCUAGCUGACAUGAAGACAAACUUUCAACAUUAUAAAGAGGUAAAUGAGGUAAAAAAGACAGAAAACCAGAUUGCAAAUCUGCUGCUAGAUGAAGAAGUGUAUUGGAAGCAAAGAUCCCGAGCCAACUGGUUAAGAGAAGGGGACAAGAAUACAAGGUUUUUUCACCUUAAAGCCUCAGCAAGGAGGAAAAAGAAUCGGAUAGAAGGCAUCUGGAAUCAAGAGAAUGUUUGGAUUGAAGACACAGAAAAAAUUGAGAGAGAAUUCCAUGAAUACUUCACCAGUCUCUUCGAAACCUCCAGCCCAUCUAAGAUGCAAAUUGAGGCAGCCUUAACCCAUUUGGAACCAAAAGUAAAUGCUGAGAUGAACGAGCAGCUCGAUAUGCGCUUCACGGAGGAGGAGGUUUCAAUGGCUCUAUCUAAGAUGUGCCAAACCAAAGCCCCAGGACCGGAUGGCUUGCCAGUAGGUUUUUUCCAAAAGCACUGGAACUCUGUAAAAUUAGGUGUGAUUUAUACUUGCCUUCACAUUCUAAAUGGCAAUGGCUCUGUUGCAUCACUAAACCACACUCACAUAGUCUUGAUUCCAAAAAUUCCUAAACCUCAGCGGGUGACCGACUUCAGACCUAUAAGCUUAUGCAAUGUUAUAUAUAGGAUUGUAGCAAAAGCAAUUGCGAAUAGGCUGAAAAAUGUGCUUAAUCAUGUAAUCUCCCCUUACCAAAGCGCUUUUAUUCCGGAUAGGUUGAUCACCGAUAAUAUUAUUGUGGGUUAUGAAUGUUUGCAUAAGCUUAAGUAUGGAAAAGGAAAAAAUCAUGGGUGGGCAGCCCUUAAGCUGGAUAUUAGUAAGGCUUAUGAUAGGGUGAAGUGGGAUUUUUUGAAAUGCACAAUGCUAAAGUUAGGCUUCUCCUCCACAUUUGUGCUUUUGAUUAUGAAUUGUAUUACCACAGCAUCAUUUUCUGUCGUAAUCAAUGGAAUGGUCUCAGGGCGGAUUCAGCCUCAACGAGGCCUCCGGCAAGGGUGCCCCCUCUCCCCUUAUCUCUUCAUAUUAUGUGCAGAGGUGUUCUCAAAUCUCUUUAUGAAAGCAGAAGAACAAAAGUGUAUCCGGGGACUUCGCUUUGGGAAAGAUACGACGAUCUCUCAUCUCCUAUUUGCCGAUGACAGCCUCAUUUUUGUUAGAGCAGCAAUGGAGGAUUGUCGCCACCUUAAGGAGAUUUUCGAGUGCUAUAGAAGAGCUUCGGGGUAGAUUUUUAACUACCAAAAAUCUUCUAUGUUCUUCAGCAAUAAUACAAGAGACGAUCGAAUCACGGCAAUAAAGGAAAUUUUCCAGCUGGAGGUGGUGUCUCGCCAUGAAAAGUACCUGGGGCUUCCAUCUAUGAUAGGAAGGAAGGCCAAAAGUUUCUUCACAGAUGUAAAGCACAGAGUGUUGAACAAGAUCCAAAGUUGGCAGCACAAGUUCUUCUCAAGCGAGGGCAAAGAGGUACUCAUCAAAGCAGUUGCGCAAGCUAUCCCAGCUUACGCGAUGAGUGUCUUCAAAAUUCCCUUAGGUUUGUGUGAAGACAUCCAAAGAGCGGUGGCUAGAUUCUGGUGGGGGAUAAGUAGAGAGAAGAAGGGAAUUCAUUGGGCAAGAUGGGAGAAAUUAAGUCAAGCAAAAGUCAGGGGAGGUUUAGGUUUCAAAGAUUUCUUAUGUUUUAAUCAUGCUUUAAUUGCUAAGCAGGGCUGGAGAAUCAUUCAGAGCCCAAAUUCAUUGAUGGCCAGAGUCAUGAAAGCCAGAUAUUUCAAACACUUUGAUUUCAUGACAGCAGGCCUUGGCUCGAAGCCAUCGUUCAUUUGGAGGAGUAUCUUAUGGGGAAGGCAGGUGAUUCAAAAAGGUACUAGAUGGAGAAUCGGUAGUGGGCAGAGGGUGCAGGUAUACUCAAGCAACUGGAUUCCUAGGCCCUCAACAUUUAGACAUGUUUCAGCACCAAAAUUAAGGAUAGACCCUGUAGUGGCAGAUUUAAUUGAUGAAGAUCAUCUCUGGAAGGAAGCUGUGAUAAAAGAAUCCUUUAGGCCUGAAGAUGCAGAAGCAAUCCUGCAAAUUCCUCUUCCAAUCAGGCCAAGUGAGGAUCAGCUUAUUUGGCAUUAUGACAAAAGAGGCCAAUACUCAGUGAAGAGUGGCUAUCAAAUAGCAGUGAGAAUGAAGUUUCCAGAUUUACCCAGCUGCUCCUCCCAGAAUCCGAAUCAUUGGAAUACAAUCUAGAAGCUGGAUAUUCCUUAAAAGCUAAAAAUUUUCUUAUGGAGAGCCUCAAAUGACCUACUUCCCACGGCUGAAAAUCUUUGGAAGAAAAAAGUCUUGCAAGAGCCCUUGUGUCAAAUUUGCUGCAAUUCGGUGGAAACAAUAGCUCAUGCUCUGUCAGGCUGCAAGUUGGCAAAGAAAGUGUGGAAUCUUUUCAAAGCUGAAGGGAGCACUCCAGAAGGUCAAUUCCAUGAUAUAAUUAGAUUGAUGGAAGAUAUGACAAAGCAGCAGAACAAUGUGGAGAAGGAAUCAGUUGCAGCCCUCCUUUGGGUGAUAUGGAAUGCUAGGAAUAAGUGGAUUUUUGAAGGGAAACAAGAGGCUCCAGCCAGAUUAGUAGCAAGAGCUGAAUCAGUAGUGGAGUCCUUUAAAAAUGUCAGCCAGUAUGAUGGAUCAAGGCCAAAUCAGAAAAGGGAGGGUAAGGAAACCCAGGGGCACUCUAUUCCAAAUGGGUGGCUAAAGGUAAAUGUUGAUGCUGCAGUGAGCGCUGAGAAACAGGUAGCUGGGCUGGGGGUGGUAAUAACGAAUGGGAACCAAAAUUGCAUAAUUACUGCCAUAAACACUUCUAGUUACUUUGGCAACGUGGCAAUGGCUGAAGCUGCAGCUGUGAAAUGGGGAUUGCAGGUUGCUUUGAGAGUGGGGGGAACCUCUGUGUUGCUUGAAUCGGACUGUCAUGAAGUAGUAGAGUUGAUAAAUAAUAGAGACAGCAGUAUGGCGGAAAUCUUUUGGGUGAUCUCUGAAAUUCUGGAAAUUAAGAAGAGUUUUCAGAAUUUCAAGGCUCAACACACACAUAGAUCUUGUAAUGGUGUAGCCCAUUCUCUUGCUAAGUUGGCUCUUCAAAAAAUGGUUGAGUUUGUUUGGUUGGAUGAAUUUCCAGCCGAAGUGUUGUAUAUGUUUUCGAGUUAAUAUAUGGAAAGGUUUACUUUCUCAUCAAAAAAAAAAAAAAAAAAAAGCUAUCCUCAUACUUUAGCGUCAUUAGUUCAUUACCUUCGAACCUUACCUCUUGGAACCUCCAUCACCAAUCUUACAAAAUAUUUGUUUUAGAAUAAAAUUUAAAAUUUUUAUUUUCCUCUAAUUUCCAAUUCUUUUUCUUUUGUUUUAAAGAACAAUCUACAAGUUUUGAGUUGAUAAGAGCUGUAUAUAUAUGUAAUGUUUUUUCCUCUUUUCCUUCGAUUUUAUCAUUAAGCUUUAUCUAAAAGCAGUAAGAAAAAUAAAAAAGAAUCUAAUAAGUGAAAUAUCAAACGGAGCUUCCUUAAAGUCAGUUGUUUAAGUAUAUAUCGAGUUGCCUGAAAUCUUUAUACUGUUUCGAUUUUGUAAUCUCUCUCUUUUCCUUUAUUUAACGUAUUUUUCAUUAUAUCGCUACUCGAGUUGGUCUUUUACCUCAUCAUCAUCAAUUCAAUUGAGCGAUCGCUUUCCAAUUAAACCAAUGUGGAAAGAAUAUCGCCACCAUUCAUGAUACCAACAUUAUUACGCUCAACACAUUGCAAGAUUUGCAAAGACCCAUCAUGCUUGAAAGAAUAAGCGCCGUUUCGCUUAGGCUUGGAACUAGUUCCUCCUAAACUAUUGCCUUUUAACUCCAAGUUUCGGAUGGGUCAUGUGAUACGCAACAAAAAGAAAGUAUAAAUAGAAUAUGGUGGGCCUUUCACUCUGUUCUAGUAAUCAAUUCAUUUAUUUCUUGUGCUACAGCAUAUAUACCUAAUACUUCUGUUUAAUUUGCUGCUCAGCCUGCUCUCAUCUCCUAUAAGCUUAAACGAUUGUACGCAACUGGCCCACGAGGAAUAGAGUUCUUAAUUUUUUUUCUAAGAGAAGUAUUUGGAUUUAUUCCAUCGGCGACUUUAUCUCAAAAAGAAAUGAUGAAGUGAAAGUUGAUAAUCAUGAAUCAUUCUAUCCUGCAGAACUUCAUGUUUUUCAAAACUCUAAAUCUACAAUUUUAAUGCGAAUGUUUACGGAAGAGUAUAUAUUUAAUAACUUGUUAGAGGUGAGCCUGUGCAGCAAGAUAUAGUUACAUUAAAUUCUUUAGCAUGAAUAUUUCUGUUUAGAGACUCAAACCCAACAAUAUUCUCCGCAAAUAGACUGAACAGUUCUUGAUAAUUUUUUUUUCCUUUUUUUUAAUUUCUUCCCCUGCUAUGGUACGCAAUGGCAAACUAGUUGAAUCAGAAACUUAUUCAUCACUAGAUUUAGUUGAUUUUCCAGGUAAAAAAAGUUUAUCAACUCCUCGUGUUUUGUCGAUUCUUUCAUCAGUUCUUGAGAGAUGAAUCCAGAAAAAUGAAUCUUCAUCGAAGGCAUAAAAAAAGAAUGAAGUUGUCACAAUAUUUCAUUGUUCACAAGCACCAAGUUUGAGCAUUAGACAAUACAUUGAACGCAUAUUCAAGUACUCCAGGUGCAGUCCUUCUUGCUUUGUUGUUGCAUACAUAUACCUUGAUCGGUUCCUCCAACGAAUCAAGGGUUGCCUUGCGAGACUCAACGUUCAUCGCCUUCUGAUCACGAGCUUGAGAUGAAUUUCUUGUUUACUCUGGAGUUUAAGCUUCUUGUGACUACAGAGGUUUUCGCGAAGUACCGUUCACAGCUAGACAUGGAAGGAGCAGCAGCCGAAGAGUAGUGGGUUAGUCCGAUGAUUGAAGCAUUGGGAACCAAACUUGGCCUGCUGAACAAGGACGGCAAAACCUGACGGCAGGUUACAACUGCAGAGUCCCUUCACAAUGCCCAUCGGCAUACUGUGAUGAUUGAAAUGGUUUUUGGCUCAAUCCAGAUUCCAGACACCAGCAAACCAACUGGGAAUUUAUAGGUGCCCCAUCUCCCUGAGUAAUUUGUGCCUAGUUCCAUAAGAGGAGAGAGGAAAAUUGUACAACGAUAAAAUGUCAAUGUACGUUAUGAUAAAAUGCAUUUUGUUCCCAUGAAAGAGAAGAAAAGAGUAUAACAAAGGGCAUCAAUUUUAAAAAAUGGGAAAAAUCUGUAGCAAAAUUUUUUUAUUGCAGAAUCCCUGCACAAUAACGUGUUCCAUUUUACUUGUGAAUUAUGUUCUAUUACUGGAACACUUUCCCAAACUAGCUUACCUGAUAAAACACUUCCAAAAGAUACAAAAGAAGUUGAAGAGUAAAACUAAUGACAUGACAUUUAAAAUAAAAUUUAUUAAAUGCUCUAAAAACGAGACAUCCGAGGAAACCAAAUGAAUUGGCACAAUCAGCCGUAUCUGAGGAUGUGGCUGGUUGAGAGACAAAUGUUCAGCCUUUAUGAUGAGGAAGAAUUUUUCCUUGCCAAGUAGACAUGGUAAAGCUACCAGCCCAACUAUGGUAACGGCUGCUCCGACUACAAUGGUGGAACACAAAAAAUUACAUGGUAUAAUAGGUAGAGCUCAGUACCAUGCCUAACAAAUCAGUUUGAAAUAAUAAAAAUGAUCAAUCAUAUGAUGAGUUUAUGAUAUUAAUUGAACAUCAGAAAGUGAAGAGUAGAGAGGAUUCAUCGAGCUGAAUCCUGUCCUCUGACCAGUUUACAGGACUGUCUGUCUUCCCAUCUUCGAUACAGCAAGAGGAUUCAUCGAGCUGAAAACAUAUUGACCUUGGCUUGAAUUUAUUAUUUUGCUGAAAAUGGAAAGUCUCUUUCAGUGCAGAAAUCAGAGGAAUUGACACGCAUAUGACCAUCCACCUGAUGACGCCAUAGAUACUUAUUUUGUAGCAAAAUUAACAUAUUUCGAAGUAAUUAACUAAUAUAAAAUCCGAUUAAAAUUUUUUCCAAUUAUUAGUUAAUUAAUUAAAUUCCUCUACGACAUGAAGUCAGAUGUACUUAAAAUCUAAUGGCCUUAAACAAAUUAAUUCACCAAAUGACACAUUUUGGAUAAAACCCCUUUCUGAUAUUAUGCAUGAACCAAUUUUGCGGAAAACUACCAAGUAACAAUUACCGGGUUGAUGAGCAGAAGUGAACCCAAUAACUUCAAAUCAAGAAACAUUGUCCAAACCACCGAUACUAUCGAACAGCAACAGAACAAGCCAACACAUAAGGAACAAAGAUUUACAUGGUUUGACAAAUAUGUUUAUAUCCACGGUGGAGAUGCUAGUAUCCGCUAUGCGAAGAAAACUAGCGUACACCUCUGCUCAUAAUAGACCUCUCAGAAUCUGAUACAAGCACAAAGAGAGACAAAUCAUAAGCCUUAAACCAAUCCCAAGAGUACUUUUCCUCUCCAGAUCUCUCUCUUAUAUGUUUUCCAAAAAUGAGCCAAUUUUUUAUACCCAAUUCCUUACAAGCAACUGAAAAUAUACACACAUAAAGGAUCCAGCCCCAUCUUGCCCAUGCUCUUGUUAUGUUUCACCCCUUUGACUUCUAUAGGUAAGAUUUCACAAUAUUCAUGCUCUUCACUGGGCUCACGUAAUUCCUUUGCUAAUUUUUUUUUUAAAUCUAAGUUGCAUGCCCAACAAAUCAGUCUUAGUUUAACAUAUUCAAGAAGAGAAAAAAAUCACGGAGUGGUGUGCUGACAUGUAAUUUAAUAUCAGGAAAUGAAGAGAAAAUGUAACACACUUAUGACCAUCAAAGCAGAUGAUGUAGUAGAUGAGUAUUUUGUAGCAAGCUUUACAUACUUAUCAAGUGACUAGUAAUUUGUACUUUAAAAAGUAAUGUUUGAAGUCAUUAGAUAUCUUACCUGUAAAUUCAAACUACUGAGUCCUAAUAAUUACAUAAUACUUGUUCCACUUCUUAGUGAGAUUCUAGUUCUUAUUCUCAGAUUACCAAUAAUAUAAGAGCAGACGAAAGAGACGUGUGAGGAGAAGGUUUCAUUUACAACCUUGUCAUUACUUGGUUUUUAACUUGCAGAAGAAGCCUAAGCUGAAGAACCGAAAUUAAGAAAAUAAAAAGUAAAAAUUUAAAGAAAAAUGAUUAAUGAGAUAGAAUUAGUGUUGGCCAAAAACCAUCUCUAUGUUUUUCAUACAGUGGGAAUUGUCGGUUGGAAAAUUAAUUGCUUUCUUGUUCUAAAUCAGAUACUAGCUGUCCAUAAUAUAACUCAGCACCUCACUUCAUGCAAGCUUUGAUAUAUUAUUCCUUCUAGCUAUAUAUCCAGUGCUAAUUGUUUUAUCAAAAAGUUGGUGUGCUGAAGUGAACCCAAUAACUUCUAGCUAGAAGCAACAGUGUCCAAUUAAAGCGCUAAUACAAUCAAUCAAACAAUAAAGGAAAUGAUCAACAACACAAAAAGCACACGCAAGGCACAAAGAUUUACAUGAAAUGUCCACAGGUGGUGAUGCUGGUAUCCACUAUACGCGUGAUGAAAACAAGAGUAUAUAUAUAAAGAACACCACCUGUCUCCUCACAACAACCCUCGAGAAUACAAGCACAAAUAAAAAUGAGGCAAUUCCGGCUCUGCUCUGCCCUCAUGUACGUUGUUUGGGGGAUAUACUUCGACAAGACCAGUCAUGAUGAGCACGAACAGGAAUAUUCUGCAGAAGUCUGGUAGCAGGUGAACACGAACAGGAAUAUUCUACUCGUUCACGAAUGCACCCUCCACGGGGCCACAGCGGGAGCCGGCCUCCUAGUAGGAGCAUAAGGCUAUUCCUGCUAGAGGUUGAGGUGGGGAGACCCGGUCAAUGACGGUUGGCGAGACGUGCACUCCUGCCCAAGAAUCAAGGCACGAAGUCCAUCCAGCCACGACUACGAUAAUGGAGCGUCCACUUUCGAAAGUUGGGGAGGUGAUGGACGUGGAUUGUAGGAAGGCCUGGAUUCAAAGGAAACCUAUAAAAAGGUAACCAACGAAGGUAAAAGGGUUAGACUUUUUGAGAUUAGAACUGAGAAAAAAGAGCUUUCUAUUGAGAGAUCACAAACGAUUCAUAAGAUUAGUGGUCGUGUUUCCCAGGAAGACGAAACCUAUGUUUCUGACUUGAGGGUCGGAGGGUUUAAACUGGAAAAACACCCGGCGUGCUCUGACCUGUUUCUGUGUGCGCAGGAGUCUGUGGAGAUGAAGUCUUACGAGAAGAGAUCCUGGUCGUGGACGAGUUAGUUGAAGAGAGAUCCUGGUCGUGGACGAGCAGAAAACCAGAAUCUCGCAUCAACAUUUUGGCGCCGUCUGUGGGGAGCUGAGCAAAAAGCUUCUAUUGAUAGAGAGAAGAAGAGGAAAGGAAGUGAGGAAACAAUGGAUGUAGGAGGAAGUAGUGCACAAGAAGGUGACUUGAGGCUUAAUGAGUCCGUGACGUUGAGAGAGAUAGCCAAUGAAGCACGGGAAAAAGCAAUGUAUGAGCGAAUGGAACGGAUGGAGAAACAGAUGGAGACCCUGACAACCAUCCUACACGAGCUGAGGAGCGAACGAAGGGGAGUUCAAGAGGAAGGGGUAAGAAGUGGUGGAAUGACACCAGGGCACGAUUAUAUGAUGAAAGGUCGGACCACCAGAAGAUUUGGUGGUGAGGGGGGUAACUCAUCUCUACGGGGGAAAAGCCAUAGAGGAGAAGAUCAAUCCCCAGGGAGACAGACCUUUGAUAACGAUGACGGAGUGGCGAAUGCAGAGGAAAGAGAACUCCGGCAACACCUGCAUGAUAUUGAGCAAGAGCGAGAUCAUGUUGCAAUACGUGACCUUGGUCGUGCCGUACAGCUGGAAGAAGAAGUGUGCAGAUUAGCGCAGAUAAUAGAUGACAUGCAAGGACGAAGCAGAGUACCAGGUUGGAGGAUAAUGCUGGACGGAGAAUCCCCGCUCUCAGCAGAAAUCAUAAGUGCAGUCAUUCCGAGGGAUUUUCGCCUCCCAGACCUCAGAUACUCGGGGUGAACCGAUCCGUUGGUUCACAUAGAGCGCCUUAACGACAUAAUUGGGGUGCAAGGAUUAUCCCAAGCUCAAAGAUACAGGGUGUUCCCGCUGUCUCUAGAGGGACGAGCACGUGAGUGGUACCGGAAACUUCCUCGAGGGAGCGUUAAAUCCUUCGAGCAAAUGUGCCAGGAAUUUGCAGAGCAGUUUCGGGGGGCAAUGGCGCCGAAAAAUGAUAUGAUGGAGCUGACGAGCAUGAAGCAGGGAGAGGAGGAAACCCUUUGGGAAUUCAUCAAAAGGUUCCAUCGCGCUGUCCUCGAUUUGGGAGCCUUCAACCAUCCUCAGGCAUUAAGGGGAUUGAAAGAAGGGGUCAAGAUAGGACGGUUGUGGUACAAUUUCAGGAGCCCAGCUAUUCAGACAUAUUCAGCCGCUUACGAGCAGGCCAAGAGGGACAUAGAGAUUGAGGAGGAAAAGGCAGCACAGAUUAAGACAGACCAGCUAGAAGGGUUGAGGAGCAAAGAGAAGAGAGUCAUACCAGGAAAUGGGCCGAUUAAGAGGAAAGACCACCAUGCCUCAAGCAGUGGUGCAGGAGGUCGGGUCACCUCUUACCAGCCUCAUCAGAGGCCACCCCAAUAUCAGUGCAGCAGGGCGCAACCUCCUCGUUCACCAGCCAGGGAUUCAUGGAGAAGGCAUGACCCGACAUAUAGUCAUCCUCAUUCCUACCUACACGGUGGUAGAGGAAGCAGACCAGAAGCACCGCUACCCCCUCCAGUUCAGAACGGCACAAACAGGGAAAGGGCGGUACACAUGAUCGACCAGAGCCAAGAUUAUGGGCGGUAUACUUCCUUGAAGAUGCCCCUGGACAAGGUUUAUGAGGCCAUAAAAGAACGGGGAUUACUGUACCUCCCUACCCCAAUAACAAAGCUACCCAGCAGGAGAGAUAUGGGACGCUAUUGCAAGUUCCAUGGCACCCACGGUCAUACCACAACUGAAUGCAGAGAUCUCAAGACUCAGGUUGAAGAUUUGGUGAGAAAUCGAUACCUGGACGAGUUUGUAGAUGGGACCUUUCUGAUGGUGGGCUCGUCAUGUAAAGGGGAGCAGAGUGACAAGAACAUGAGCCACGAGCAGCCUAUGGUAAGAGUAAUUGCUGGGGGCCCAACAUUGGCUGGAGAUUCCAACAGAUCGAGGAAGAACUACGCUAGGUAUGCCAUGACUAGUAAAGAAGUGUUCUUCAACACCCCAGCAGCCAAGCGAGCAAGAAUCAGGCAAGUUCCGAUCAUGUGGACAGAUGAAGACGAAGAAGGGAUUCUAUAUCCAUAUGAGGAUGCCUUAGUCAUUAAAGUCACCGCUACUAGCAAGAAGUUUGACCAGAUUCUGGUAGACACGAGAUGCUCGGUCGAUGUUUUGUUCAAGUCAACUCUAGAGGAGAUGGGAAUAGCGGAUCUGAGGUUAGAGCAUACCCAUAUCUCCUUGAAGGGAUUUGGAGGAAGAAAGCUGGUUCCUCUAGGCGUGGUCGAACUGCCCAUCACAAUUGGCAGCUCCCAGACAGAAAAGACUAUGAUACUGGAUUUUAUGGUGGUCGAUGAAGAGGGUCCUUACCAGAUGAUUCUAGGCCGCCCUUUCUGAGGAUGAACAAAGCGGUACUUUCCAACCAUUAUCUAGCUCUCAAGUAUAGGGUGAAUAGAGUGGUUGGAGUGGUACGAGGAGACUAGAGAAUUGCCCGAAACUGUUACUCUACAGCAGCAAGGGAAGCAAUGCAGAUUCCAUCACUUGAUACUCGAGUGGGAGCCAAGAAUGGCAGACAAGAGCCUGUAGAGGAGCUGAAGAUAGUAAGCUUGGAAUAAUGUGAUUAAGAAAAAACAAUCCGGAUCGGAUUGAGGCUUAAAGAAGAGCAGAAGCGGGAACUGGUGCAUUGCCUGCGAGCUCACGCAGAUGUGUUUGCUUGGACACAUGAAGACAUGCCAGGAAUCGACCUUGAGGUCGCCUGCCAUAGGUUGGCAAUAAGGAAGGGUGCUCAGACGGUAAGGCAAAAAAGAAGGUGCUUCAAUCAGGAGAGGUAUGACUCGACAGCCGGACAUGGCCUGCUUAGCUUCAUGGAUGCAUUUCCAGGAUACAACCAAAUCCUAAUGUUCGAGCAGGAUGAAGAGAGCACGACAUUUAUCACUAACCAGGGUUUGUUCUGUUACAGUAUAAUAUCGUUCGGUCUUAAAAAUACGGGUGCCACGUACCAGAGGUUGGUGAACAAAAUCUUUAAGCCAUUGAUUGGGAGAACAAUGGAGGUGUAUGUGGACGACAUGAUAACCAAAUCAAAAAUCCCGAAGGAACAUGUCGAGCACCUCGAGGAGACAUUUGGACUUUUGAGGAAGUACAAGAUGAAGCUCAACCCGGAGAAGUGUGCCUUUGGGGUCGAGUCGGGCAAAUUCCUUGGGUUCAUGGUGAGUCAUCGGGGGAUCGAGGCGAAUCCCGAGAAGAUCCAGGCAAUCGUGCAGAUAAGAUCUCCUCGUAACCUGAAGGAGAUACAGAGCUUUACGGUGAGGUUGGCGGCAUUGAGUCGGUUCAUAUUCAAGGCGACAGAUAAGUGUCAGGCAUUCUUUCAAGUGAUAAGGAGAGGAAAGAAACAGAAUGGACCCUUGAAUGCGAAGAAGCCUUCCAGAAUUUGAAGCAAUAUUUGCAGCAAGCACCUUUGUUGUCCACGCCGCGGGAUGGGGACGUGUUGUUCCUAUAUAUGGCGGUAUCGGAUCAUGUCACGAGUUCUGUUCUAGUGAGAGAGGAAGAAGGGGUUCAAUAUCUAAUAUAUUACACGAGCAAGGCCCUGCUAGAUGCCGAGACCAGAUACCCACCGUUAGAGAAAUGGGCACUUGCUCUUGUGGUUGCUGCUCGGAAGUUGAGGUAAUACUUUCAAGCAUUCCCCAUCUCGGUAAUAACAAACCAACCGUUACAACGGACUCUACACAAGCCGGAUGCUUCUGGUUGGAUAAUGAAAUGGGCCAUAGAGUUGAGUGAGUUCGAUAUAAGUUAUAAACCCCGAGCAACAAUAAAGGCCCAGGCAAUGACCGAUUUCGUGGCAGAAUUCGCAGAGCCCGAAGUAGGUUUCGACCAGCUGGACGCUGCUACAAUCAACAACGAAGAUCAGGUAUGGCAGGUGUCGGUGGACGGAUCCUCAGGGGAGCAGGGGUCUGGAGCAGGGAUUAUUUUGGAAUACCCAGAAGGGGAGGAAAUCUCUUAUGCUGUAAAGUUGGAGUUCACAGCCACAAAUAACCAGGCAUAAUAUGAAGCUUUAAUAGCGGCCCUGGAAUUGGCUAAGGCAGUGAAAGCGGGUAGGGUGAAAAUCCGAACUGAUUCCCAACUGGUUGCAAAUUAUGUCAAUGAAAGGUUUCAGCCGAGAGAUGGGAAGAUGAAACAGUACUUGAAGAAAGUCAAGCAGAUGAUUGGGAAGUUGGAGGCGGUUGAGGUAAUACAAAUCCCAAGGGAGGAGAAUAGUCGAGCAGAUAUUCUGGCCAGGAUGGCAGCUGUAGCAUAUCCAAAAAUGCCUAAGUUGGUCCCUUUGGAGGUGAAGUCCAGCCCUAGCAUCGAGCAGAAUUUGGAGGUGAUGCGGAUAGAAUAGAAAUGCUCGUGGAUGGACCCGAUAAUCUAGUACAUCAGAGAUGGGGUAUUACCACCAGAUAAGCUACGAGCUCGGAAGAUCAGAGCUCAGGCGUCGAGGUACACAAUGAUUGAUGGGGUGCUAUAUCGGCGGGGAUAUACUCUAUCGUUCCUUCGAUGUUUGGAUGAGGACGACACGGAUUACGUACUGAGAGAAGUACAUGAAGGAAUUUGCGGAAACCAUUCUGGCGCAAGGUCCCUUGCCGAUAAGGCUCUAAGGCAGGGAUAUUUCUGGCCGAUUAUGCACCAGGAUGCGUAGGAGAAAACCAGGAGUUGCGUGAGUUGCCAGAGUUUUGCAAAUUUCUCCACCCAGCCACCAGAGAAGCUCACUUCUAUGGCCUCGCCAUGGCCAUUUGCUCAAUGGGAAAUUGAUUUGAUUGGGCCGUUGCCAAAGGGACGAGGGGCAGCAACACAUGCAAUAGUAGUGAUAGACUACUUCACGAAAUGGAUAGAGGUAGACGCCCUCAGUAGGAUCACAGAGAAAAAGACGACUGACUUUGAAUGGAGAAACCUGGUCUGUCGGUACGAGAUCCCUUAUGCCCUGAUAACAGACAAUGGCAGGCAGUUUGACAACCACAACUUCAGGGAUUUCUGCCAAAACCUAGGGAUAGAGCUGAAGUAUUGUUCGCCUGCUCACCCUCAGUCUAACGGACAAGUGGAAGCAGCCAACAAGAUAAUAAAGAGGCUUCUGAAAAUCAGGCUUGGAGCAAAAAAUGGUGCAUGGGUUGAUGAGCUACCAGGUGUAUUAUGAGCAUACAGGACAACCCACAAAAUAGCAACCGGCGAAACUCCGUUCACUUUGGCCUUCGGACAUGAAGCUGUUGUACCGGUCGAGAUAGGGCCGACCACGUACCGGACAGAUCACUUCGAUGAGCAGAAAAACAAUGACCAGAUGUGCUUGAAUCUGGAUUUACUGACCGAGAAGAGGGAGCAAGCAUCGAAGUGAUCAACCGUUUACCAGCAGAGGGUUGCUCGAUAUUACAACCAGAAGGUGUGUAUACAACAGUUCAAGGUCGGCAAUUGGGUACUAAGGAGGGUGAACCAGAACACGAAAGACUCAACACAAGGAGUACUUGGACCAAACUGGGAGGGGCCAUAUAGGGUCAAGCAGGUAGUUGGACUCGGAGCCUAUAAGCUUGUUUGCGCAGAUGGCCACGAGGUGAAACGUUCCUGGAACGCAGCACACCUCAGGAACUAUUUCCAGUAAGACCCGAUCAUGCUUUAAAGUUAUUUCUAUUUGUUCUUGUUGUUAUGCACUUUAUGCUAAAUCAAUCUCAUGUAAACUGAAUUCAGCAAUUAAUGAAACGUUGAGGAAUUUCAGUCAGUUGCAAUGUUGUAAAGAUUUCUAAGGCAUGCAAAGGCUCAUCAAGUCUCAAAGCCUGUUUUAUGGCGAGACCGGAAGCCAAGCAUGCCAGGAUCUGCUCAACCAAGCGAAGACGAGCAGACUCUCAAAUGUUAUAAGAAUUUCCAAGGCAUGCAAAAGCUUACUAAGUCUCAAAGCCUAUUUUAUGGCGAGACCAGAAGCCAAGCAUGCCAGGAUCUACUCGACCAAGUGAAGGCGAGCAGACUCUCAAAUGUUGUAAGAAUUUCUAAGGCAUGCGAAGGCUCACAAAGUCUCAACGCCUGUUUUAUGGCGAGACCAGAAGCCAAGCAUGCCAGGAUCUGCUCGACCAAGCGAAGGCGAGCAGACCCUCAAAUGUUAUAAAAAUUUUAAAGGCAUGCAAAGGCUCACCGGAAGUCAAGCAUGCCAGGAUCUGCUCGACUAAGCGAAAGCGAGCAGACUCUCAAAUGUUAUAAAAAUUUCUAAGGCAUGCAAAGGCUCAUCAAGUCUCAAAGCCUAUUUUAUGGCGAGAUCGGAAGCCAAGCAUGCUAGGAUCUGCUCGACCAAGCGAAGGCGAGCAGACUCUCAAAUGUUAUAAGAAUUUCCAAUGCAUGCAAAAGCUUACUAAGUCUCAAAACCUGUUUUAUGGCGAGACUGGAAGCCAAGCAUGCCAGGAUCUGCUCGACCAAGCGAAGGCGAGCAGACUCUCAAAUGUUAUAAGAAUUUCCAAGGCAUGCAAAAGCUUACUAAGUCUCAAAGCCUGUUUUAUGGUGAGACCAGAAGCCAAGCAUGCCAGGAUCUGCUCGACCAAGCGAAGGCGAGCAGACUCUCAAAUGUAAGGCAACAGGAAGCCGAACUUUUUGGCACCUGCUCGACCACAAUGAAAGCGAACAAAAAAUAAAAUAAUUUGCCAAGAGCUCGAGGCAAAGAAAGCAAAUAAGAAUAUUCUUAUUAAUCUACCGAUAAUUAUGAAAAGCUGCCAGUCUUAACAUAUAAUGUUCCAAAAAAGCAACUACAACACAAGAUACAUUCAAGAGGACGGCGGGUCAGUAAGCUGGGCUGCCUCUACUAGCUGCUCCACCUCAGGAGCAUGGGGGAUUUCACCAGUUGCCCCUGGGGGGGUACUUGCCUCGGCAACAUCAGCAGGGACUGCACGAGGAGGAGAGGUUCCCUCCUCAGCGGCAUUUGGCUCCAACUCUUCGACAUCUUCUUUGGCUGCCUCCUCAUCUAUAUAUUGAGAUCUUCAAAUCAGGAUGCUGCUUCCCAAGGACAGCCAUGAUGCAGCGAUAAGAAUGCCGAAACCCCUGGUCAUAUUGGUUGUCAGCUUCCUUCUCUAGGUUCUCGACCUGAACCUGGUGGGAAUCCUUGAGAGAUUCGAGUUGAGCCUCGUAAGUAGCCUUCUGCCUCUGCAGAUCCUCCUUGACCUUAGUCAGCUCUUCCUCAAGAGUGAUUGUCUUUGCCUGCGCGAGGGACUCUCGCUCUAUCAACUUCAGAUUCUCGAGGUUGAGAUCUCCGGCUUUCUUCUCGGCAGCGUCAACUUUGGUUUUGGCUGAUUGAACGUCCUCUCUCAUCUUUCGAUCAUAGCAGCCGACCUUCGCCUUAUAGUAAGUGGCCAUGCAGCCGAGAUGAAAAGCACUAUACUGCAUAGCCCCCACCAGCUCGCCCAGAGUGCUUCCGUCAAAGUCCUCCAAGUCCUUUUUGCUCACGAGCCUAAAAAACUCACUGAUAUAGGGGACCAGAUGCUCUGCUCGAUUGUCGGCCAAACGAGGUGUCGACCCAGCUGGUGGAGAAGGAGAAGUGGGGUCAAUGGCUGUUCCACUAGUUUCGCCGGCUUUGGUAGGAGGAGGUGGUAGAGUCCUCAAGGAGGGGACCUGCUCCGCGAUGUUCACCCGUUUCGCAGUGGGAGCAUCCUUAUUUUGGUCCCGCUUAGCAGUAUAAGAUCGAUGACGUUUCCAAUUCAGAGCCCCGAUCACAACAUCCUCCAUCUUAAGGUCAGUGGACACCAAAUGAGAUUCAAACAAGUUGUAAAUAGACAGCAACUCUCGGCUCGAACAUGAAUUGGCUAACACAGCCUCGAUCCACUUGAGCGGCUCAAGUUUAAGCUUGUAGUGCACACCCCAAGAACCUACAGUUCGAGCAGAUAUUGGGUUAAAGAUAAAUCAUCAAAAUGAGAACAACUAGGGAUACAAGACAUCUAAAGCGAGCAGGCAACCUAGGACCACGAAACGGGGUGGGACGCGAUAGUUGUUCCCAUCAAUCUGUGCAACUUGACCCCAGGGACCCCCAGGAAAAAAGAAUUUUUUCUUCCAAUUCCCACCACCACCAGUUGGAAGAUCAGUUAUGGGUUUCCUGGUCUUGGUACUUGACAUGAAGUAAUACCAGCCUGUGCCUUUGGGGCUGCUCUUUACCUGGUAUAGGUGAUUUACCUCAUCAACUGUGGGCUCGCUUUGGCAAGCAUCUGUCCCACAAUAUGAACAAACCAGAAAGUACCCUCCACCCGUUGGGGUUAAGUUGACUAGGAGCUAGGUUCAACCCACUAAGCAUUCAUGCAAAAUAGGGUUACAGGGGGCACCUCAUUCCGAACUUAAAACUUUCCAGAAACAGAGUAAUGUAUCCCCUAGGAGGUCGGCUGGGAGUAUCCUUUUUUCUUGGGAUCUUAAGGGGUAUAUCAUCAGGAAUGUCAUACCUAGCCCGGAGGUCAUCGAGGUCGUCUAUUGUGGUCGUGCACGUGAUGAAGUCAAUAGCGUAAUGCUCCGAUAAAGCCCUACCUCCUAUUUUGCUCUUCCUAUCUGGUCGCGAUGUUCCUGGUGAGGACAUUUCACCAAAAUCUUCUCCCUGGUCCUCACUCAAGGUGUCUUCCAAACUAGAAGAUCCAUCGUCGCUGCUGUUGCUGGUUGAGGAGGUUAUUUAGGGAGACAUCCUUCUAGCACUAGUCCCAACACUAGAUCUAAUGGGUUCUAAAGGGAUCCCGGGGUCAAAGGCAGGAUUGGCGAGUAGACUAGGCAAGAAGUCUAACUCGUCGUCAUCAAUCUCAAUUACCUUCUCUUUGCCUUUUGACAUUUCCUAAACUAUGACCAGAGCAAUAUCACCAAACACUACCCAAGAAAAACAGAGAAAAAAGAAAUUUUCUGUAACUAUCCAAGACGGAGGAAAUAGAAAUAAUACCUGCAAUUGUGGCCCAGCUGAAUAGAGACAAGGAUGGUAGCUUUUACGCUGAGGAAGAGGAAUGACUCAGUCGCCGGAGAAGUAGAAGAGGGAUAAAAGACGAGUUUCCCUUUUGAGGUUUUGGGUUCCCUAAUGAAGAACAAACUCUUGGGCUGUCAGCAUUUAACGGCACGAAUUCCAAGGGUUUCAUAACCAUCGGUUUGAAAUUCAAAUGGAGGGAUAGAUUUCUGCCACAUCACCUCGCCCGCAAUUAAAUGCGACACGACUCCUCAAAGCCUCUUCCUAUCCUGCGCGAGCCAGAACUGUUGAAUUUCUACUGUCGAUCCACUACGUUACCCAACACCAGAAACUGGGGGACCGGUGUUUGGGGGAUAUGCUUCGACAAGACCAGCCAUGAUGAGCAGAAGUCUGGUAGCAGGUGAACACGAACAGGAAUAUUCUGCAGAAGUCUGGUAGUAGGUGAACACAAACAUGAAUAUUCUACUCGUUCACGAAUGCACCCUCCACGGGGCCACAGCGGGAGCCGGCCUCCUACUAGAAGCAUAAGACCAUUCCUGCUAGAGGUUGAGGUGGGGAGACCCGGUCAAUGACGGUUGGCGAGACGUGCACUCCUGCCCGAGAAUCAAGGCACGAAGUCCAUCCAGCCACGACUACGAUAAUAGAGCGUCCACUUCUGAGAGUUGGGGAGGUGAUGGACAUGGAUUGUAGGAAGGCCCGGAUUCAAAGGAAGCCUAUAAAAAGGUAACCAACGAAGGUAAAAGGGUUAGACUUUUUGAGAUUAGAACUGAGAAAAAAGAGCUUUCUAUUGAAAGAUCAUAAACGAGUCAUAAGAUUAGUGGUCAUGUUUCCCAGGAAGAUGAAACCUACGUUUCUGACUUGAGCGUCGGAGGGUUUACGCCGGGAAAACACCCGGCGUGCUCUGACCUGUUUCCGUGUGCGCAGGAGUCUGUGGAGAGGAAGUCUUACGAGGAGAGAUCCUGGUCGUGGACGAGUUAGUUGAGGAGAGAUCCUGGUCGUGGACGAGCAAAAAACCAGAAUCUCGCAUCAACAUACGUAAUUCUCUGCUAAGAAAUAUUGCCUUAAAAUAUCGGUAGCAUAUGCAUGCAGACCAGCAAAUCAGUUAGACAUAUGAAAUAAUCAACCACACACGAAAUCAGCAAAUAAGUGUUUUCAUGUAUCAGCAAAUCAGUGGUGUAUUGAGAAGGCUAGUUACUAGGUGUCAACUCUUCUCUUUCAAAGAUAAAGGUUUGGGAAAAGGGAAGAAAGACACCCACGGCCAACUACCUUGUCAUAUUUUGCAUACCAAAAUUGGACAUUAAUUAUCGUCACUGUCUUCGACCUGCUAACCAAAUCCAAGGCAAAAUUGGUCUUCCCGAUUGAGUAAGUGAGCCCUGAAAAGUCGUUAUCCAGCUUCAAAGCCAAGUGAAUGUAGACUUGUGAUUGGCGUAAUUGGUUUUAAAGAAACUAGUAUGCAUCCCCACUGAAAGCCAAUAAAUAAAGUUGAAGAAACGCUAAUGUACCACAGCUGACAUCAACAUAAUUUGAUCAGCCGAAUGACUACCAAAUGAAAAAGCAACAUAAACUUUAACAUAACUGUUAGGAUUAAUCGAAUACACAUAUAUUUGUACCAAUCUUCACACCUUUAGCAUUCAAAUUCGAAUCGAAUCCCUAAUAGGGGUGGCAAAAAUCAAAUCCUAAACGAAUUGGGUCAAAAUUCUGUGAAUUCAAAUUUGAUUCGUUUAUGAAAUGAAUUGAAAUUUCAUGAUUCAGGUUUGAUUAGUUUAUUAAACAAAUAUUCAGUUUGAUUCGUUUAAUAGAAUUAAUAAACUAAUUGAAUCAAAUCCAAAUUCGUUUAUUAUUCAUUCAUCCUAAUAAUAAACGAAUCCAUGACAAAUCAAAUUGAAUAUAAAUUUGUUUACAAAAAUUAAAUAAAUAAUUCAAAUCAUAAAAUUUUUCAUCUCAUUUAUAUAUUGCCUUAUUAUUAUUUAUAAUUACUAGAGACCUUUAAAUUUUAAAUUUUUUCACAAAUAUUUAAUAAUAAAUAAAUAAUUUAACUAAACGAAUUUUAAACGAAUAGAUUGUAUUUGGUUUGUUUAUAACUCAUUUAUUAAAUGAAUCCUAAACGAAUAAACAAAUGAAUGUCUUCAAACCUGGAUUCGAUUCGUUUAAUUAACGAAUCGAAUUGAAUUCACCAAUUUAUUAAAUAAAUUAAUUUUUUCAAACUCAAACUCAUUUAAUUCGCUUCGAAUCGAAUCAAAUAAAUGGAUCCUGACCCAAAUUGCCUCUCUCUCUCUCUCUCUCUAGUACCUUGCUACCGUGAUCACUGAGAUAUGUUCAUGAAUAAAAAUCUACCAUCAGAUCGAUUCGAAAACGGAAAGGAAUAGGGAAAUAAAAGGUGAAACAAAUGAAAUAAUUAAGGAGAGGAACGAGAUUCCAUUGUCUGGUUAUAAUUGGAAAUCAAGCAUGAAAAAUGAUUUGAUUUUUCUUUUUUGGUUGACAGAAUACACUUUCAACUAGAAGAAAAAAAAAGAAAAUUUGAAUUUGAUAUUUAACAGAAAAUUCAAUUAAAAUCAAAUCCAUUUGUAAUUUUAAUUCAUUUCAUUCUUAAAAUUUGACAUGUAGAAUAAAAUUUAUAACUGUUUCAAAUUCAAAUACAUAUUACUAUUCAAAAUAAUUAAAAUUUUCAUUGCAAAAAGUUAAAAAAAUAAAAAUAAAACUGUUUAAUGGAGAGUGGAAUUGAGAAGGGAAAGUGUGAUGGAAGAUGCACACACUAGUUGUGGAAUUAUACUGUUAGUCAUUUUAUUAAAAAAAUAAAUUAAAAAUAAAAAACCUUGUUGAAUGAUUAUUUGCUAGGAUUGAAAAUUUUAUUUGGUGCGCAAAACCUCAAAAACCUCAUGAUGAUGCAUGUAUAUUCUAAGCUUAAUGACAUGUAUCAUAUUAAAAAUGUUUUGCGAAGGUAACUGUAUAUUUGUUUUAUUCAAUGAAUGGUACAUUUACUGGUACGUUUAAUAGUUUGUGGGUAAUUGUUUAUUUUCUUUUGGUUGAAAAUUUUGCCAUCUCACAAACUAACAACUAAAUUUGACUCCUUUUUAUAUAAAUUUUAUAGGCCCGCCGAUUCACCAAUUUUAUUUUAUAAUCCUUGUAUGUUUGUUAUCUUUAAAUUAUGACCCCAAGUACCAAAAUUCCAAUUUCACGGUCUUUUAUAGGGUUUGGUUAUGAUAAUUAAUUAAUACGAUAAAUACAAACAAGGCACAAAUUAAAAUUUAUAUGGUUCGGCAUAUUAAUUAAUAUGCCUACAUCCACAGAUGGUGAUACCGAAAAUCCACCAUAUGAUGAAAAAGUGUACAAACAAUAAUGCGUAAUUCCUUUUUGGCUGAAAAUAUUGCUUUCCCAACAAAUUAAUCAGUUAGACGAAUAUAUCCUAAUUAUAAUGGUUUUAUGUCAUACAUACAUAUCAAAUUCAUGACUUGUAUUUUGCACUGUUGCAGAGCAAUGAGCAGGCUACAAUACGUUCACUUGUUGAACUCGACCCUCACAGCCGUGAUCAUUGGCAAUCAGACAAGAUUAUUGGCAAUAUUGUAGGCUUGUGUCUUUUACCCGUUAGAAGCAUAACUUGUGCACUUAAAUUUGGCACAUCACUUGUUUGACAAAAUUACAAAGCAAAUGUGUAACUCGUGUACUCUUCCUUUUUUAUCAUAAUUUUUGUACUAUAAAUAUGUACCUGCAAAUAGUGAAAUAUACACACAAAAUCAAUUCUUUCAUGAAUUAUUCUUCUUCUAAUUUUUACAACCUUUCAUGGGUGGAAAGACUUUCCUGCCUUUCAAGGCCUAGCCAGCUGCUGAAGCCGAAGGGAAGAAAUCCAAGGCUUUUUUUAGUUCAUCUAUUAAAUCCCCAGAAACCAGUUGCAGAACUAGUGGGAAAUCAAAUAUUUUUUAGUGGAAACAAACACGAAACUAGUCCUCAAAUUAUUGUGUAAUGCAUUUUGCAAGAAAUUUGAUAGCCUGAUUAUGUUAUCCACGUCUUGAACUUUUCAAGUUAUGACGUGUCAGGAUUUGUUGCCAAACCAUUCAAUUAUGAAAUUUUGCUACUCAAUCUUGUAUUGUUCUAUUUCCUUGCUUUCAGUUUUCUUGAUCAGAACAAACAACAUAAAUAAUGAUGAAAAAAUAAUUAAAAGAAUUUCACUCGCCCUUCAUUUGUUAUCAACAAUAUGAUAUUGCCUGGGAUCUUUCGGCUUAAUCUUCUAGUGCCCAUUAGCCAAACUUACAUUCUCAGCAAUUCUUCUCCAUUUCUUAAUCCUUUUAUCCAUAUGCUUUGUUAAUGCACAGUACUGUUGCAAUUUCUUAGGCAUUGCACCAUAAACUUGCCACCAUUUCUUAUGAGCUGAAUCACUAGCAAAUACAUGGCGACUCACCAUGUCCCAAUUGCAAUCAUAGUCCUUGUAACAUAUCCAUGGCUUUAACCCCAGAUAAUGAAUUGCAUAAAGACCAUCACCCACUUGAUGUUCCUUAUCGUCUUGCUUUGAAAACACCUUCAAAUUGUUGAUUCUCUUAGGCAACCUAUGCCACCAUGCGAACACUUCAUUAAGAAAUCCCUGGUCACCCCCAUUGUAUGACGAAACCUAUUAAGAGUAGUUCGUUAUUGUUAGUUAUGGUUGCUGACGUGUCAGAUGAGCUGGCUAAUGUUAGUUAUGCUGGCUGCAGGUUGUUAGCAUUCUGUUGAUUCAUGUUUAGCUAAGCUCAGCUCACGUGAUUUGUUUUCUAUAUUAAUUCAAGAGCUCUUGUAACAAUCGAUAUAUCAAUAUAGUAAUUCAUUUUCUCUCUCUGAAGUCUCUGUUAUUUUCUCUUCAUUUUCUCAAAUACCAAACACUUUUCUGGUAUCUUAACUUGGUAUCAGAGCUACCGAUCUUCAAUCUCAUGGCAUCUUCAAGCAUAAACUCUACUGUUUCAUCAUUUACCUUUACUUCUCCAAUUAAACUCGAUCGGUCGAAUUAUAUGAUUUGGAAAUCUCAAAUUCUUUCAUCCGUUCGUGCCAAUGGUCUUGAAGAUUUGCUCGAUGGAUCAAAAACCAGUCCAGUUCAAUUCCUUCAAAGUGAGACUGAAAGUGCUUCUAUUGAUGCUGAGCUGAAUCCAGCAUAUACCACAUGGAAACGAAAGGACCAAUUGCUGCUGAGCUGAUUGAUGUCGUCUAUCAGCAUUGAGAUACUGAGCCUUGUGGUAAACUCUGAAACUUCAUUAGAACUUUGGACUAGUUUGGAGCAACAGUUUGGAUCUGAAACUUCAGCUAAGAAGGUUCAUAUGAAAAUAAUGCUCAAUAAUCUUAGAAAAGGAUCAAUGACAGUAACUGAAUUUUUUGGCAAGCUAAAAAUAAUUACUGAUGAGUUAGCCAUUGCCGGUAACCCAAUAAGUUCUCUAGAUUUUCUUACUCACCUAAUUUCUGGAUUAGGUCAGCCUUACUAUCCUGUUGUAGUUUAUCUUGAAGCAAAUCUUGCUAAGAUUUCUAUCAAUUAAGCAUAUUCUAUGCUAUUAUCUCACGAAGCUAGAUUAGAAGCAAAUCAGCUAAGCUCAAGCAAAGAAGCUAAGAUGAACUAUGCUGUUAAUAUUACUCAAACUGGAUCUGGAACUAAUAAUAAUAACAAGAAACCAGGUGGUCAGUUCAAUAACAAUUGGAAUGGUGGUCAAUUCAAUAACAAUUGGAACAAGAAUGGUGGUUUCAGAGGUGGAUAUGCUGGAGGCAGAGGUGGUUAUGGUAGAAAUUUUCCACAAGGACAAGGAAGAAGAAACUGGAAUGGUGGCUGGAAUGGUUCAUUUGGAAACUUUCCACAAAGAGGCAGAAGAAGUAAUUACAAUGGUAAUCUUGGCCAGACUGGAGGAUUUAAUGGUGGUUUUACAAAUGGCAAAGGUGUUUUGGAUCAGGCUGUUGCUAAUGUCACUUGCCAGAUUUGCUUUAAACCAAGGCACACUGCAGCUGAGUGCAGGAAUAGAUUCAACAAGGAUUAUAUUCCUUUUAACAAUCCAUAUCAGAAUCCACCAAGAGCUGCUUUUCUUGCAACCUCUGAGGGAGCAAUAGCUUAUCAGGGAUGGUACAUUGAUAGUGGUGCAACACAUCACAUCACUAACAAUUUACAGAACCUGCAAAUUGGAAAUGAAUACUCAGGUAACCAAUUGCUUCUUGUUGGUAAUGGUCAGGGCUUGCAUAUAUCACAUAUUGGCUAUGCAUGCUUUCAAACAUCAUGCAAUGCAGUUUUACACUUAAGAGAUACUUUGUGUGUGCCUAAACUUACUAAAAAUCUCAUAAGUGUUUCAAAGUUACUUGAAGAUAACACUGAUAUAACCAUUGAGUUUGUUGCCAAUAUGUGUUUCAUAAAGGACAAGAGGAAGGAACAACAUAUGGCUCAAGGGAUUGCUAAGAAAGGACUGUACCUGUUGCUGUCAAAGAAUGACUGUGUUUCAAAUUCCAGUUGUCUUACCUAUGCACCUAGUUCUAUGAUUUCUGUUUUAAAUAAUCCAGCUUGUAAAACUUCUGAUACAGCUGCAAAUAAUGUCUGUAAUUCACAAUUUCAAGUGAACUCAACCAAGUUAGCAAACUUGUUUCAUCAAAAAUUUGGUCAUCCUAAUAAACAUGUGUUGAAAUCUAUUCUGUCUUCUCUUUCUGUUGAUUACUCAUCUAUAUCAGCACCUGAUUUUUGUGAUGCUUGUCAGUAUGGUAAAGCUCAUCAAAUGUCAUUUUACUCAACUAGAAUCAAAACUAAAGUUCAUUUAGAGCUUAUACACACUGACCUUUGGGGUCCAGCACCCUUACCAUCUCUAAAUGGUUAUAGAUACUACAUUAGCUUUGUAGAUGACUAUAGUAGAUAUUGCUGGAUUUUUCCUUUGACACUCAAAUCAGAAGCCUUAGACACCUUCAAAUACUUCAAAACCUUAGUGGAAAAACAGUUUGGAUAUACUCUGAAAACAUUACAAUCUGAUUGGGGGGUGAAUAUAGAAGUUUUCAAAGUUUUCUUGAAGAAGAAUAGAUAAAGUUUAGACAUAGUUGUCCACACACACAUCAUCAAAAUGGUGUAGUGGAAAGAAAACAUAGACACUUGGUUGAAACAGGGCUUACCCUUCUUGCUCAGGCAAAAAUGUUUCUAUCUUUCUGGUGGGAAUCAUUCCAUACAACUUCUUUUCUUAUAAACAGAUUACCAACCACUGUUUUAAACAAUAUUUCACCCUUCACCAAACUUCAUGAUAGACAACCUGACUAUCAGUUCCUCAAACCAUUUGGUUGUGCAUGCUAUCCUUUCCUCAGACCUUAUAGCAAGCAUAAAUUCAAUUUCCAUACACAAAAGUGUCUCAUGAUUGGCUAUAGCCCAAUACACAAAGGCUAUAAAUGUCUUACUUCUACUGGAAAGGUCUAUAUUGCUCGACAUGUUAGGUUUAAUGAGUCUGAGUUUCCUUUUUCUGAACUUUUUCCUUCUAAUAAACCUGUUCAAAAUGUGUCUGCCCCUCAGCUAAAUUCCACACCUCUUACAUUUGUCCCUUCCACAACAGUCAUUCCAGAUGGUAACAGUGUACAACCUUCUUUUAGUUUACUUGUUCCAGAUGCAGGACCUGCUUCUAGUGCUUCUUCCCCAAAUCAGUCCAUUACAGCUCUCAUAUACCCUCACCAGUACAACAGCAAACAACAGUGCCACCUCCUGAACAAUCAUUCCAGUUUGCACAACAGCUGUUAUCAGCUCAAAAUGAUCACCCUAUGGUAACCAGGUCUAAAGUUGGCAUAUUCAAGCGUAAAACCUAUUUGGCAGUCACUCAAAACCUUGAACCACAAUCUGUAAAGGCAACCUUGGUAGAUACUAAGUGGAGAGGGGCAAUGCAAGCAGAGUUUGAUGCCUUACAAAAUAACAAAACCUGGACUCUAAUUCCCAGAGAACAUGCUGGUAAGAUUGUUGGGAAUAAAUGGGUGUUCAGAGUGAAAUAUAACCCUGAUGGCAGUAUUAGUAAAUACAAAGCAAGGUUGGUUGCAAAAGGCUUUCAUCAAGCACAAGGGGUGGACUUCUUUGAGACUUUCAGUCUUGUGGUUAAGCCCUGCACCAUCAGAAUUAUUUUGAGCAUUGUUGUUAUGAACCAGUGGUCAAUCAGGCAACUUGAUGUUAAUAAUGCCUUUCUCAAUGGCAUUCUCACUGAAGAAGUUUUCAUGCACCAGCCUGAAGGGUUCCUGCAUCCUCAAUAGCCUUCACAUGUAUGCAAGUUGAUCAAGGCUCUUUAUGGACUUAAACAGGCUCCAAGAGCCUGGUAUGACAGGCUGAAAUCAUCUCUGCAACACUGGGGUUUUCAUACUUCCAGAUCAGAUACCUCACUGCUUUUUCAGCAUAAGGCAGAUGAUAUUGUGGUGGUGCUCAUUUAUGUGGAUGACAUAUUAAUCAUUGGCUCAGAUAAUAAACUUGUUGAGGAAGUUAUUGGUCGAUUGGGGUCUGAAUUUGCUUUAAAAGAUCUAGGAGAUUUUAACUAUUUUCUUGGUCUUGAAGUAACACCAUCAACUGCUGGAAUGCAUCUUUCCCAGACCAAAUAUAUAGGUGAUUUACUCAAGAAAGCUCAAAUGAUUUAUAGCAAAGGAUGUCCAACUCCCAUGAGUUCAAGUGAUAAACUAGUCAAAGACAGAGGAGCAACUUUUGAGAAUCCUUUACUGUAUAGGAGUUUGAUUGGUUCUUUACAGUAUAUUACUUUAACAAGGCCUGAGAUUGCAUUCACAGUGAAUAAACUCAGUCAAUUCCUUGCUGCCCCAACUGUCAUUCACUGGCAAGCAUGUAAAAGACUCUUGAGAUAUUUGCAGAGCACAGCAGAUUUUGGCUUACAAUUUUUCAGUACUGGGAAACUUACUCUCACAGCAUUUUCAGAUGCAGAUUGGGGAUCAGACUUGGAUGACAGAAAAUCUGUUAGUGGAUAUUGCAUUUACUUGGGUGAUAAUUUGAUCUCGUGGUCCUCCAAGAAACAACAGAUAGUCUCAAGAAGCACAGCUGAGUCAGAAUAUCGAGCUUUGGCAUUAGCAGUGUCUGAAGUGCUUUGGAUAUCUUAUGUGCUCAAAGAGUUGAAGAUGCCACCAUCAUAAGUUCCAGUUCUUCACUGUGAUAAUAAGAGUGUUGAAGCUCUGGCUAGUAAUCCCAAGUAUCACUCAUGCACUAAGCACAUUGAGCUAGACUUGCAUUUUGUUCGUGAUCACAUAGCUCGCAAUGAAGUUCAUGUUAGUCAUGUUCCAAGUUGUGAUCAAGUGGCAGAUGUUCUCACCAAACCCUUGGCCUUUGAUCAGUUCAAUUAUCUUAGGUCCAAGCUCAAUGUCAUUCCAAGACCUUGAGCUUGAGAGGGGAUGUUAAGAGUAGUUCGUUAUUGUUAGUUAUGGUUGCUGACGUGUCAGAUGAGCUGGCUAAUGUUAGUUAUGCUGGCUGCAGUUUGUUAGCAUUCUGUUGAUUCGUGUUUAGCUAAGCUCAGCUCACGUGAUUUGUUUUCUAUAUUAAUUCAAGAGCUCUUGUAACAAUCGAUAUAUCAAUAUAGCAAUUCAUUUUCUCUCUCUGAAGUCUCUGUUAUUUUCUCUUCAUUUUCUCAGAUACCAAACACUUUUCUGGUAUCUUAACUAAACCUUAAAGCUUUUCAACAUCAAAUCUUCAAACUUGCACAAUGAUGCUGAUAAUUCAGGGUAAAAGAAGAACUCAUCGAUGUUUUUGAGUACUACAAGAUCAGAAUCAAUGAAGAUAAUUUUAUCAUAUUCAAUGAGUUGCCAUACUCUAAGCUUGCUGUAAUUCCACUCAUUGUACGAAUCUUUCUUGGCAAAGGGGCUACGUAUACGCGAAAUCCACUUGGUUUUCCAUCCGGCAGCUCUCAGGCCGCGAAGAGAUUUGCCACUUAUUGAUUUAUCAUGAAGAAGAACGAGAUUUUUGCUCGAGUUUUUUUGGAUUAUGCUUUGCGCUAAAGCUAUUGCUCCACAUACUUAAGCUUCUGAUGAAUGUAGAACUGUUACAUAAGCUUCUCUUUGAUGGUACGUUGUGUAGUUCAGUUUUGCUAGUCUUGCUUGUGACAUAAAAUAUCUCCAUAUUUCUUUGCCUGUAAAUCAAAAUAAAAGCACUCAAAUAUUAAUUUUAGGUUAAUUUUGAAAAAUUAAGAAAAAUGAAUUACAUAUGAAGGUUUUGAAGAAGUCGUGGCGUCCGGAUUAGGUAAUACUUUCACGGAAAUUGAAAGUGCAAUUCUCUAAUGCCACAUAAGUCUUAAUUAGGAAAUUGAUUUAUGUUGGCUGAGUUACCAAAUUUUGAUGCCUUGCCAAAUUUUCACACAAUCAGAAUCAUGACUGCUGCAUGUAUACAUUCUGCGUCUGUAGAUUAUUACAACUCUUUAAGGAUAUCAAAAUUGAAGAACCGGUCAAAUUUAAACCAAUUACACCUGUGCACGAGUUGUGCAUAUUUAAUUUGGAUUUGUCUCAUUUAUUAAUGCUGAACGAAUAAUUUACUAAAAUUUGAAACUAAAGAAAGCAGUAAAUUAAUGACCCACCAUGACCAGAUAAAUCACCCACUAACCUUUUUUUUUUUUUUUUCCUCAGAACACCUCAAAUUUCCGAAGAAAAAUAAAAUAAAAUCUCCUGCAUCCAUUUCUUGUGAACAUUUUAUAUUUUUUUUAUAUGCAACAAGCUUUCAUUAAAAUUUAAGACUCUAUCCUCUAGAAUAAACUCCAAAACAUAUCAAUUAAAAUCAUAAUAUUUUCGUUCUCACUAUAGAUUCGUCUAUAUAACCGACCAUUAAAGUAGGAAAAAAAAAUAACAAUAAGAGCUUAAAUACUACUUCGUAAAUAAUCAAGAAAUAUGACAAGCAACAAGAACAACAACUACAAAUUCAUAAAGAUUUUUACGAAAUUUUAAGUCACAUUUUAAUGCAUAUAACAUUGUAAAAUUCUUGGAACUGAGUACAAACAGUAAGUUAGCAUUUGGUUAGAAAAUUGUACAGGGGAUUUUCUUCUUCAAGUGAUGACCAAAUUUUCUUCAGUUUCCAAACUACUCGCUAUCUAAAACACAAACAAAAUGUUUUCGAGAAACCAGGGAAAAAAAAAAAAAAAAAAGCAAAACUCACCAGUUUGAGCAAAAGAAGGAGCAAUUUGGCAUGACCCAACAGGUAUCAAUACUUUAUGUUUCAAUCUCCUCAAGUCAGGCUUAUAAACCCAAUAAUCCCCUGCAUGCUCCACAAGAUCAUCACACCUGAACAUCUCCACCAUGGCCCCACAAGAACCCACAAAGACAACGUACACCGGCCGAUCAACAUCAGGUUUCAACCACCCACUCUCCACCGCUAGAUUCGCCACCACGAGAUUCACUUGCAACCUAAACACAUCCCUCAUCCCACCACCUGCAUCUCCAUCUCCUCGGCAGGGAACCCAUAGCCACUAUCACGUCGAGGUACGGGUAAUCCUGCGCCGGCAUGGGUAUAUCCGGGCACGCCGGUGGGGCCCACUUGUGAUCUUCAUCAAUCCACUCCGGGAAAAAGUCUUCCCACUUUUUAUCCUCACCCACAUGGUCGAAACGUACGUGAACAGUUUCAACAUGCAAGUCACCACGUACGCUAUUAUAAUCAUCAUCGUCGUCGUCGUUUAUAUUUACUAAACCAACUUUAAUUUUGUGACCGUUGAUGUGUUUUUCGACAAUAUCGAGCCAUUUGGGUCUGUGUAAUAAGUGGUUAGUAUUAUAUUUAUCAUUUGGCUCGUAAGCCAAAUGGGGUUGUUGUUUAGGUUUGAACGACAAAACUACAAGGAAAAGCGAGAAGGAGAGGAGAAGAAGAGAGAUUAUGAAGAGCUUUUGACUGAAAUUUGUGGGUUUGUUAGAAGAAGAUGAUGAUGAAGCUGCAGCCAUUUGAUUGAAUUUUGCUUCACGUCUUUGUUGAAAGUUGAAAGAUUUGUUUUGAGUCGACAUUGUGUUUUAAGUUAUAUCCAACGCAUCGAAUUGGAAUGAAAAGAUUGCAUUGCAGCACGUUGAGCGUUGUCAAAUUGUCUUCUUAUGUGUAGGUAUUUUAUUUUCACACGCAUUUGAUGCGCGUGGGUAGGUUUACUAAAUGUAUUUCCUUUUUUAUUAUUAUUAAGAUUAAAAUGUACUUCUAAGUUCUUGAAUUAGGCUUCUGUUAUCUUAUAUAACAAGGCAACAAACAUAAUACACUUGUUACCCAUUUCCAACUCUCCACAAAUUUUAUUAUUUUUAUCUUAUAUUUCCGCAGCCAUUAGAUUUUUAUCAAACAAUUGUUAUUUACUUAUAUUUGUUACCUUAUUUUGCAAGGUAACAAAACCCGUCAAAUUAUGAAUAAAAUCUUUUACGCUACACAAAAAAAUUAUUUAGUGCACGUAAGAGAAAAGUUAUUUGUAUAAGAUUAGAUAUACAUAACUUGAUCGAAAUGAAAUAAUAUAAUUGUAAAAAUUAACAAAGUAAAAUAAAUUAUACGCAACUAUCUAAGACUUAUAAAUUCUUAAAAAUUCUUACUCUUUGUAUAUGGUAAGGUAAGAAAUUUGAGAUCCAUCUUCAGUUCUAAAAAAAAAAUUAUGUCCAAACUCAAAAGUCUUUCCUUAGUGAAGCAAAGAAAUUCGUACCAACAAUAUGAUCAUAUAAGCAAAUUAUUCGUGACCAAUAAUAAGAAAAUUAUGUAUCAUACAUAAGUCAAUAAUGAAUGGUAACUUAAUUUUCUCCUACCCAUGUGAGCUAAGUGGUACAUACGAAUGAGGUUUUUUGAAUAAUAACAAAAAGUGCAAUAAAAUAUACUUAUCUAACUAAACGCUACAUAAAAAGUUCCUUUUAUAUACUACUCUCGCUCUCUCUCCCCCCUACAAUCUAGGUAUUUUUUUUAAGUUCAUUUUUUAAAAGAUUGGAGAGUGGAUUAAAUCUAAAUCGAUUUUUUUUAGCCUUUACCUCCCUUAAAAUUCAAAAUCUAUUAGCUAGUUAAAUAAAAGUACUUGAAAAUUAUUUGACUAAAUCAUUGAGGGCAUAAUUUAGACACUGAUAAAUCGUUAAAAAAUUUCAAUUAAAUAUGAUCAUCUAAUGGCGUUCUUAAAGUUCCGUAAUCGCAGCCAGUGCAAUGGUUCUAUCAAAUGAAAUAUUUCUAUCCAAAAUCAAUUUCUUUUUUAUCAUAUGGAAUUAAUCGAUUUGGAAUUGUAGAUUUUUAAUAGAUAUAAUAAAUACCCCAAGUAUUUUGAUAAUAUUCUAAAAUUAUCGUUGAGUUAGUGUGUGGCUUCGGUAGUACUGUCAUGAACUUGGUCAAUCUAACAAAUAUAACGUAACCCAUGGUAUCAUCAAAAUAUGUGCAACCUUGCUCAGUAGAAACCAAAUCAGAUUAGGGAAAUUAUCUCUGUUGUCUUGGUCAAUCUUUUGUGACUUCAUCAAUAGACAUAACAUGUAGCCACGCCACAAUUUUUAAUUUUAAUUGGAAUGCUUAGAAGUCUAUUAAAAAUUAUAAUGUAACCUAACUAAGAAUAAUAUCAAUUAUUCUAUUUUAAUAUAAUAUUUAAUUAAACUAUUGCCAUUAUUGUACUUAGUCAUGGCUCAUAUGUGGAUCCACUAAUUGUUUCACACCGUUGAUUGAUUGAGGGACGGUCAAGAUUUGAUUAAAUAUUGGAAUUGGUAUGCGAUCUCAUUAAAGUUGACUUCUAAAAUUGCAUUCUCAAUUAUUCAGAUUUAAAAAACGAGAGUGAUAAUAUGAUAGUUACGUUUUAAUAUUCUACGUUUGAAAUAUUAUGUUUCUUCUCAAAGCUGCAAAUCUCAUUUACAUUACCUGGUCAAAGACUUCUUGAAAUAAAUUAUUUAUGCUAUUAAUUCAGUUAGUUAAGGAUAUACUUUAAAUGAUAUGACAUUUAAUCAACCAACGAUACAACAUAUAUCGAUUUAAUAUUAAGAUAUAUAAACAUAAUGAGACGACAAGAUCAAUACUCAACAUACAAUUUAUUUUUAAUACAAUUUCUUUCAUAAAUAUUGAUACAAUAAUAUUGAAUCAAUGUCAUGUCACUUGGUUUACUUUAUUUACUUAUUACUUAACUCUUUUAGUACCCAUACGUCACUCAUUAAACUCGUAUGUAUUUUGUAUGCAUAAAAUUAUUGAGAAUAGAAUUCAUAGAGUUCAACUCUUGUGCACGAACUUAGGAUUUCUCUAUUAAGUUUACUUGGAUAUGAUUAUAUUUUCGAUUACAUAUGAUUUUCAUUAAAUCACUACUCUAGUUAGCAUUUCACAUCAACCGCAAUUGAUUAGUUGCUUUCUAAUCCAAAAAAAUUAAUAUGGAAAGAAAUAAAUGGCAACCGAUAAAUAUUCCAACAUUAUGUAUUACGCUGAAGAUUAAGCCAUUCCCACUACUACAAAACUGAAUUUCUUUGAUAGAAUGCUUUUUCACAUGAUCAUGUAUGUGUCAAAGUUUUGUGACAGAUAUAUUAUUUUGCUGAUGUCGCAAACACAAUCCUUUCAAAAUCUUUAGAGGCCUUGAAAUUUUGAUUAUUCUAUAAGAGAAUAGUUACAAAAUUCUGUCACUAAUAGUAAGUUAAGUGAUUCUUGAUAGAAUACUACCAAAACAUUUAUAUAAAAUCUCACAUUUUAAUAUUUUACAAAAAUGUGUUUUAAAUAUUUUCAUUUUUUUGACAUAAUUCUAUCAAUGAACUUUCUUUUUAAAUUUUUAAUUCCACUUAGGCAUUGAAAAUGACAGUCUUAAAAGAUUUCAAUGACUUAACUGAUGUGAAUAUAUCUUUAAUAAGUCAACGACAAAAUUCUAUCAAAUAAAAUUUACUAUUUUAUUUAUUUUAUGUUGCCACAUCAAUAAAUUAAAAUGAUGACAUUUCAUACGCUCAAAAAAGAAAAACUUAUGUAGGCUAAAUUCAUCACCUUAUCAGAUAAACAAAGGCCUGCUCAACCAAUAAGAAUUUGCCAUCUAAAAAGUUUAAUGGGUCUUUCAAAAAGCCUGACUUGAAUCUGAGCUUGAGUAUUUCAGGUCUAAUCUAAUAAGCAAGUUUAUAAAUUAUAAAUUUAUGAAAUACAAUGAAAAAGGUUUAAAAAAAAAAGAAAAAUGUUUAAAAAAAUUAAAGUAUAAAUAUGAGGUUUUACAAUUAAAAUACCAAAUAGUGGCAAAAUGAGCGCCCAAAAAGUGCGGCAAAUUAAAAUUAUUCAAAAUUCAUCUCUUCAAUCCCUUUUUUUUAUUUUAGAGGUAAAAAUUUUUUAUGUACCACUGAAAUAAAAUUAACCCAAAAACAUUCUGUAAUUGAAAGCUUGGAACGAAUUUCACGCCUCUCGCCUUCUCUUUCACGCAUUUCGCAUUCCUUUUUCGCAUUAACACAUGAAAGGAGAAACAAAUGGAAUAAUUAGAGAGAGGGAUGAGAUUCCAUUUAUUGUUUGGUUAUAAGUACUGGAAAUGAAACACGAGAAAAUAAUUGAGUGUUUUUUUUUUGUUAACUUAAAAAUACGUAUUUUCUGUAUUUGAUAUUUAAUAGAAAAUUCAAAGUAAAAUCAAAUCGAUUUGUAAUAUAAGUUCACUUCAUUCAUAAAAUUAAACAUAUAGAAUAAAAUUUAUAAAUGUUACUUAUACAAAUACAUAUUACUAUUCAAAAUAAUAAAAAUUUUGCAUUGGAAACAAUUUUGAAAAAAAAAAAAAAAGUUUUUAAUGGAGAAAGGAAUUGUGGAGGGAAAGUUUGAUAGAAGAUGCACACUAGCUAGUUUUGGAAUUAUAUAUACCGUCAGUCAUUUUAUUAAAAAAAUGAAAAUAAUUUGAUCAGCCACAAGAGUUUUACUUCAGUAAUUUUCUCAAUACGAGCGUACGGUCAUCAAAACCUUAUCAUGAUGCAUGUAUAUUCUAAGCUUCACGACAUCAUAUUAAAAACGUUUAGCUAUGAAUGUAAUUUGAAAUUUGUUUUAUUCAAUGAAUGUUACAUUUACUGGUGUGUUAACAGCUAAUAACUGAAUUUGACUCAUUUUUAUGUAAAUUUUAUAGACCAACCGAUUCACCAUUUUUUAUGUUAUGAUCAUUGUAGGCAUGUUAUUUUUUAAAUUAUGACUCCAUGCGAAAUCAAAAUUAAAAUUUCACCGUCUUUUAUUGGAUUUGGUUAUGAUAAUCAAAUAACACAAUAAUCAAACAUAAGGCAAAAAAAUUUACGUGAUUCGACAUAUUAAUUAAUAUGCCUACAUCCACGGGUGGUGAUACUAAUAAGCCACUAUAUAAUGAAAAAGUGUACAAAUAAUAAUAAGCUCUCAGAUGAGCCAAAAAAGAAAAAAAAGAACACCAAGAUCAACACUCAAAAAUCAAAAUCAAUCAAUCCCCAGCGGUUUGGCCUCACAAGAGCUCUCUCUGUGUUGUGCUUUCUCUCAUUCAUUCUCUUUACAAACACAAGGCUCGCAAAAAAAAAAAAAAAACGAAUUACUGAAAACAUACAUAACGGAUUAAAAAAGCACGCGCCGCGCCCGUCCCCCAAUUCCUGCUUUGCGACGCCAUUUCGUAAUUCCUUUUUGGCUGAAAAAUAUCGCUUUCCCCAAAAAGACAAAUGAAUCAGUUAGACAAAUAUAUCUAAUUUUAAUGGACAUUGUUAAAUUAAUGAAGAAGAGUAGAGAGAGAGCAAACGAGAAGGAAAGCGUAUACAAAUUAUAAUUACUAACCAGAGUUAUUAGCACCAUUACAUAUAUAUCCCUGCUGAAUCCCCCCUCCUCUGUUCACCAUUCGUUUCUAAAAUGGAUUAAAAAAUAACUACUAAUUAAUUUUAAUUAAAAUAGAGUGAGACACGCAAUGCAUGCAGGAGAUCUAGAAAUAAAUUACCCGUCGCGGUGGCCGUGGGUGAUUGUAAUUGACUAAUUGCAGCCGCGCGCUUUCAGUAAAUGAUGAUUUUGGGAAUGUGGCGUAUCUUAGGCCAGUCCUCUCCUGUCUCCUUUCUGCAACGUUCUCCUAAAAUAGGACAUCCAUUCCAAAUCUCCAAUUUCUGGAGCGUCGACUUCUGAAGAAGGUGAUCGGGCAGUGCUUUUAAUUUACGGCAACUCCAAAUUUCCAAGGAGGAAAGACGUGGCAUGAUUAUGAUUUCUCCCUUUAUUGCAGUCUCGAAAUCCAACUCUUCCAGUUCUUUCAUAAGACUAAAUGCGAGCUGUUUCAAUUUGGGAAAGGCAAUAACUGAGGAGCCAUCCGUAUCACUUUCUACUCCCAGAAAUUCAUUACCCACUCUUUUCACACUUUUCAUUCCUUCAAUAUGAAGAGAUUCAAGGGAUGGCAAUUUUCCCAAAGGAGGCAAAUGCUCACAAUUUCUCCACCAGCAGAGAUAUAAGACCCUUAAAUUGGUUAAUGACGUGAUCCAAUUUUUGGGGACAACAUUCCUCCUGCCUCUGUAUUCAUCUAUCACUAAUUUCUUUAAAUUAGGAGGUGGUCCCAAGGCUUCAAGAAGCCGUUCAUCUUCAUCCUCCUCAUUCUCCCUCCUCCCAGCUUGAUCUUCAUCCCCAUCUCUUAAAUGAUCAAAAUGAAGUCCCAACUCAACGAGAUAUUUCUUUUUCUCAAGUUCAGCCCUCGCAGCCUCACCCGCAUCUGACACACCACCCAGCCCACGUAUACCACAUUGUUGAAGGAAGUUAAGCUUUUUAAGAGACCCAAGGCUACAUGCUCUGUCAUACCCUCCGCCCACAACAAACUCUCUCACUCUCCGAAGCCUGAUUAAUUCCCCAAUCCCUGCCGGCAAGUAUCUUAAACAACCAGUGUCUUCAUUGUGUAAAUACAUCAGCUUUCUUAACUUUCCAAUCCCUCGAGGUAAUUCUCUAAGAUUUUGACAAUCAUCAACGUUUAAACGUUCUAAAUUAUAUAACUCACACAACGUCUCGGGUAAUUUUUCUAUCUUCUUUUGACCUUUCAAAUUAAGGUAUUUCAAAUGUAACAAUUUUUCUAUAUUUGUUGGAAUUUCCUUGAUUAAAUUGUUACGCGGCCACGAUUCACGCACCUGUAAUUCUAAUGCCCUUAAACAAGUUAAUUUUUCAAAUAAUUGAGGUAGAACUUCACUAGACCAUGAAUAUUCAUCACUUUUAACUAAGAGGCUCCGCAAUCCUCGCAAUCCUGUAACAUUACCCCAAAUGGAAAUCGGAACCGAAGCCCCCCUACGUAGAGUUAACAGUAAAUGAAGGAUUUUUUUCUCCACGAAAGAGCUAAUAGCUAACUCUUCACCACUAUGAAUUUCUACUGCUAAACAUUCAUUACUACAUAAAUAUUGGGCAAAGUCGUGCACUAUAUCAUGCAUUUUGCACUUAUAGAUUUCACCAUCAUCAUAUUUGUUAAAAUCCUGAAAGAAUGAACGGCUAGCUAAGAUGUUGAAAUACUCUUCACCAAUAUCCUCCAUCUCUUUGGCUCCUUUCUCACUAAGAUAACCUUGUGCCAUCCAUAGUUCAAUUAACUUAUGCUUCCGUAUUCCAUAGUCUUUCGGAAAGACGGCACAAUAUGAGAAACAACGCUUUACCUUGGAGGGUAAUUCAUUGUAACUCAACAAUAGAGGGGCUAAAAGGCCUUUCUCAAUUGCUUCUAGUUCCCAUAUCUCAUUCUCUAAGAUAUUUUGCCAUUCUUUUUCAGUGUUUUUAGACCGCAAGAGACUAGCAAUUGUCUUUGCAGCUAAAGGUAAGCCCUUGCACUUUUUUACAAUUUCUCUACCAAUUUUUUCUAAAUUUUCACGUUUUCCUAUGGUCUUACCAGAAAUUGCCAACGACUGAAACACCGACCAGCAUUCCAUUUCAGACAAUACAUUGACAGAGAUAACAUGAGUUGAUCCCAUAAUACAGGCAACUGUUUCUUUACGUGUGGUAAUUAAAAUUUUACUUUCAUGGAGACUAUUCUUUAAACAUUUGUAGAAUGGUUCCCACUUAUAGUAAUCUUCAUUCCACACGUCGUCUAAGACAAGAAGAAAUUUCUUCCCGGCAACACAUUCUUCAAUAUGUUGCAUGAGAGAUUGAAACUCUACAAGGUCUUUGGCAGAACCUGGCUUCAGAGACUCAAUGAUUGCUCUGGCGAUCCUGAAUUCAUCAAAUGGCUCUGACACACAGACCCAUGUUCUUUUCUCAAAAUUUCUUUCAACAUCACCGUUGUUGUAGGCAAAUUGAGCAAGAGUAGUUUUGCCUAUUCCCCCCAUCCCAACAAGUGAGAUGAUAGAGGGGCCUUCCUGUUCUUUACUACCCUCACAUAACAACCUAUCAACGAGUUCGUUCUUCUCUUUUUCUCUACCAAAUAUCUCGGACUCAUCAAUUGAGGAGAUACUUGGUACUCGUUGAUCCGCUCUCUCAUUAGUAACAUUCACAACAAAACCAAACAUGUCUUUCUGUUUGGCAAUAUCAUCAAGAGUUUCGUUGAUUUCUUUUAUCUUCAGAGCAAUGUCACGACGUAAGACAAGUGGUUUGCAGGCAAAGCAAGAUGCAGUAGGAAAGAAGGAACAUACCUUCUUCUUAGGCACUCCGUCGAUCUGCAGUUUGAGCCUUGCAGUGUUCCACUCACCCAACACGUCUUCCAUGUCGUAACAUGUGCAUCUGAGUUGAUCGAGCCAGAGUCUGACAGUUUCCUCCUUCACUUGCCUUUUCUCUGCAUCAUGGAGCACAGCUUCAAUGACGCGGAGACUGCUGGUCAGCUUCUUCACUUCCUUUCCGACACCCGUUACUAGCCUCACUUGUUCCUUCGCCUCUUCAACAGCCAUUGAAGUCAGCUGCUCCAAGAUAGGGGAAAGGAUCGCAUCAACCAUGGUGAAAAAGAAAAAAGAGAGAGAGAAGAAAUUGAUGGUGAAUUGUUGCAAAUGUAAGUAGCUAAUGCUGAAAGAAAUGAAGGAGCUGAUAAUGUGGUGAAAAUGUUGCCGUAUUCUUUCAAUUCUUAUAGUACUGCAAGCAAAAUUCUAAUUUAGAAAUAUUUCAUUUCAGCCCCUUGUGAAAGAAGCUACGGUUAUUAUUAUUACUUUUUUUUUUUUAAUAACAGCAAAGAGUGAAAAUGACGUACAGUUGUGGACAGGAAAUAAUAUAUAUGAAACUGACAAAUUUUUCACGCGGCGAUUCACGCGGUAUAUGAAACAGACAAAGUUUUCUAUGAUCUCUUUUUAAAGAAUUGAACAAGUUGUUAGAUAAUAUUUUUGAUCGUGUCGUCAUAUUGAGAUUUGGAAGCAUUUGCUUUACAAUCACCCAUGAACU